UCUGCAGGGGGUUAUGAGGAAAUACGGAAGAAAGGCCCACACGUCGGGUUUACAUAGAGAUAUUAACGUGCCGCACAAUUAUCUACCAUCUAGAAGACUCCAGAAGCCACGGGACCGAAGCGGAGGCCGAGAGGGCUCAGGCACUGGGCGCCCGCCCUACCUUACUGGGCGCCCGCCCACCUGUUCUGCCCAAUCAGGGUACAACUCGGGGAUCAUGCUCCACCGACCUAAUACUUCAAGGGAAACCACACGAUCAAUGUCGGUUUGAUCCGACGGCCCAGAUUCACUUGAAGGGACUAUAAAACCAGACCCCCCUGGCCCCUGGAGAUCAUACCUCUUCUACAGAAUCAAAGUUAGGGUUUCAAUUCUUCAUCCAAGUAGAGAGGAUCCCUCUAGUUCUUCUAGUUCUACCUCUAGUUCAUCUAGAUCUAGUUCUAGUUCAUCUAGUUCUAGUUCUAGUUCCUCUAGUUCUAGUUCUAGUUAGUUCUAGUUGUAAUCUAGAAAAUAGGGAGAGAGAAGAGGAGAGCGGAGGAGGAGGAGCCGGAUCUGUCGGAUCUUCCUCAACAUUGUACUUUUGCAGCAUCUGGUUCGUUCUUCAUCGUUCUCCAGGUUCUUCAACUCAUAACUCCUGAGUUCUCUAAUUACUUUUAUUACAUUCAAGUUAUUUAUUGGAUUCCCGCUUGCAUCAAGUGCUCUAAUCUUUGAAACAUUAGAGUAGUAAUUAAUAGAUUAGACGUGGUGUUUAGUCUUGCAAUUACCUGGAAUUGCACCCAAUCCUGCGGAUUGUUGUGGUAGCCUUAGGGUAGUGACAGCCCUAACGGUCGACGUAUUCCACCACGUUCGGAUCGGUGUUUGUAGGACCGUAGUCAGACCUUCCAAGCCCCCUUCUCAUCUCUUUCUGUGGUUAGUGCUCUGAUGUCCCGAUAUAGAUAAUCUUGAAGUAAUUCUUGAUUCUUAGAUCAACUAGAGAACUCUCAGGAAACUUCCUCUCUUCCCACCAAAAAUAAUUAUAUAGUUAUCCUUGGGCGAUCUUGGAUCUUAAUUAGUACACUCACGUUCUCUGUGGAAAAUCGAUACUCUGGAAUACUCCCGGGUGAAAGCUACAUCGGUAUCCGUGCGCUUGCGGAUUUUUCUGUUUGCGUUUAAAAUACCCAACAGAGGAUACGGUGUCCGAUAAGAAUAAGUAUUGACUUUGGGUUUUAUCCCAAACUGGUCUCUCAUUACUUCAGCUAUCUUAUCGGCCCAAUAAGCAUCGGCAUCUUGCCGAUGAGGCGGUUGUGGAUCCAGUACCUGUUGAUAUGCUUCCACAUGUUUCUGUGCUGCACGAUCUCCAUGGAACAUUAGAUUAACCAUCUGACCACCAAUUUGCUGACCAACAUUCAUCGGCUGAUUGACCAACCUUUGAUUCUGAAACCCAGGUUGGAUUUGUCCUUGUUGAAACCCUAUAGCCUGAUGAUUCUGGUAAGGCAUCUGUGGAAAGAGUAACUGCCCUGUCCAUCCACUGUUAGCAUUCAUCAGCAUAGGCCCUGUCGAUGACUGGUAAUUGGGUAUCAUCAUUGAAUUGACAUACCCUAGCUGUGUCAUAAACCUCUGCUGCGUCGGCAUUGGAUCUGCUGAUGCAUUAGGCAUCUGGAACGUCGAAGCUUGAGAAUUCCCAGUGUAAGGCCUUGCAGUAGUAGUUGUAGAGUACUGGGGAUUCUGAUUCAUCGGUACAUUUGGAGGUGCCGAUGCCAUAGGACCCUUGCCUAUCACGUCAGCCACUUGGGAUGUCCUGGGACUCUUUGCCAUAAGUUCUGGGGGCAUACCAUAACCCCACUAGUUGGGAGGAAUAGUCCCUGACAUCGCCGAUGCCAAUAGAUCUGUGGAAAGUUUGAUUUGCCCGUCUAACGUAGAUGGAUUAGUGGUCAUCGGUGUAGAUUGCGCAUUAGUCAUCCCUAAUGUACUUGGAGAAGAAGUAGCUUCUGCGCCCGCAACGGCCGUACUAGCCGACGGAGCUGUAACAACCGGUGACCCUGGCUGAUGAUGGGCAGGACCCACAUAAGAUGGUGGUACUUGUCCUUCCUUGAAAGUUCUAGCCACAGCAUUGAAAACCGUGUUGGACAGCACACCAGCUUGAUUGAUCAAGGCACGGUUAAUAGCACUGUCAACCAUGUCUUGAAGUUUACUAGGAUUGGCUUCAAAAGUAAUUUGCCGAGGCAUCGGUAAUGCUUUCUUCUGGAUCACCUCGCCACUCCUGUUGAUACUAAAGGAUUUCAAGCAUAGUUGCUUGUAAUCCUCCAUGGCUUUCGCCAUAGCUUGCUUCUGCUCAUCUCUGAGAUUGGCUUCCGUCACAGGGAUGGCAUUCUCCAAGUCGAAAUCGAUGUUCGACAUGUUGAUCUUGAUCUUGAAUCUCUAUCCCACCAGGCGUGCCAAAAGAUGCGUUAGUGCAAAAGCUAAUCUGCAAACACAAAGGGCUAAUACCCGAUUCAAACGUUAAGGCGUGCCAGUCGAUUUGACCUUACAAUCGACAAAGGUGGUAACUCGAACACUUUGGUCCCGACAACAGCGAUGCUCCCGGAUGUCACGGCCAAGAGGUGCUCAUGCGGAACUUGAGAAUACACCAAGUUUGACUCGACAAAUUCCUAAGAACUCGUAGUAAAAGGAAAAUAUGACGAAGUCGUCAAAAAAGUAGAUGCUGCAAUAUGUGUAAAAACUUGUGUUUGAUUGAUUGAUAGAUAUCCCAUUACAUUGACAUGGGGUCUACAUUAAUACCCUGACCAAAAGAGUUACAACCAGACACGACUAGGACUCAAAUUCCAAAUUGAACAGAAUCCAUAUACAAAACGAACUCUAAUAACUAAGGAAAACAUUAAACUAUCCUCCACAACCGAUCGGUACACGGCUAUGAGCAAAUCGGCAACCCCCGCAUCUUCCUCUAUGACCAUCGGCAGACCACUGUUGAUAUUUGGGAACGCAAUAAGGAAUUGAUCCGCAAGCGCACGGAUAUCGGUGAGCACUUCACCCGGGAAAUUAUCCAGAGUAUCGUAUUUAUUUUUUUUACCACUAGGAGAAAGAGUGCAUCUGACUAACCGGUCUAUUACUACUAACCUUUAGGCACAAAGAAUGUCUUUCAAUGUAAGUGAUAAAUAGAGAAGACUGCAACCGUAGUCUCCUUCUAACCUUGGUAAGGAUGACCUAUUGUUCUAAUGGGGAGGCUAACGGAAUCUAGACACCACAAAGGAUGUUCAACCCGCACCUAUAAACCCUAUCCUUCCUGCUAACGAGAUGUGAUCUACAAAGGUAGCUCGGAAUUGUCACGUUCCUCACUACUACCACGGUCCAGCUAGUCAGGGAAUAUCUAUGAGUACCCCAGCCUAAACACCAAGUUUACGCCAGCAAUGAUUAGUCUAAACUCUACGCGAAGAGAUUAAAGUAAACUCAUAAACCAUAAGAACAAUAAAACAAGAACUUACUAGAAUUUGAAGUCGAAUUACUGAAGAAUCCUAGGAGCAAGCUUCGGGUUAGGAGAACUUGAUCCCGCAGGUACAAGCUUGGAGUAGACACCGACAGGCCAGGCUUCCUCCACUCUACACCUCCACUCUAUCUCUCUCAAUCUAGUAGAAACUAGAAGAUCUAUUUCUACCUUACAUUGAUUGCUAAGCCUAAAAAGAAAUAUUAAUUAGAGAAGAGGUUUUCCUUCGAGGGCACCCCUCAGUCUCUAUGAUAAUUUCUUCAUGUCUUCCAGGGGCCAGGGGGGCCUCGCUUAUAUAGUCCUCCCCUUCUAUGCGUUUUUGGGUCGAUAGCCUAGGUGGUACUAUGUUUUUCUUGAUCCCAUAGGUCGGUGGAAUAUCUCGAGCGAAGGAGUCCUGAAUUGGCUCCAGCAGGGGGGCGGGCGCCCUGGGCCUGGCCCAGCUUCGCCUCCGCUUCGGUCUCGUGGCUUCUGGAGUCUUCUAGAUGAUGUAAAAUUGCGCGGUGCGUUGAUAUCUCUAUGUAAUCCCGACAUGUGGGCCUUUCUUCCUUAUUUCCUGAUAACCCCCUGCAGAAACAGAUAAACAACAAAACUCGUGGAAUUCUGUCAGAUCAAACCCUAAUUCUAGGUGAUGGUUGCAUAUUGGUCCUUUCUCUUGUUUAUUUGAUAAUUAAAAUUGAUACUUAAGAACCGUCAACAAAUACCCCCAUACUUAGGCUUUUACUCGUCCUCGAGAAAAGGAUGGUUAAGAAAAAUAUCUGGGGUAAACAUUUAAAAUAUUCUCUUUAUAAUUGCAGGGUGUUAAAAUUCCACUGUGUACCAUAGUCAGGGAUGUAUAUGAUUAAGAGUAAAGAUCCUUUCUUCUCAAUCCUGUCACUUGGAGUUUUUGUAUAUUUUUGAAAGAAAGUUAGCAUACCUUUUGAUCCUCAUAGGUUCUCUCAGAUCACUCAUUAUCUUUUAUAUAUAUCUCACUGAGGCUGUUUUAAUUUUGCAAAAAUUCUCAAGCAUACUUACUUUGCAUUUAUUGCCUGAUCAAAACGGGAUCCGAGGAGGGGAAUUUCAUACUCUUAGAUCAAAGACUUUAGAAAUUAAAAACUUUGUCAACUCUUGCUGGCAUAUUGCUUAUUAGAGGGACCAUGGGCUAUCAUUUUUUUUUAAGUGGAUACCGAGGUACCCCUAAUUCUACUGCCGGACACUUGUCCAUUUUUUUCUGCGAGGUUGUCGAGCACUUGCUCCUUUUUAUUUCCUCGAAAUAUCUUCUAUUUUUGCAUAGCCCAUGCCUCUAAUGCAAUAAUACUUCGGAAGAGUGAAUCUUACUAAAAUAGUGUCUUGAUCUUGGGAGCAUGAUAAAUCUCUCAACAAGGGUCUAACUCAUUUUGAACAAACUCAAUACAGAGCAGAUAGCUUUUAUAACCAUAAUUAAUAUAUUUAUUUUCAGUUUUAUCAGGCAUAUAAAACACUGGGGAUGGUAGCUAGGAAUUUGAAUAUUUUGAAAUAAAUUCUCCAAGCAACCAUGAUAUCAAGAAUAAGAAACUCAUACUCUACCAUCACAUAUUCCAUAUUGACUUAAGUAACACAGGGUUUUAAAAUGAUUUUAUACUAAUUGCAAGUUUUCAGGAAAUAUCACAGAUUGAGAUUAAUCAUGAUUAGAAAUAUUUUAAUCUUUUUAUUUUAUCAUGUCGGAAACAGUAAUCUGCAUAAUCCAAAAUAAAUAUAUGUGUAAAGUAAAGUGUGCAGAGUGUGUACCUGAAUCGUGGAGUGGUGUAGUUGGAGUGUGUUUGGCAUGUUGAGGGAUCUCCCCCAUACUUGUUUUCUGCUUUCUUGCACAAAAAUAAAGUAGAGACACACAAGACAUAAUAAUAAUACUCUUUAUUGAUCUUGAGGCAUUUAUUACAAAAGACUGAUAGCAAACUGAUAGCAAACUAAUAAUAGCAAACUUAAACAGAAUUUAAAGAUAACUAAGAUGUAUUGCCUCAAGGUCUAAUCUAGAUAACUUAGCGGCGCUCUAAUUCCUUGAUCUUCUUGUUGGCACUGGCAAGAUCCUGCCUAAGGCCUAGUAUAAUGGUGUUGUGGUUAGAGAGCUACCUAGUGAGGGAAUUAAUCGAGGACUGGAGGUCUAUGAUAAUUCUAUCUAGCCUGCGAACUUCCUCAUCAAUAUCCAUUAUAGUCUUGCGACGCUUGGGAGGUGUCUCAAAAGCAUUGAGAGCGUGCUUCGGGGCUGCCUUUGGAGAGAUGAAACGGACUUUGGAUGCUCUAAUCCCUUCAAAGUAAGGCCUUUCCUCCUCCGUAGUGUAGCGAACGCUGCUGAUCUCGCCGCUUCGGUUGGUCUUGACUCCAACGACCCUCUCAUUGGGUCUAGGUGGAAGGACUCUUGUGCCGAUUGGCACCUUGAUAGUGGUCUUCGUCUUGGAUGAUGGUCCUUUGAGAAGUAGGGUUUGUGGUGGUGCGGUGAGAACUGGUUGAGCAUGGCAAGAUUGGGCGGAGCUGCAUUGACGUAAUGGCAUGGCUUCUAGCUGACGUUCUGUGUUGGCCGGGACGAGAGCACGGGCGUCGGGGUCUUCCACUGGCUCCAUGUUGAGGUUGAAGGGGACGACUUCCCAAUCGUCGUGGUACUUGUCGGCCAUUGGAGUAGCAAGGAACUAAUAAAAUUUUAAUUGAAGGAGAGCUAAUCAAGCUCUAAUUGAAGGAGAGCUAAUCAAGCUCUAAUUGAAGGAGAGCUAAUCAAGCUCUAAUUGAAGGAGAGAAAGCUUGGUGGCUUGGUGUUUGAAAACUGAGGUCAGGGGUCUGUUUAUAUAGGGGUCAAAAGGAUGCCUCUAUGGGUUGUUCGGGUUGCUCCCGUCGAUGUGCGUGCGAAACUUUCCAUCCGAGGGAUUAUUCGGAUCACCCUAAGUGCAUUUUCCAUAACAGAGAAAGUCGGGACCGAGGGGGAACAGGGGCAGGGCGCCCGCCCUCUCUCUGGCCCCUCUGUGGGCCCACUUCUCCGAGCGCGUUUCUAGAUGCGAAAUUAUUUAGAAAAAUAUAUAUAUGCCCCAAAACCAUCAGACCAAAAGUGUCGGGCUCUAAUUUUCUAUGGGAAGGUAAAAAUGGACUACGUCUAUUUCUUCAAAUUCCUCAUUGGGCUCUAAAAAUAAUUUAAGACAUUGACCAUUUACCUUGAAUAACGUACCUUCGUUAUUUUGAAGUGUGAUAGCUCCGUGGGAUGAUGAAUUGAUUACCUUGAAUGGUCCUUCCCAUUUGCUCCGGAGUUUUCCAUGCCCGAAAAGCUUUACCCUGGAAUUAAAAAGUAAUACCUUAUCUCCGGGUGUGAACUCCUUCUUCUUGAUUCUCUUAUCAUGCCACCUCUUGACUCUUUCUUUGUAGAUCUUUGAAUUGUGAUAUGCCUUCUCUCGCCAUUCUUCCAAUUCUGAUAGUUGCAUUCUUCUAUAAUCUCCAGCAACAUCUAGGUCCAUAUUCCAUCUCUUUAUGGCCCAGUGUGCUUUGAAUUCUAGUUCAACAGGUAGAUGGCAAGUCUUCCCGUACACCAAUUGGUAUGGAGACAUUCCAAUUGGGGUCUUGUAUGCUGUCCGGUAUGCCCAGAGUGCAUCGGGUAACUUGUCUUUCCACGCCGUUCCCAUUUCAUUUACUGUCUUCUGAAGAAUAUUCUUGAUUUGUUUGUUGGAAGUCUCUGCUUGGCCACUUGUCUGAGGAUGAUAAGGGGUAGCGACAUUGUGACGGAUUCCAUGUCUUGAUAGAUAUUGCUUGAAACGUUUGUCGAUGAAGUGUGCUCCUCCAUCACUUAUCACUACUCUGGGAACUCCAAAUCUUGGAAAUAUAAUUUCUUCAAACAUCCUCUUUGAACUGACGUUGUCGGCAUGCUUGCAAGGUAAUGCUUCUACCCACUUGGAGACAUAGUCAACCGCCACCAAGAUGUACUCACACUUCUUUGAUGGAGGAAAUGGACCCAUGUAGUCUAUUCCCCAGACAUCAAAGAGCUCAAUCUGAAGGUUGUUGGUGAGUGGCAUUGCAUCCCUUGCAUUUAUGUUUCCGUGUCUUUGACAUGGCCCACAUCUUCUGAUAUAUUGCUUCGUGUCUUCAUACAUUGUAGGCCAAUAGAAUCCACACUGCCAGAUCUUUGAAUGUGUACGGAAUGCUCCAUAGUGACCUCCAUAUGGUGAUGAAUGACAUCUGUCAAUGAUCUUCCAUCCUUCCUCAGUGGUCACACAUCUCCUGAGUAAGCCAUCAGAGCAUACUCGGAAGAGGUAUGGCUCAUCCCAUAUAUGUGAACGACUUUCUUGAGUAAGCUUCUUCUUGUUUGCUCCUGGUGGUACAUACCCUGAAACCAUAAAAUUAACAAUAUCUGCAUACCAGGGGUCAGACCUGUUAAUCCCGUAGAGCAUGUCGUCCCGGAGUGAAUCAUUGAUGGGGGUUUCCUGUGGACUCUUAAAAUACAUUCUAGACAAGUGAUCAGCAACAGAAUUUUCUACUCCUUUUUUAUCUUUUAUUUCUAAGUCAAAUUCUUGGAGUAAUAAGAUCCAUCUAAUCAGGCGAGGUUUAGCAUCUUUUUUAGUGAGCAAAUAUUUUAAUGCAGCAUGAUCAGUGUAAACAAUUAUUUUAGCUCCAACUAAAUAAGAUCUAAAUUUAUCUAUGGCAAAGACAACAGCCAGAAGCUCUUUUUCAGUGGUUGCAUAAUUAAGCUGAGCUCCUGUCAAAGUUUUACUGGCAUAAGCAAUUGCAUGAUGCUUCUUAUCUUUAGUUUGUCCUAAUACUGCCCCCACAGCAUAAUCACUAGCAUCACACAUAAUUUCAAAAGGCAACGACCAAUCAGGGGGUUGAAUGAUUGGUGCAGAGAUGAGUGCUUUCUUUAAUAAAUUGAAAGAUGUUAGACAUCCAUCAUCAAAUUCGAAAGGAGCAUCCUUGGCUAGCAAAAGAGUAAGUGGUCUAGCAAUAAAUGAAAAAUCUUUUAUGAAUCUACGAUAAAAACCAGCAUGGCCAAGAAAACUUCGAAUUCCUUUUAUGUUCACAGGUGGAGGUAGUUGUUCAAUUACUUCAAUUUUAGCUUUGUCUACCUCAAUACCUCUUUCAGACACUAAGUGUCCUAGCACUAUUCCUUCUCUAACCAUAAAAUGACAUUUUUCCCAAUUAAGGAUUAAGUGCUUUUCUUCACAUCUUUGCAAAACCUUGUCUAAGUUUUCAAGACAACUAUCAAAAGUUUUUCCAUAAACAGAGAAAUCAUCCAUGAAAACUUCCAUAAUCUCUUCAAUCAUAUCAGAAAAUAUAGACAUCAUGCAUCUUUGAAAAGAAGCUGGUGCAUUACAUAACCCAAAAGACAUUCUACGGUAAGCAUAAGUUCCAUAUGGGCAUGUAAAAGUGGUUUUGCUUUGAUCAUCGGGAUGGAUUGGGAUUUGGUGAUAUCCUGAAUAUCCAUCUAAGAAACAAAAGAAUGAAUGGUUUGCUAACCGCUCUAGCAUCUCAUCUAUAAAAGGUAAAGGAAAGUGAUCCUUUCUCGUGGCUUUGUUUAAUUUUCUAUAGUCUAUGCACAUCCGCCAUCCUGUGACGGUGCGUUGCGGAAUUAGCUCGUUCUUUUCAUUCAUAAUAACUGUCAUGCCUCCCUUUUUGGGCACAACUUGUACUGGGCUUACCCACUCACUAUGCGGCACAGGAUAUAUAAUCCCUGCAUGCAGCAACUUAAUAACUUCCUUUUUUAACUACCUCUCUCAUAGUGUUGUUAAGUCUACGUUGGGGUUCUCGAGAGGGUGUAACAGAAGGAUCUGUUGGAAUACGAUGGGUACAAAUCAUAGGACUGAUUCCUGUAAGAUCUUGAAGUGAGUAGCCAAAAACUGAGUGAUGUUUCUCAAGAAUGGUCAUUAAUCGCAGAGUUUGAUCCUGAGUGAGUUUAUCGCUAAUGAUCACAGGGAACUCUGGAUUAUUGUUUAGGAAAGCAUAGGUAAGACCGGGUGGUAAGGUUUUAAGUUCUAUGGGGGGUCUAGGUGUUUCUGCAAACUCAUCUAAGGGUUCAGGCUCGGAAGGUUCGUCUUCUUCUUCUGUGAAGAAAGGAGUUUCGUCUUCUAAGUCUGGUUCAUCUAAAAGCUCUAGAGAUGCAGCCUUUACUUCCUCCAUAGGAUCAGGCAAAAGAUAUGACUUGGCCUUAUUAUUUAAGGAGUGUGAAAUUAUCAUUGGGAAUUGAAAAGUUUUUCCAAAAGAAAUGUGUAGCUUUCCAGUAUGACCUUCAUAAAGGAGUCUUCUAAAAGGUUGUCCUAUUAACAGGUCGAAGUCCCAUGUAUCAAAGAUAUAGAAGUUCAAGUGAACCAUGGAGCCUUCUACUGUAAGAGGUAGGACAUUAAUAAUUCCAAGACUGGGGACUAAUCGUCCCGAAGAUUCCUUUAUGACCUUUGUUGUGGGGGUUAAGAUAAGAUUUUUAAAUAGUUUAAGUGCAAAGGAUUCAGACAUAAUGUUGAUCCCCACAACAGGAUUAUAAAGAGCAUUAAAUCGAUCAGAAUUAUAAGCACAACGUAUAGUUAUAGAGGGUGUGUCCAAACGGAUCACAUCAGAGGAAAGCUCUGAUUCCUCCAACCAUUCGCUACUCAUUACUGAGAUAAGCUCUCUCAAUUGAUAUUCACUUGGUAAAUAAAUGCUAAACUGGCCGUUUUGGGGUUUGUCAAUAGAAUGGUAGUUUGAAAUAUUUCCAAAAUUGGCAAAAAGAUCGGAUUCUAUAUCCAGCAUGAAGUCCGGUAGUGGAAUUUCUUCCUCUUGUGGCUCAGAACUUGGGAUAGCUAAAGUAGAUGAAGAAUUUGGCAGAGUGUCUACUUCGGCUUCGUAGGUUUCAUCAUGAAGGGUAUUAUCCAUCUCAGCUUCUAGGAUUCUAUCUAGGAUCACUCUUGCUUCAUCAGCAGGGAUGCGAAAGAAAGAACCUCUAGACAUUGUGUGCAGCAUUUGUUUGUGAUUUUUAUGAAGACCUCGAAAAAAGUGAAAUAAAAGAACAGGGUCUUCAAGAUUAAGGUUUGGACCAGAUUCUAAAAGAUCAGAAAAACGUUUCUAGGAUUUUCCCAAAGUUUCAUUAUCUUUUUGUUUAAAAGAUAGGACUUCGAGUCUAAGGUCGGCUAUACGGUCAAGGGAAUAGAAAUCUAGACAAAAGUUGGCUCGUAAAACUCCCCAUUCACCUUGUUGUUGACUUACCUUCUGACUGUACCAUUGUCUAGCUUCUCCCCUUAGAGAAAAAGGAAAAAGCUUCCAACGUAAAGUCUUAUCAGAAAUGCCUUCAAUGCGAAGACAAUCACAUGUUUGCUCAAAAUCUCUAAUAUGAAGGUAAGGGUUUUCGUCUUCCUUUCCCGAAAAAGAUAAGUUUUGAAUCAUGGCAAUCAACCUAGAACUUAACUUAUACUGGGGUGUUUGGAUAGGCUGUGAUGAUUCCCAUGGUAAAAGGUCAGUUGCUAAAGGGAUUGCAGACUCAUGGAUCGAUUUAGAAUUUUGGUUUUCCAUAAGGUAAGAGUAAAGAAACAUAAAUAAAGGAUAUAAAAGAUAAGAAAAGAUAAAAGUAUAGUUACAAGCUAAUAGCAAGACACAGGUUAUCUCAGCAACCGUCUUUCUCCCCGGCAACGGCGCUAGAAAUGCUUGUUGAUAUUUGGGAACGCAAUAAGGAAUUGAUCCGCAAGCGCACGGAUAUCGGUGAGCACUUCACCCGGGAAAUUAUCCAGAGUAUCGUAUUUAUUUUUUUUACCACUAGGAGAAAGAGUGCAUCUGACUAACCGGUCUAUUACUACUAACCUUUAGGCACAAAGAAUGUCUUUCGAUGUGAGUGAUAAAUAGAGAAGACUGCAACCGUAGUCUCCUUCUAACCUUGGUAAGAAUGAUCUAUUGUUCUAAUGGGGAGGCUAACGGAAUCUAGACACCACAAAGGAUGUUCAACCCGCACCUAUAAACCCUAUCCUUCCUGCUAACGAGAUGUGAUCUACAAAGGUAGCUCGGAAUUGUCACGUUCCUCACUACUACCACGGUCCAGCUAGUCAGGGAAAAUCUAUGAGUACCCUAGCCUAAACACCACGUUUACGCCAGCAAUGAUUACUCUAAACUCUACGCGAAGAGAUUAAAGUAAACUCAUAAACCAUAAGAACAAUAAAACAAGAACUUACUAGAAUUUAGAAGUCGAAUUACUGAAGAAACUAGAAGAUCUAUUUCUACCUUACAUUGAUUGCUAAGCCUAAAAAGAAAUAUUAAUUAGAGAAGAGGUUUUCCUUCGAGGGAACCCCUCAGGCUCUAUGUUAAUUUCUUCAUGUCUUCCAGGGGCCAGGGGGCCUCGCUUAUAUAGUCCUCCCCUUCUAUGCGUUUUUGGGUCAAUAGCCUAGGUGGUACUAUGUUUUUCUUGAUCCAAUAGGUCGGUGGAAUAUCCCGAGCGAAGGAGUCCUGAAUUGGCUCCAGCAGGGGGGCGGGCGCCCAGGCUUCCAGGCCGGGCGCACUGGGCCUGGCCCAGCUUCGCCUCCGCUUCGGUCUCGUGGCUUCUGGAGUCUUCUAGAUGAUGUAAAACUGCGCGGUGCGUUGAUAUCUCUAUGUAAUCCCGACAUGUGGGCCUUUCUUCCUUAUUUCCUGAUAACCCCCUGCAGAAACAGAUAAACAACAAAACUCGUGGAAUUCUGUCAGAUCAAACCCUAAUUCUAGGUGAUGGUUGCAUAUUGGUCCUUUCUCUUGUUUAUUUGAUAAUUAAAAUUGAUACUUAAGAACCGUCAACAACCACCUUUCAUCGCCAUCGGCAACCUUCAGGACUGGCCAUCGGCAACCAUCAGCACUGGCCAUCGGCAUGAACGCAUCACCACUCCUAGACUUAGUCAUAUUCGGCUGCUCUUCCAUCGGCAUCGACCUUCAUUGGCAACUCCCUUGUAGACUAGUCACCAUGCUCCAUCUGCCGAUCUACAUUUCAUUAACUCCAGGUGCGCCUCAAAAGAUAUGUGUCCAAAAACGGUGUCAACACAAAUUUAGAUGCGACGAACCGUCCUAGUUCCACUACAAAAAGAGAGGCACUCCCCCCUUUUCAACACACACAUCAUUUGGAGUCAAUUAAGCUCACACCUCUCACUUGAAUCUUUAGUCUAUAUUAGUCGUAGAGCAAGGCAAGAGCUAGCAAGGAGAGGUUGUCUCUUUGGAAGAAAGGAUCUUCUUGGUAUGAAUAAUAUUCAAUCUUCUUCCAUGAGCAAGUUAUAUUUAUCUUUAUAUGAUUAUGCAUAUGAACUAGAGUAUGGUUGUGUUCUUAUCAUGUUCAUAGUAUAUGAACUAGUUCUUAGUUCUUGUGCUAUGUUCUUGAUAUGUUCAUCAUUGUUCUUCAUUGUUCAUCAGAUUAGUAUGAUUAGGAUUAGAAUUAGGAAUGAGAUGAUGGUUCACUGUGCUGUGAUGGCUGCUCUUAGCCUAGCCUGUCACUACGAAGGGGUGGGCCCCGCAGGGGUUAGGAGUUGUUUCCAAUUACGUGAACAUGGUGUUCAGGUAUGCAAGAAUCAGUGGAUGUACGAGUAUCUUUCGGGUAGAGGGGUAGGUGGUAGGUUAGUUAUAGCUCUGUCAUCCUUUGCAUUCCCUCACGAUCAGGUAUUCUGAUAGGAGUUCUGUAAAGUCUCUAUCGGCUGGGUAUCCAGCUGCGGGGAUCUCCCCUCAUCUCAUGCUUGGUUCUAACUCUAUUUGUUGCUAAUUAGAUGAUCCGCUAACAGUUCUAUGCAUAGUUAUAUGUGACCCAUGCCUGCUCAAGUAGAUUUAUUUCUUUAUUAUUUAUUUAUUAUUUCUCUUCUAUUUUUAUUCUUUAGUUAUAUGUGACCCAUGCCUGCUCAAGUAGAUUUAUUUCUUUAUUCUUUAUUCUUUAUUUAUUAUUCCUCUUUAUUUAUCAUUUCUCUUCUAUUUUCAAUAAGUAAUCAUUUUUACACCAUGUUUGAUCCCUUUGCCUUCCUACGGGAAUUAUAAAUUCGACACCCUUGAAUACUCACGGGUUGAAAUGUUACAAUGAUAGUUUUGUCCGCUUGCAAUUAUAUUACUUCUUCAUUCAUGAACUAUCAAUUGGCGUACCUAAGUACCAUUACUUAAGAUUGUAAUCAUUGUGCACUUUCAAGCGUAGUGCCACAGCUUUGCAUAUCGCAAGUAAGGAUGGUUAGGAAGGCCAAUCCAGCAUUCCUAAUUAUUGUUACCAGACUGCACUGCUAAGGUCGGCGCCCUUGAGUUGCCUUGGGUUAUCUCUCUGAUGUAGCGAUAGUUACGGUAUGCCAACACCCAACAUUUCUGGUGUCAUUUAUAAGGAUGGAUCUAUGGUCUAUUUUUAGUAAUGAUGCUAAGAAAUGCCAACACUUCCCAUGGCAAUAGAGAUGGUUGCUACAAUAGCAAGCCGUGUUGAUGGCUUCACUCCAAAAUUAAUGACUAACAUUGUAUUCACGAAGCAUUGAUCUAGCCAUAUCAAUAUUCUAUUCUUUCUUUCAACUACAUCAUUGGAUUGAGGAGUGUAUGUUGGAGAGAAUUGAUGUCCAAUGCCAAGAUCAUCACAUAAUUCCUCAAUUCUUGUGUUCUUGAAUUCACUACCAUUGUCACUUCUAAUCUUCUUUAUAGUGGUUUCAAACUCAUUUUGCAUCAUCUUGACAAAAGAAUUGAAUAGAUCACAAACAUCACUCUUGUCAAAGAGGAAGAACACCCAAGUGUAUCUAGUGUAGUCAUCUACUAUCACAAAUCUAUAUUUGUUGCCACCAAUGCUAGUGUAUGUUGUUGGCCCAAAUAAAUCCAUGUGCAACAGCUCAAAUGCCUUUGAUGUGCUAAUUUCACUUUUCUUAGGAUGUGCAUUUCUAACUUGCUUUCUGGCUUGACAAGCACUACAUGGUUUAUCCUUCUCAAAGGUGACAUCCUUCAAGCCUCUAACUAAGUCAUGCCUCAAUAGUUUGUUCAAUUGUUUCAUUCCAACAUGACCAAGCCUUCUAUGCCACAACCAACCCAAACAUGAUUUGCUAAUUAGGCAAGAUGUCAAUUGAGUGUCACUAUCAUUGAAAUCAACCAAGUAUAAGCUACCAUGCCUAAAACCUUUGAAUAUCAAGUUUGAUCCAUCAACACUAACCACCUCAACAUCAUCACUACCAAAGAUGCACUUGAAACCAAGGUCACAAAGUUGUGCAAUUGACAAGAGAUUGAAAUCAAAGCUCUCAACUAGCAACACAUUUGAUAUGCUCAUGUCAUUUGAGAUAGAAAUUUUACCAAGCCCCUUGACCUUGCCUUUCUUGUUGUUGCCGAAGGUGAUAGAAUGAAAGCCACCAUUUUGUUUGUAUCAAUUGAUUUGAACAUACAAGACUCUUCGGUCAUAUGUUGAGUGCAUCCACUAUCAAGCACCCAAUGCCUUCCUCUGGCUUUGUAAUUCACCUACAAGACAAGAUUAAUUCUUUUUAGGUACCCAAACUUGAUUGGGUCCUCCAAGGUUAGCAACUAAGCUCUUUGGUACCCAAAUGGCUUUCUUCUUUGAGCCCAUCCAUGGUGCACCAAUGAACUUAGCGUGAACACCUUUUGUAUCCUUGGUAAGCACAUAGAAAGAAUUAAGCUUAAUUGAUGAUACAUGAGCUUUGAGAUUCUUGUUCAUGCAUUGUUGCUCUAAGUGACCAACUUGCUUGCAAGUUUUGCAAUAUCGGGCAUUGUUCUUCACAAAGCUAGCCUUGUGAGGAGCAAAGGCGGCCUUGCCUUUCUUGGGGUUAUAGCCUAAUCCCUCUUUAUAUAGAGAAGCUCUUUGGUUACCCAAGCACAUAAGCAAGCGGUCCUCACCACCAUAAGCCUUGGCUAAGGUGUGAUUGAGCUCUUUCACCUCCUUCUUGAGAAUUUCAUUCUCAACUUUUAGUGUGAUCUCACAUGUGAAACCACCACUACUAGAUGAGGAUGAUGUAGAUGUGCUACAUGAAGGGUUAGUGGAAGCAACAAUAAUAGGCUUACUCAAGAUAUCACAUGUUAUGCCUAUGUUGCAAGUUUUAGCUUUCUCCAUUUUAGUUGGCUCAUUUUCACACUUGUUAACUAGAGAGGAAUGAGCUUCUUCAAGCUUAGUGUGAGCCUUUUGAAGCUUCUUAUGGUCUUCCUUUAGACUCUCAUAAGAUGCUCUAAGCUCAUCAAGUUCUUGCUCAAGGGUUUUCUUAUUCUUAAGCAAGGCCUUGUACUCCUUCCUAGUUUCUUUAUAGUGAUGAGUACAAUCUUCUAGCAUAGUGAUUAGUUCAUCUUUAGUUGGUUCAUCAUCAUCACUAUCACUAUCACUAUCACUAGCAUGGUCACUCUCAUCAUCGGAUGAUACCUUAGUGGCUUUAGCCAUGAAGCAUGAUGGAGUGUCGAAGACGGAGCUUUUCUCUUGAAUAGCAAUGCUAGCAUGCCCCUUCAUCUUGAUGCUCUCAUCAUCACUUGAGGAGUCAUCACUAUCCCAAGUUGCAACAUGAGCAUCACCCUUCUUCUUGUUUGAGCCUUCCUUCUUUUCUUUCUUCUUCUUUUGCUUCUUUCUUUCCUUCUUGAUAGCAUCUUCAUCAUCACUAUCAAAGGGACACUUGGCGAUGAGAUGAUCCUUGCUAUGGCAUCUAAAGCAUCUCAUGGAAUGGUCAUUCUUCUUGGAGAAGCUCUUCUUCCAUCUUGCCCGAUAACCCUUCUUCUUCAUAAACUUGCCAAAUCUUUUGACAAGAAGAGCCAUCUCCUCAUCUUCAUCACUAUCACAAGAGCUUGCUUCUUCUUCACUUGAUGAUUCUAUCUUUGCUUUGCCCUUGGAUGAGGAGGCCUUGAAUGCCACACUUUUCUUCUUCUCAUCAUCCUUCUUCUCAGCAUCCUUCUUCUUCUUCUUGAUCAACACAUCCUUCUCAUCAUCUUCUCUAUAAGCAUCAUCGGUCAUCACUUCUUGGAACACUUGUUGAGGAGUUGAUUCACUAAGUGUGGUCUUGACUAGCAUGGUGAUCAAUGUGUCAAAUCUCUUGGGCAAGCUUCUCAAGAACUUCAUAGAGAAUUGACUAUCUUUUACUUCUUCCUCAAGUGCCUUGAGUUCAUUCACUAUGACUUGCAACCGGUGAAACAUCUCCGGCACACUUUCAUCUUCUUGCAUCUUGAAGCUUGAGAACUUUUCUUGAAGAAUGUAUGCCUUGGCAGUUUUGGUUCCCUUGGUGCCUUCAAAUGUUUCUUCUAGCUUUGCCCAUGCAUCAUGAGCAACCUCGAUGUUCUUGAUUUGCUCAAAGGUGUUGUCAUCAGGAGCUUCAUGAAGAGCACUUAUUGCAAUGUCAUUACAUUGAAGCUUCUUUUCUUCAACCGGUGUUGGUGCAUUCUCAUUUGCAACCUCAAACUUUGUUUCGGUCACCUUCCAAACCUCUCUAUUGAUUGACUUAAGAUGAGCGGUCAUCUUGACCUUCCAAUAUGCAUAAUUUGUGCCAUCAAAGAAAUUUGCCUUCUUGGUGUUGUUGAUAUGCAAACUUAGAGCCAUUUCUUCACCGUAGAUUGUUAAGCCUCAAAUAAACCGUGCCUCAGCUCCGAUACCACUUGAAAGGUCCAAAGGGCUAGAUGGGGGUGAAUAGCCUAUUUGAAAUUUCUACAAACUUUACUAAAUAAGUGAGUUAGUAAACUAAGUGCUGAAGCUAUUCUAGCACUAGCACAGCUAAGCUAUGCAAGCCACCUACACAAGUCUAGCAAGAAAGCUAAACACUAAACCACAACAACUAGAGAAGGCUACACAACAAUUAAGCUAAACAAGCUAAACUAAAAAGGUAUGGCAAGUAUGUAAAGAGAAGAGAGUGAUUUUUAUACCGACGUUGUAGAGAUGAGAUAUAUCCAAUCAAUCGCAUGCACAAUUUUAAUUGAGACCUCGGCAAGAGAUGACACAAGGUGGUAGAAUUGUAACACCCCAAAAUUUGCAAGUUUUCAAAAUAGGAAAAAUUAUUUUUAAUUGUGUAUUUUUGUGCCAUGAAAUAUAGGAAAAUUAAUAUUUUCUUUAAAUUAAAAUUUACUAUAGGAGUUAACAACUUGUUUGAGCAUGCAUGCCUCUGCAUUGGGUUUAUUGUGAUGAGUGGUUUUGGCUAAAGGUUAAAAAGAAUUCAAAUUUGGCUUUGAAAAUGUUUUGAAAUAGGUUUGUUUUUCAAAGAAAAGGGAAGCAGAAAAUAAAAAGAAAAGAACCCUUCCCUCUGGUUUUGGCCCAAGGGCCCAACUCCUUCCCUCCCCCUAUUUUUCCGUCGGUCCAGAAGCCGCGGCCCAGUCACCCCCUUCCUCCCCCGCGCCAGCAUCCCUUCCCCCCUCUCUUCUUCCACUGACGAGCGGGUCCUGCGCCCUUGAGUCACUGCCAGGUGGGGCCCACCUGUCAGAUCCGUCUCCCACCUCGUAACCGAGCUGGACUCGGUGGAGUUUCCGCACCGGCCACGCGCGAUCCCCGCGGCCGGCUUGCUUCGCAUGCCGAGGAGGCUUUAAAUAGCGGCCUCCGCUCCGCCGCAGUCCCCCUACCCAAUCCCAGCGCCAGCCGCCGCGUAGUUCUCGCCGAAAAGCGCCGCCAAGAUCUCCGCCGAAAGCAUCCUGCCGCUGCGACGCAUCUUCACCUCCGUAAGCUCCCUACCGAGCUUCCUAUCAUCCUUGCGAGUUCGCCAAGCCUUCUUUCUCGCGUUUUCAUGAUCUCUGCACUCUGUUUGACCUCGCCGAACUUCUCGCAGAGACCGUCGUCCGCCAUCCUUCAUCGCGAGUGCGCCCCAAUCUCUCCCCAACAUCGGUUUUGCCCUAGAUGAGUUCGCCUCGAGCUUCGUGACAUCCUGGUGCUAUCGGUUCUUUCUCUGGUGCUCUAAAUCGCCAGAUUGGCCAGCUCCGGCCAUGGCGCCGCCGUGAUUCCCUCCAACUCCGGCCGGCCAGCUCCCUUCCCCUACCUCGAUCUAAUCUCAGCCGUCCAAAUGAAAUCUGACGGCUUAAAUCGAAGGAUACCCCUUCGGCCGCGUCUUUUGCUAAAGAAACCCUGCGCUUUUUAAUAUAUAAACCGUAGUCCAAAACGCAGUUUCGAAAAUACGCUUUCUGAUUUUGAAGACGUAAACUCAGUACACAGAUUCAAAAUACGUUCUCAGAAAAUUACAAGAUUACCACUGAUUUUGUAUUGGUGAUAAAAUAUUCGUUUUAACUCAGUUUUGCUCCGUUCAAAUUGCGUUAGAUUCGUAAUCACAAGAUCUACAUGUUAGUCUCACUGUUUUACAAGUUUACAACUUUUUAUUGUCGUGACCCUAUUUAAUUAAUUAAUUUUCUAAAGAAAAUCUUAGGAAAAUCAUAACUUCUUCGUUAUAGCUCUGAUUUUCGUGAUCUUUACAUCUGUGUGAUCGUAGUGCGAUGUAGAUUUGUUUUAUAAACUUUUUAUCUUUAUUUGCUACUGUUGGUGUAUUGUUCUAAUUAUAGGUUUGUUUGCUUUGUAUGUUUGCCUCUAGAUGAUUGUUGUUGAUGUGGUGACUGAGUUUAGUCGGUGAGCUUUUACGUGGUGAUCAAGAAGCAGUUUGUGGAAGAUUUGGAACUAAAAGGAGGAUAUGAGUUUCAAGGCAAGUAUAGCAUGGGAUCAUCCUUGUUUCCUAAUAACUUUAAUCACACAAUUCAUAUUGCAUGUGUCUCUUUGUUAAGGAUUUCCUAGUAUUCAUCUUAUACCUUGUCACCUAUGGUUAUGCAUUGGGUAGCUUAUGCUCGUGCUCCACUAAACCAUGAUCUUGUAAUUUGAUUAAUGGAAUACGCAAUAAACAUUAAAAGAGGACUUUUUAGCAACUUUGGUAAAGAGGGCUGGAGAAUUGGGCUAUCCUAUGGUGCUCUAGUUUCUCUCCAUAAGGACUUAUCUAUAUAUGACCAUCCGGGACAUACAGUACAACUGUGAGGGCUACAUGGCUCUGGCUUUAGCUCAGUAUGAGGACCUUUUCUAGCUUGUUAGUGGUUACCCUUGUGGCACAAAUGGGGAAUAGCAGACCGUAGAUCCCUGCGGGUGAAUCACAUGGACUGACUAAUGAAACCAAGCGGCCCUAACUUGUUAGACGAACCUUUGAAAGGCUUCAUAGUGAACCCUGUCGACCUCCCUAGGAAGGGGGUUAAGAGAUUAGCUACCUCGAGCGAAAAGGUAAAUCAUGACUCACAGUGAAAGUGUACAACCUCUGCAGAGUGUAAAACUGAUAUAUCAGCCGUGCUCACGGUCACGGGCGGCCUUGGACCAAUACAUAAUAAAUGAUCACUAAUGGCAAAUAAUUAAUGUUAUUAUUGUUACUAUGUUGUUUAUACUAUUCUUUAUUCACUUUACUUGAUCAUGAGUUUACUAUGGGACUUGACAACUUGAUGCUACUAAUAUGCUAAAAUUGUGACAACUAAAAGCUACAUGCAGUUAAACCAGUGUCUAGCCUUUGAGCCUCAUGAAUCCUAUGUUAUUCUUGCUGGGUACGAGAUGUACUUACGCUUGCCUUUACAUUUUAUUUGGAUAAAAAUCCCGGAUGGGUACCAGAUUGCAAGCUUGGAAAAGAGUUUAGGCUUGUGCUCAACCAGUCAGUUGUCCCUGUGGAUUUGGAGCAUUCGCCCGAAGAACGGAGUGUCUUUCCGCUGUUUGCUAUCUAAGGUUAUAUCUUUUAAAUUAAGUUCGUUAUAUAUAAGCAUUGAUUAUUGAUAUUACCCUUAUUUGUGGCUAUAUGUGAGAUUUGACUUCCUGGGCUCACAUAUAGUGUGUAUCUGGUUUUGUUCUUAAAACCGGGUGCUACAGGUCAUGCCCAAGCCAAUACCAGACGAUAUACAUGAGAUAAGCUCAGGAAAUGCACACGUCAUCAUCACCAAAGUACCGUGUAACAAGACAGCUCGAGGCCACGCCGAUACGGAAGUCUCGAGUAGGUCAGCGCCAUACCCCUAUCGAGGCCUACUCGAAACACCUAUACCCUGUAACCUAAGCCUCCUCUUAGAACUAUAAAAGGGGACGCUGGGGACAACACAAGCAAGCAGAACAAGAUACGUAGAACACAGUUCACCCAUCACUACAACCAGCUAGGACUUAGAACCCUCAACUACAUUCUCUUGUAUUCGCCCUUGGACAAGCACUUAGGUGCAAGAUAAUACACACUCUCCCCCCAGAGGACGUAGGGCUUUCCUUUGCCUGAACCAGGAUAAACACUUGUGUCGUUCAUGCAUAACCAUCCGGAAAAGAGAGCACGCACACAAAUUCACUCGUUGGUGUUACCCCAGGGUCAAAACACCGAAAACUGAAUUGCUAAAUGGUUUUACUCAAUUUAAAUAUAAAUUUUUCUGGACAACAUACCCUGAGCUAAAAUCUUAUAUCCGCCACUGCCCAGAAGGCAAGUCUCCUGAUCGGUUACGAUAUAAGAGUUCUAGUAGGAUUAUAGAGUAGCAAUGUACCCGAAUACUAUGUCCCAUAAGCCCCCAAACACUGUAUGGUUGAUCUUUGGUGGCCUUCUUGUUCCUCUAGGUCUUGCGAGUAGAAACAAGCUUUGUCUAAGUGCUUCCAUCAGAGAAACUAUGUAGUGCUUUUGAAGUCAAUAUGCUUCACCUAGAGGAUAUGCUUAGCGUAUUGCUGGUUGAAAUAAAGAGUUAGGCGAUCUUGUCCGCAUUUCCUUGUCAAAAAAAAUUAAUUAAAUGCAUCCUAUGAGGAUAUGUAUUCUGCAGCCCUCGAGCCUACAAUACGACUAAGCAGAAUCGAUUAUAGGAUCUUGUAGACGUCCUCAAGGGUGCAGUUGAGUAAGGCCGUGUUUAGUUCAUAAAGAAAAAAAAUUCACGACACUGUAGCACUUUCGUUUAUUUGUGAUAAUUAUUAUCUAACCAUGGACUAACUAGGCUCAAAAUAUUCGUCUCGUAAAUUCCGACUGAACUAUGCAAUUAGUUUUUAUUUUUGUCUAUAUUUAAUACUACAUGUGGAGAAUCUUGAAAAAAAAAAGGUUUUUAGGUGGAAGUAAACAAAGCCUAACCUCCCAGGACAAUGAUUAGUGACUGUUUGUCGCCAAGUAAUUGAAUUCUUGUAAAGCCAACAAAGUUGAGGCAAUGGCCGAGCCCUCAAACUUAGUGCCGACUAUGUCAUGGAGGCCAAGAAGCCUUGUCAAAGAGGCGAAAGUAGCCAGCGUGAUGACCGAGUAGUAAGGUAGUUCUCAGGAGCAUAGUACUCCACCUAGAGUCACGGUGAGCGAGUAAGGCAACCCAUCAUGGAGGCGCGUACCUCACAUAACAGCAUAGUCCAAGGCCUUAUUUAGUUGUGAAAAGAUUUUAGAUUUCGCUACUGUAGCACUUUUGUUUGUUUGUGGCAAAUAUUAUCCAAUCAUAGACUAAUUGGGCUCGAAAAAAUCGUCUCGCAAAUUACAGACAAACUGUGCAAUUAGUUUUUGUUUUCGUCUAUAUUUAAUGCUUCAUGCAUGUGCCACAAGAUUCGAUGUGAUUUAGAAUCUUGAAAAGAUUUUGAAUUUCGGGGUGAACUAAACAAGGCCCAAAUCUGGUUUCCUGCAAGAUAAACAUACAAAAUGUUGUAGUUAUUGAUAUUCAGGAUAUGAAGUCGGGAGCAGGUCUCAUGCAUGUAAAAUAAAAGGUCGGAAGGAGAUCCCAGUGUUAUGAAAUGCAUGUAAUAUUUUUUUUCGCGUCUUGCUCUUGCUAGGCUGUUUUAAUUCCCCGAUUAGUUGACCCCUUAUUAUACUAGUUAGGUGUAAUUCCGAUUAUCCAAAGUACGUGGAGCUGUGUUACUAGUCAGUCGCCAUGGGCCAGUAGUCGGACGAGGUGUUUUGGCCUCGUGUAUGCAUGUAUGUUCUGCAUGCAAUUCUUUAAUAUACUAGUUAAGUGCCCGUGCAUUGCUACGGGAAUCACUUACGGGUCAUCGCAUACGCAUGCAUGAAUCAGUAUUUUAAUUAAAAAAAAUUUGCCGUGGUUCUGUUUUUUACAACAUCAUAUAUGUGAUAGACAUGUAUUCAUUUAGACGAAGGAUAAGAUAUUGCAUAUCAUAUACUUGCCAAUGUAAAUAUACCAAGGAACUCAAGAGCAACAUAUUUUUACCAUGAGAACAACUUCUACACUUCACCGUGCAAGUUCAGCCUACAAGUCUCACAACAAAUGACAAAGCAAUAAAAUAAAAUUAAAAGGUGGAUCAUGUAGUUUACUCCCUCAUCAUUGAACCCGAGAAAAAAAGCAAAUACUAACUCAUUGGUAUAACACUUCAGUUCACCUGACGCUAAAAGACCAUUUUUUUUGUCCUCCACAAGAAAUCACUGAACUAUAUCCAAGGAUCUAAUUACUUCCCCCCUACUCCUGUCCAGCUAAGAGUUUCAACAUUACAUCCUUUAAUCAAAGACAGUAGGAUAAUCUUUCUACCAAAUCAAUCCCUACAAUGUGACUAAAUACUCUAAAUGUGCCCAACUUAGCACCUUUAACUAACAAAACUGAUACUAUUUAGAUGGAAAACAACUUGAUAACAUUGACCAAUAUGGUUAGCAAAUGUAUAUCUUGCAAAUCUGUAAAUCUUGAGCACUGUCGGCUGUACUCCAUGCACAUUAUUCAAUAGCAGUAGAUAGAGUAAAGUGUAAAUAGUUGUCUGUUUCAGUUUUACAGGUAGCAAUGUCCUAGCUAGUCUUUAGGAGGACAGGUGUGUGGUGUUAGUGGGUGAUUGGUCAUAGUUAUUAGUGGUCAGUUGCCUAAGUUGUGAAUAGUUUCUAGGAGCCACUAAGUGGUUCCUGGUGACUAAUCAUGGCUUUGCAUAUAUAUAUAUAUAUAUAUAUAUAUAUAUAUAUAUAUAUAUAUAUAUAUAUAUAUAUAUAUAUAUGCAACAAAAAUAGAAAAGUUGCAAGUACCAUAUCUCUGAGUUGAGCCUCUGAUCUUGAGUGAUCCAGUUUAUAGUGAGGUUGAUUGACUUACACCAUCUCUAGCAGAGCCACUGUGCCAUGUCCCUGGCCAUCACCAACUGUGCCCUCUCCACCUGUGGCAGAGAGAUCUUCCUCCACAGAGCCAUCAAAGAAAUCAAGCAAACCUUCGAUUGAAACCUUCAAAUAUAUCAUCAAAUUUGCUGAAAGAAAUACAUCAGGUCAGAUGAUAAUAUCCAAAUCCUGAUUUGGGUGCAUAAUAAGAAGUGCAGAAGCAAUACCAGUUAUCAUCUCAAAUUAGAAUCCAAAAAUUUCCAGUCUAAUGUUUAAGAAGUGCUGAUAAGAUGUGCAGAAGCAAUACCAAUGAUCAUCUCAAAUUAGAAAGCUAAAAUUUAUAGUUUAAUGUUUAGAACUUAGGCAAACUGCUUCAGACUCUUAAACAAGUAGUUCCCAACAAAAAAAAAGAAAAUCGCAAAUGAAAAGGAUGUUUUAUUAUGGUAAGGAUAAAACAUAAUAAUGAGACGAAUAAUUAUCUAGGAUCAUACUAAUCGCUAUUGCUAUUCCAAUAAAAUAUAGGGAUCACAAGAGUUGCAUUAAGUCACACAUCUACAUUACAAAAGCUGAGUCAAUAAUUCCUCAACACAGUGAAUAUUCCAAGAACUUUAUAAAUGUAUAAUAUAGUGAAGAUCACCACACUGGUUUGGACUCUACUAAUUCCCACUAUGGAAUUUGCCAUGAAUAAUGCCAAGUUUCAUGGCAAGAACCAAGUAUCAUAAUUAGCAUAAUUAGCAUUAGCAUACCUGGGAUUGGAAAAAAUCUCUCGUUCAGUCUCAGCGGUUGGGAUAGAGGAGCGGGAUGCCUGUUGCUUUGCUGCUGCAGCUUCUCGUCCCAGACCUCGACGGGCAGCGCAAGCCAAGGUGACAAUUACCAAGACCAAGAGGGUGGGGUGGAGAGGUCCAUGACCCACGGCGUGCUUACCAAGGUGACACUGGAGGAAACAGUUUGGUGAGCAGGUUAGGAGCACGAGCCACACACCUCAACGGAGUCGGUGCUGAGGACGAAGUGGCAGCGACAGCGGAGUCGUCGUCGGAGGCUGCGCCCUCGGCGCGGGCGUCGCAGACGCACAGAUGGUCCCGGCAGGGUCUAGCCUUUUGGUCGGGGAGGACGCCAGAGAGUAGGUCGAGGGUGGCGUCACAGGAAAGAGACGCCAGGGCUGCACAAGGAGGCAGCGGCAGCGGACUCACCGGAGGUCGACGUCCUUGGCGCGGCGUCAGGGAUGCACCCAAGGUCGCGGCAUCGGAGGUUGGCAUCCGUAGAAGCGGUGCUUCGUGGCGGCAGCAGAGGUCUCCUUGGUGUCCAAUAGCAGAUCGCGGCGGUAGGGAUCGUGCCGAACUGGGCAUCUUGCGCGAACGCUCGAUUCUGCUGAUGCCUAGGCAGUGCGCGAUAGAAGGGGAGAAUCGUGGGAGGCGUCAUGCAUGGGCUUUCUCCAAACCGGAGGCAGCUGCGAAAGCAGUCUAGCACCGGGGCUAAGCAGCUGAGGAGCUUGCGUCGUGUGAAUGGCGUACUGUGGCAGCAGCCGCGGCGGCGGAGCGUGACAUGGUCGUGGUCGAGCGCGUGUAGAGAACGGGCUCACUCGCGCGUGCAGAGAACGGGCUCACCCGAGCGCCUGGUGUGCGGGGAUGAGUGCGUCACGGUUUGCCUAUUCACGCAGGGGAGCUGCGGUGGAAGGGAACGUGCGCGAGUGGAAGGGAGCCGCGGUAGUUUUGCAUAGCUGGCCGAGACGAAGCGUGCUGCGAAUGAGGGGAGGCAGGCCGAUAGGUAGCGGAGACAAUAACAUUUGUCUCUUUUUAGUUGUAGAGAUUCAAGUAUGUACGCGUGACAGAUAUCUUGCAUGGCUCUGAAGAUGUACGUCGUCCUUCCUUACUUAGUUGCUUCGAUCAUUGUUAACUACUCAAUCUAUCCUAAAAUGUUUACCUUUUUACACUAGUUCUAACUAUUCGUCUUAUUCAAAAAUUUAUGCAAAAUAUCACUUUUUUUACCAUGACUUAAUUUAUUAAUAAAAGUUCUACAAGAAUAGCUUAAAUUUAAUUAUGUUUGUAUAAAUUUUUUGAAUAAGACGAGUGAUCAAACUUGAAGUUAAAAAAGUCAAACGACUUAUAAUUUGCGAUAAAGAGAGUAGUAAUGACAGUCCAAGUAUGUCCGAGUUUGCCUCCGCCGCUAGCUGUUGAUUGCAACCCGAAUCUAACUCCUGCAGCCCUAGAAGUAGUUUGUUGGAGUCGGAACGUAGCUGCAUGGCUGAAUCGAAUGAACUCCUUGUUGCCUCGUUUGCAUACAUCUUGCAUGUGGUCGAUCGAUAUAGCCUGAUUGAUGAUCAACAUAACGCCCGAUGCCAGGCUUGCAGAAGCAGAGCCUCGUGCGGGUGCGUGGGUACGGUCAACUCAAUUGGAAGGGGAGACCCGACCUGAGCACGAUCCGGCACCACGGCAGGUGAAUGUGGUGAAGCUUCUGUGCAGCGUCUCGAGAUCGGACGAUGCGAUGAGCCUACUGUUGUUCCAGCACACCUCCUCAACGGUAGCUUGUACAAGUAGUUGGCUACACGGACCAUCGCCGAGGACUUGCUGAUGAUUUGAGGUCCGUCGAACACUACACACUUGCCACUACUACAGAAUAAGACAUUAGUCGAUAUCCAAAAUGGCCAAAAACAUCGGUCUUUUUGCGGUCCGGGGUUAAACACGCCUUUAGCACCGGCUUGUAACACCAACCGGUGCUAAAGGGUCCUACCCAACGGCUACUGACACGUGCUGUCGGGGCAGGGACCCUUUAGCACCGGUUCGUGUUACAAACCGGUGCUAAAUGGUCCCCUUUAGCACCGGCCAGCGCGACGGGCCGAGGCAAACCCUUUAGCACCGGUUUUUUCCCUGAACCGGUGCUAAAGGUCCAGUUUAUAGGCCGGCUCCCUCCUCCCCUGUGCCCAUUUGAAACCGAGAGCACCAUUGUUGUUCUUGAAGCUUCUUCUUGCUUGUUCUUCAUUUGAAACCGGUGUCUUUCCACUGGCGGUUUGGUUAAGUGAAACGCUUGUAGAAAGUGUUUUACACUAGCGGUUCACUUAAUGAAACCGCUAGUGGGAAUGCACAAUUUUCACAGGCGGUUCAAUUAAGUGAAUCGUCCAUGUAAAUGUUUUUACACAGGCGGUUCCUUAAGCCAGCCGUGAGUGAAGUCUCUAGUACAAAUAUCUCUUCUUUCUCCCUGAGCAGAGCUGUUUCUCGCAGCCACCAUCCAGAGGAGACCAUUUUGAAGCUCUAGUUUUCACAAAAUACACACUAUACCACAACCCAAACUAGUGUCCGGCCAAGGGUCGCUAGAGAUAUGAAAAUAGCGUUGGACGGUUGGUCGAUAUAGCUUAGCGGCUUAUGGUCCGAUGCUAUAUUUUGUUUUGGCGUCCGUCGGUUGGACGCUAGUUUUAUUUGGGUUUACCGUUGGACGGUCGGACGCUAUUUCUUAUGAACUGGGUCCGCCGGUCGGUCGCCAUAUUGGAUUGGUCCCACGCGCCCAACUUCCCUUGAUUUCGCGCCUACAAAUUUAGAGGACGAAAACGUCAUGGCGCCCUUCUCUGUCUUAAUUGGCGCCUAAAUUUUUGGAGGCCCACUUGUCAGAUGAAAAAACUAAAACCUAGCCACUCCAAUCUAAUUUACAGCAUCCUCGCAGACUCCAGAAACCAGUUCGUGACCCUCCCAUGCUCGCAUCCUCGCAGCGCCGUGCCGUCACCCCCAGGCCGACGUCUCCCAGGCGCCCCGCCCAGGCCAGCGUCUCCCCGGAGCCCGGCCCAGGCCGUGCGUCUUCCCGGAGCGCUGCCCAGGCCGGCGUCUCCCCGGCGUGACGCCCAGGUCGGCAGCCCUUCCGCUCGCCAACCAGGCCGGCGGCCCUUCCGCUCGCCGCCCAGGCCGUCGACUCUCCGGCGACCCCGCCCCGUCCACUACGGUGGUUUCCCAUCGAGUGCCCUUGGCAGCACCUAGGGGUGGAUCUGUUCCCCAUCGAGCAGGCAGCAACCAUGAGCAGGCAACACUUUGAGAUCUUCUUUAAUCAAAUUCAAAGGUAAAUAUCAGUUGCCAUUUCAUCAUUGCUCAAUUUGCUUUGACGAGGACACACGCUCACAUGUUUAGUCUUGUUGAAGAUUUGGCCGGAUUUGAUUGUGUGCUAGCUUGCUUCUGUCGGUUGACGGAUCUCUAUAUUACAAAAUUUUUGAAGCAACUAAGUACAUACUUAUUUCUGUGCGAGAAGUGCAACCGUACAAGGACUCUGAAUUUUUGGGGCCUCAAAUUUACGGUCUGUCAGUCUAAAAAUUGUUUCGAUACUACAUCUUUGCCGUCCAUUCGACUCCGAGACGAGACCUGAUCAAAGUCAAUCAGUUGACUCACUAAUUUCCUAUCCAUCCACCGAUCAAUGUCCACCUGCUUUGUCUGUCAUCUCGCCAUUUUCUGCUAUGCCUGGAAAGUUGACGGAUCUCUAUAUUACAAAAUUUUUGAAGCAACUAAGAACAUACUUAUUUCUGUGCGAGAAGUGCAACCGUACAAGGACUCUGAAUUUUUGGGGCCUCAAAUUUACGGUCUGUCAGUCUAAAAAUUGUUUCGAUACUACAUCUUUGUCGUCCAUUCGACUCCGAGACGAGACCUGAUCAAACUCAAUCGGUUGACUCACUAAUUUCCUAUCCAUCCACCGAUCAAUGUCCACCUGCGUUGUCUGUCAUCUCGCCAUUUUCUGCUAUGCCUGGAAAGAAACCUGAACUUCUGAAGUCUGUUAUACGCCUAUGCUGAUUUACAAACUGGCGAACUGCCAUAGAGGCUGCAGGCUAAUUGGUAGUUGUCAUAUAUAGUAUUUUACUGUUGGAAUUAUUUAUAUUGAUUAAUUACUUACUAAAUGCUAAACUUUGGCCAGUUUGUGUAGAACUUUUGUGCUGGAAUUAUUUGUUUAAGAGGUUUGCUAUAUAAAACAUUUUAAUAUAUAUAUUGUUGUCAUUAUUUUCAGGGCCUAUUUUAAAUUUUCGAACAAGGUCCCGGAUUUUGUCGGCACGGCCCUAUUUCUACAUUACACAUUCCUACUAAUAUUGAUAUAUUUAAAAAAUUUAGUACAUUUCAUAUAGUUUAAUAAAAACAAUAUAAUUCCUUGCAAAAUAAUACAAACACCAUGAGAAGUGUUGAGUGUUAUUGCUGACCACAUGCAUGUUAUAUGUUCCCUGCUGACCAACUAAUUUUUUUCUCUCUGUAGCUCAAGAUUCAUAGAAUUUCUCUAACUGACAAUAUUUUUUGUUGUGUUGGAGUGUCUAAUGCUUUGGAGUCUCUUUUGUAACAGAUGGGAUUUAUCGAUAUGAUAUGAAAAGCAGGAGGGAGUAGUAGGAGCUGUUGUGCUGAAGCCAGGAGUCAAGAUCUGGGAGGUGUCCUCGAGUUAAGAUCCGGUGUCGUUCGAACAAGCAGUUGUCAUCGUGCUUGUGGAUUUAAGGUGAUGCUCUCUCCCUCUCUUCCGUCUCCAUGUGUGCUUAUUUUAAGAACCAUUAAUUUUUGGUGCCCCAAGUUUCAUGGAUGGAUUAUAUGAUUUGGAUAGUUUUAUGUAGGCACGAAAAGGCAUAUUUUUAAGGAGUGGAUAGUUUCUUAGCUUUUGCAUUGAGUAACUCAGCUGUUGGUAGCAAGAUUAUUGAAAUCCUACUUUAUGUAGUAUUAACAAUGAUACUCUAUGUAUUUAGAAUAAACUAAAAUCAAUUAUUGAGGAACAUCCUGAGUUGACACAAAAGUCAAUCCAAGAAGGUGAUGCAUUUGCUGCUGUUUGUGGAGAAAAAGAGCCAAAAGGACGCGUGCGUGUUUUGGGUCUAGGUCCAACUCCCCAAAGUGUUGGUACACCAGAGGUGAAGUCUUACAUACAAACAAUCAUUCAAAUGGAAGAGCUGGCCAUUAGAGAUGUAGAAUUAGCCAUAGAGAUGCACAAGCUGAGCUCUACGACAACGUAUAGUGGAGCUAGAACAACAACUGUUGGAGGAAAGGUUAGCACGUGAAAGGUCAAAUAUAGAAAACAUCUCACAGAAUGGCUCUAAUUCACAACAUCACAUGGUAAAUGUUUACACCUCCUCUAAUUCAUGGCUAAUAUACUAUCAAGUGCUACAUAAAUCUAUAAUUUGUCUUGUAUGUUUAUAGAGCCCAAGGUCUGAAGAUGCUGGUGUCGAGACACGUGUUGAAGCUGAAUUUAAUGAAAAUGAGGAUACAUAUGAAGAACAUACUAAUGAGUGUGAUUACACGACUAUGCAUAGGCAAGCUACACCCCUCCAAGUCCAGGAAUGCCCUCAGUCCAGCCCCAUUAGUGGAGCUCCAUUAGAACAAACUUCUCAUCGUCAUCCAAACCUUGUUCAUGCAAGCACAAUAGCCCAGCAGCCUCAUCAAUCCACCAAGAGAGGAGCCCCAUCCCAGCAGCCCCCUCAAUCCACCAAGAGAGCAACCCCAUCCCAGCAGCCCCCUCAAUCCACCAUGAGAGCAGCCCCAUCCGAGCAGCCCCAUCAAUCCACCAUAAGAGCAAUCCUAUCCCAGCAGCCCCAUCAAUCCACCAAGAGAGCAGCCUCAUCCCAGCAGCCUCUCAAUCCACCAUGAGAGCAGCCCCAUCCCAGCAGCUCCCUCAAUCCACCAAUAGAGCAGCCCCAUCCCAGCAUCCCCCUCAAUCCACCAUGACAGCAGCCCCAUCCCCUCAGCAGCCCCUUCAAUCCAACCAUGUUCAUGUCCAGCAGCUGCAGCCCUGUCAGGACAUAGAUACAAGGAAGGGUGAUACUAAUCAUUCCUCAUAUGACGAAUAUGUAAGUUCUCAUUCAUCCUACAAUUUGUUGCUUCUAGGUUAAUGGUGUUUUUAUUAGUUGAUACAAUUCUCAUACAUCCAUCAUUUGUUUUAGACUGGCAGAGAAGUUAUACUUUAUCCAAACAUGAAGUCUAGUCAACCUGUCGCCAAGGGAAUGGUUAUUGCAACUAAUCCUAGCUGCGUGCUAGCAGGACAGGCUCUUGGAAGGCAAAUUUGUCAAGUUGUUGUUAACCUUGUGAUGAAAAGAGAUGUUGUUUUGCCUCACCCUUAUGCAGGUGUUGAAAAUAUGGCCGAUGAAAAGGACUUGGGAAUUGCAUGGCCAUACAAUUGGGUAAUAAGCAACUUUUUUUUUAUUUCUUAUUUCCAUUUGUUUUAAGAAUGAUGAGAUUUUCUGAUUACUGAUAUCUCUAACAGCUGAAGCUUUGCAAAACAUCAAAAUCAUCCGAUGAUACAGGUAUACAAAUAGUACUUUAUCCCAAGCUCAAUCUUGUAGUAGCCUUAAUAUUUACAUCUUGUGCAAGUGCAUGCAGCUUGCUCUGUCUCUAGAUUGUGCAUGUGCUUGUGAUUGUGCCAUUUAUAUUAAUUAUUAGUUGGCUUGUUAGCUAGUCAAUUCCUGGAGCCAUAUUAACUUGCAAACUACGGCCGCAGAGCCUCUAUGAACUGCUUUCUUCAAACCUGGGUUCACAUAUAUAUUAAAUUCAGCAUCAUAUAUCUGUUUCUUCUUUGCCACAAAAUCACUGGGUAUCAUCAAAAUUUAUUUAUGUCAAAAAUAUGAUUUCUCAAAGAACAUUUAAAUAUCUAACACUAACUAGGAAAGGUGCUCCAGCAGUUCAGCCUUCAAGUAUAUAAUUAUUAUUUUUUCAAACCUGCACAUCACUUCUCCGCUUUGCAUACAAAAAAGAGAGAAGAGAUGGAGCUCAAGUUUAUUCUUUUUCAACUCCAAAUUCCGAGGGAAUGCCACCCCCUGUUCGCCCUCAGGUUACACUGGACGUCCUCAACACUCGCAUGGGAGGACUGGAGCUCUAGAACAGGCAGAUCUAAGGUACGCUGAAUGCCCAGACUGCUACCCAAUGGCAUCAGUAGACCCAGCAGAGCUUCAUCGACCUUGAGGAUGCAAGGCGUUGCCGGCACGAGGCACAGAUGGCCUACCUGCGAUCCAUGGGACAUUUCCCUGGACCGCAGCAGUGAGCUAGCUUAGGGGAGGACCCCCACAAGAGGUAACAUGUAUCUUACAUUCUUGCACUUAAUUUUAGUUCUUAAUUUCAGUAUUUAAGUUUCAGCAAUGUUUCAUCAUCUUUCAAAAAAAAUUCCACUCUCAUGUGCGCUAUGAUAUGUUAGUUUCUCUUCUGGUGAAAUGAUGAAUAGUUGCUCUAUCUAUAAUUCUCUAGUAUCUAAGUUAUAAUUUAGUGUUCAUCAAGAUUUAAGUUUAUUGGCUAUAUGACUUGCUUAGUAGUUUGUACACCUUUAGUCAUAUAUGGCUUGCGGCACUUUGAGUUGAGUCAAAUCCCAGGAAACCUAGAGUGAGAUUAUGGUCAUGCACCCAUGAUAUGAGAUUCACGCACCCACCAAAUAAAGCCGACUCUCACACUGAGAAGUUGCGCACAACAUGCACCCUUCCAUCCACCAAAAAAUAUGCCAACUCUUACCCUGAGAGUUGCGCCUUAGCUUCCACCAAAUAAGUAUGCCAAACUCUCACCCUGAGGUUUGCGCAUCCCCAUACACAAUUUUACUCCUUACAUCACCAUCAUGACAUCUCUCCAUUUUCCUCUUUGAGAUCCCUUUGAAACAUGUGGGCACCAGUUAUCCAUGAAAAAAAUGAAGGAAAAGCCAAAGGGCAUGCACGGGAAAAUCAAAAUCCCCGUCAGAAUAUAUAUAUAUAUGAUCCAUUUUUUUAGAGCCAUAUGUUUACAUUCUCUCAUUCUCUUCCUCAAAUAAAGAGAGUCAUUAUACAAGGAGUAACCAAAAAUAUUUAGAUAGGACUACCACAAAAAAUUCCACACACUUGCACAUCUCAAUCAAGGUGUAUGACUUGUAUCUCCUCAUGGUCCGGGCUUUGACUUGGCAACACAAGUGUCGUAAGUACGCCCACCUUUAUACCUUCCCAAAGCUCCAUUCUCUGGUAGGUCUUAAAGGCAAACACAAAUGCCUUUGGUGGGGAUUUCAUACACAUUGAGCGAUCGAGAGAAUCAUUUGAGGAACUUAUUUAUUUUGCAAAAAUUUAUAAAACCUCCGGAUUGAUGGUCUAUCAAGGGAUCAAUGAAUGGUGAGUUUGUUACAACCAUUCUAUCAUGCAACCACACAAGAACUUGGAAAAGCUAUAAGCCCCAUGAGAAGUCAAGGUAAAGAGUGGACAGCAUGGCAACUUAUUUAAAUUGUGAAUGAAUGCUUUGUUAUAGGUAUGGUACUCUUGAAUUAUAUGGGCAUAGUAGCAACUCCUGAUCAACAACCAUACUUAAUUAUUUGCUCGAGACGAGCAAAGGUUAAGCAUGGGGGACUUGUUGGCAGUCAUUAUAGACCAAUCAUAAACUGCCAACUUGAUCCAAAAGGAGAAGAAGCAAUCAAAUUAUAUACACACAUGCAUUUUAUUACUAACAAGUUCCACUUGUACCAUAGUGAUUAUAUUUUGCAGGAAUUAUAGUGCAACAAGUGGAAAUGUGCCAUACCACGAAGAAAGCGCAAAGUACCAAAAGACGUAUUCAAAAAUGCAAAAACCAAGAAAAUAGAGAAAGGCCUGAACAACGUAGAACUAGGACUAAUCGUAACCACGGGAGUGAUCCAGGCCCAAAGCCAAACCGAUCACGCGAAGGCGGUGGCCAGGGGGACCCACCCAGGGUGCGGCCACACGCUGGUGUGGGCGCACCCCUGGAGGCGGCAAACCGGGCCCAUCUUUCUCAGGCGAUUGCAUGCCGCCAUGCAUAGGACAGUUUCACCUACUACCAAAUUGUUGGUGCAAAAGCUAAUCUGCAAACACAAAGGGCUAAUACCCGAUUCAAAUGUUAAGGCGUGCCAGUCGAUUUGACCUUACAAUCGACAAAGGUGGUAACUCGAACACUUUGGUCCCGACAACAGCGCUGCGCCCGGAUGUCACGGCCAAGAGGUGCUCACGCGGAACUUGAGAAUACGCCGAGUUUGACUCGACAAAUUCCAAAGAACUCGUAGUAAAAGGAAAAUAUAACGAAGUCGUCAAAAAAGUAGAUGCUAGAAUAUGUGUAAAAACUUGUGUUUGAUUGAUUGAUAGAUAUCCCAUUACAUUGACACGGGGUCUAUAUUUAUACCCUGACCAAAAGAGUUACAAGCAGACACGACUAGGACUCAAAUUCCAAAUUGAACAGAAUCCAUAUACAAAACAAACUCUAAUAACUAAGGAAAACAUUAAACUAUCCUCCACAACUGAUCCGUACACAGCUAUGAGCCAAUUGGCAACCCUCGCAUCUUCCUCUAUGACCAUCGGCAGACCACCUUUCAUCGCCAUCGACAACCAUCAGCAUUGGCCAUCGGCAUGAACGCAUCACCACUCCUGGACUUAGUCAUAUUCGGCUGCUCUCCCAUCAGAAUCGACCUUCAUCGGCAACUCCCUUGUAGACUAGUCACCAUUGCUCCAUCUGCCGAUCUACAUUUCAUUAACUCCAGGUGCGCUUCAAAAGAUACGUGUCCAAAAACGGUGUCAACACAUGCCCCCCAAUUUCGGAGUAUAAAAUCAUUAAUGCUCCGAACUUCUCUUCAGUAAUGAUGCCUUUCCGCAAUUACUCCUCCCAAUUUAGUAAUCAGCCGCCAAAUCUGAACAACCUCAGCCCGAUUCUCCUGCAGAUUCCUCGAAUUCCUGAACCAAACCUCCCCACUUAUGCGCUCAUCGGCAAUAUUACCGUUAGAGAAAACUGCUGAUGAACCGACCAGGCGAUCUUGCACAGUAAAAUAUCUUCAAAAUCAUGACCGCUUGCUGUCACAUCACCUUUGCAAUCCCUUGAUUAUCGUGCGAACAGUUACCAUAUCCACCUGAACACCCUCGGAUUUCACGGAUGAGGCAAAGAGAUAAGUCAGAUUUGCCCCUGCCCAUUUUGUCCUAUAAAUACUUCCUUCUCCGGUACUCUUUCUCCAUCUUGUCAUUCUACAGCCUCAAAUCCACUUUCCUGGCGGCGGCAUUGCCUGAGAACUCCAAGGACUCCAGCAAGGGCAUCCCCCACCAAUCUUCAAAGUCUUCGAUCCCUCCCCUUCCUCGGGAAGAAAUGGCCAUCAACUUCAUCGUUCCUGAGGUCAGCCUACCAUCCUUCUUUUAUACUUUUACCGUACUCCUGUUCAUCUGCAAAUAUGGUUACUGAGUACCUUUUCCCUUCUUUUUUGUUUCUUUUCUGUUCUUCCAUCCUCAAAACCUUUUAGGAGUUGGCCGAUAAAAUCGUGAUCCCUACCGAUCAACCCCACUUCCAGUGUCUUGGCCCAUUGGGGAACCCAGAUCCCACCGAUCUGAUAAAUGCAGAGACAAAUAGAAUCCCCUUUAGGGCCGAGAACUUCUCCUUAGAUCUAUGGAAAGAUGCUUUCCGUUCCUGGCCCAGCCCUACCAAGGGAUGGAAAGACUGGUUCCUGAUAGUCAGUCAUUCGAAUGAAGUCUAAUGGGGUGAACGGAAAUUAGACCAAUGCAUCAGAUUAUCUCUUGCCGAUAUGGAGAGGAAUGAGUCACUGUUGAUAGCUGCCUCGUACUUUUCGUCGGAUACACUUAAUGCUUUUGUAUUCGGCCACAGCCCUGCUUCACCUACUCUUGCCGAUGUACUUAUGCUUACCGGCUUGGACAUAUCAACUGCCGAUAAUAGUCAUCUAUUUGAUAAUAAGACCAGUUCUAAAGUAGAGACUCACGCUAUCGGCGGUUGGUCCUGGUACAUACAGAAGUACCGUAAAACAGGAUCUGUUGGGGAAAGAGAACAUGCCAUUUUCCUGAAUAUGUGGCUCGAUAAGUUUGUAUUCUACGGUCGAUCGGCAGGACCAACCUCGGUCUAUCUAUCGGCAGCAGAGAGACUGGCUAAUGGUGGCCGAUUUCCUCUUGGCCGAUACUUUCUUGGUUCUGUCUACCACCUUCACCACUAGGUAGCCAACAAACUCCUGCUAGGCCAACCCAUCGGCAACUUAGGGGGACCCUGGUGGUUUAUCAACAUGUGGCUCAGUGUUCACAUGCACAAGCGUCUUGGAUUCGAUCUUUUUGAAAACGCUUUCUAAGAGACAUAGCCGAAGAUCACGAAUUAGGUGAUGAAGAAUCGGCAACUCGUCCACCUUUGAACUUUGGUGAGGCUGCCAUAGUUCUACUUGGUACUGGUGGUAAUGAAGACCAGAUCAGCCGAUUCUUCCAAACUCUUUAUGAGGGUCUGACCAAGGACCAGCGAGCAUGGAUGCCCUAUGAAGACACAGAAACCAGAUUCUCACUCACUUUCCAUCCCUUCGACAAUGCUCUCAAUAAGGACCAUGAUCUGAUGAUGGCAAUUAUUACUCUGAGAGCCAUACCAGUGAAUUUCUUUGGCAGUGGGAAAGCUUCUAAUCUGACUUACGAGUUCUAUAACCCAUCGGCACUGGCUCAUCAACUGGCCUUUGGACAGCUGCCGAUCGCGCUCUACUGCGCCGAUGUGAUGAAACUGAGGAAGGUCAUGACUAGCGGUCUUGAGUGGAUCAGAAUAGCUCAACUCCCACCAAAUGUCGAUACGUCAAACAUCGAUUUAUCGGCUUGGAUUCCAGCUCUCUUCAUUACUCAAGCAUACAAACAAUGGUGGGAAGAAUGGAAGGACCACCUGUUCUGCAGAUCGGCCCUCACAUACCGUGGCACGAUCGACCCCAAAUACAAAGUUCCUGAGAAUACUGUAAGCUUUUAACCGAUGCUUCAAUCUUCUUUUAUUACUUUUAUUUCUAUCGGUAACUUACUCCUCUUUUAAACAGGUCGACGACACACCACCGACAGUUAGCAGAAGCGGAAUGCCGAUUGAAGUCCUUCCAUCAGGCCCGAUAUCCCUCAUCGGCAACAACGCACCAACCCUAGCAGCUCUAAUGCACCGGAAUGUGCACUUCAAAAAGAUCACCACCAAACGAGCCAGGAUACCUCCAUCAGCCGCUGCUGCCGCUUUCAUCUAAGCCUUCUAGGUAAAUUCUUGACUUGCUUCAAUUUAUACCGAUUCCAUUCUAUACUCACACAACCUUUUCCAUACUCUAUUAUAUCUAUGCUCACGAAACUUUUGUUGUCGUAUCAGCAAACAAGCCAAUCGGCAAAGACCAGAAGUACCAAGGCGAGUGCCGAUGCCCCCCAGUCUACCAAGAUCAAGAGGAAAGGCCCCAAAAGCACCAAGUCAAAGCGAAACGCUAGAGAACAGCAACGCCCUCUCCUCCUCCUCCAGAGUUACUGAUUCAUGUGGAAUCAUCUCCUUCGCCAGAAGUUCAGACACGACAAGCAUCACCCCCACCCUAGCCACAAGAGGUACCUCGGCCAGAAGAGAUGUCAGCCGAUGGACUUUAGCAGACUGCUGGCCUAGUGGAAGGAAUCAUAUCAUUGGUAGUUUCUUCAAUCCAAAUAAGCACUGCUCCCCCUCAGGGUAAAGUACUGUCCAUGAAAUUAUUACCGAUGGAUCUAUUUUUUGAACUCAUAAUCAUCUCUGCUAAUUUUCAGCAGACAUUGUUCCAUCGGCAACUCUAGCCGAUCAAUCUAUAGUACCACCGGCUUCAACUAGCCAGAGGCGAGAAAUGGUUCUGAAACAAGUAAGUCAUUUGAUCUCUGUUUUUCAUAUUACCAAUACUUGAUCAUCAAAUAACUUAUCUUAUUUCUUCUUCAGGAACAAGACUCUCCGGACAGUUUGUUCUCUUUUGCCAUUGAAAUUUCUGAUGAUGAAGUUGAGGAAGCAAGCUCUUCUCAAGCAGUAGGGAUUUUAUCGGUAGAAAUCAGAGCUAAACUGGAGGAUCUGCUGGCCCUACUUCAUCGGGAUACAGCUCAAUUAGUCGACGACUCUGAUCCAGCAAAAGCUCUAUUCAGAGCCCUCAGAGGUCAAAUCCCCGCCGAUGCCAAAGAGACUCUUUUCCAGGCUGCACACUUAGAGAGCCACCAGCUUUAGUAUCAAAAGGCUGCCCAACGUCUUGUCGAUAGAACCACUCAUGCUCAGCUCUCAGAGGAGGUAAUGAAAGUGAAGUACCUUGCCGAUGAGAAACACAAGAGCAUCGGCAUUCUGAAAUCCUUAGUAGAUACGCUGAGACAAAAGAUCUCCGACCUAUCGGCAAAAAGGGAAGCCCUGUUGGCAGAGCUUAAGCAAGUAGAAGAGGCUCUGUCCCAAGCUCAACAGGAAGAAAGCCAGCUGCCCGAAACGAUCAAGACCCUCGAGCAAGAGCGAAACAUCCAUGCCCGCAAGGCACUGCAGAUGAAAAAGAAGCUGAAACCAGUGGAAGGCUCUGCCGAUGAAGACAUCAAGGUGAUAGAAGAAGCCAAUCAAAUACGUCUGCGCGCCAUAUCGGUCAUCCAAACCCUGCUGAAUAUAUGAACUCUUCAUCGGCGGCGUGUUUUGCUCUUUCUUUAAAAACUCCUGAUGAUUUUGGUCUAGACGAUAGGACUGUUAUCGGCAUCCUUUUGAAACAUCGUAUUCAGUCCCAGAUACACUUUAAUCCAGCCGAUAGGAGUGUUAUCGGCACUUAUACUUUAUGCAUUGACCCAUAUGCUUGGGUAAUAUCUCUUUAAAUACUUUCCAUUCAAUGCUCUGGGAAAUUCAACUCCUUCGAGAGUUUCCAAAAUAUAAGCAUUACCGGGAGCAGACCGAUUUAUCCGAUAAGGACCUUCCCAAUUAGGAGACCAUUUGCCAAACUUUGAACUCUUAGUCCCAAUUGGUAAUAUUAGUUUCCACACCAAAUCUCGAUCGGUAAACUCCUUAGCUUUUACCUUUUUAUCAUACCAUCUAGCAACUCUCUUUUUAUUUUCUUCUAUACUUAUCAAGGCCCUUAACCGAUGCCCUGCUAAAUCGUGUACCUCGUCUUUCAUCAGAGUAGCAUAGUCAUCGGCAGCCAGUUGAUCUUGAAAAGAUAGUCGCCUAGAUCCGGUCUUAAUUUCCCAUGGCAGCACUGCAUCAUGCCCAUACACUAACUGAUAAGGUGAAACUUUAGUCGACCCAUGACAAUCCAUCCGAUACGACCACAAAGCCUCACUCAACAAUGUAUGCCACCUCCUAGGAUUUUCUUCAAUCUUUCGUUUGAUAAGCUUAAUAAUUUCUUUGUUAGAUGCCUCGUCCUGCCCAUUGGCUUGAGCAUAAUAAGGAGAAGAAUUGAGCACUUUAAUCCCCUUACCGAUUGCAAAUUCAUCAAACUCUCUUGAUGUAAACAUGGUACCCUGAUCGGUAGUAAUCGUUUGAGGAAUACCAAAUCGGUUAAUAAUAUGCUCUUUCACAAAAUCAAUCAUAUUGGCCGAUGUUACUUUCUUCAAAGGAAUAGCUUCAACCACUUAGUGAAAUAAUCAGUGGCAACUAAGAUGAACUUAUGUCCUUUACUUGAUGGUGGGUAAAUUUGGCCGAUUAGAUCAAUAGCCCACCCCCGGAACGGCCAAGGCUUAAUAAUGGGAUUCAUAGCUGAUGCGGGUGCCCUUUGAAUAUUACCAAACUUCUGACAUCCUUGACAACCUUUGAAAUAUUUAAAGCAAUCUUCAAGUAUAGUCGGCAAUAAUACCCGUUCCUCCUAAUCAUCCAUUUCAUCUUAAAAGCCGACUAAUGUGCUCCACACACUCCAUGGAUUUCACCCAUCAAACUUUUAGCCUCAUCAUUACCUAAGCAUUUGAGGAGAACUCCACCUAUAGUUUGAUAAUAUAGUUCAACCUCGAGGAGCACAUACUUGGUAGCUUGGAACCUGAUACGCCUCUCAACCUUCUUAGAUGGAUCCUUUAAAUAAUCAAUGAUCUCCUUUAUCCAAUCAUCGGCACUGGUUGCCGAUAACGCAUCCAAUAUGGGUUGAUAUCCCGAGGCAUGCUGAGCCAACCAAUUAGCCUCCUCAUUAUGUAACCGAGGAAUAUGCUCUAAUCGGAAAUCCUUGAAUUUUUUUAAUUGUUGCAUACUCUUUUCAUAAUAGGUUAUCAGGACUUCGCUUCGACAUUCAUAACUUCCAGCCAACUGAUUUAUGACCAGCAUAGAAUCCCCAAAGAUUUCAACAGCAUCAGCAUGAACCUCUUUUAAUAAUUCCAACCCCUUGAUCAAAGCUUGAUACUCAGCUUGAUUAUUCGUUGACGUGGCAACAAUCGGCAAAGAGAACUCAUACUUCCUUCCCUGAGGGGAAAUUAGUACUAUGUCGAUUCCUGCCCCCCGGUCACACGUGGAUCCAUCAAAGAAGAGCGUCACGGCACAAUUUCCAAAGUUUCCACUACACCGCAAUGUUGAGUCACAAAAUCGGCCAUAAUCUGCCCUUUAACCGCCUUAGCCGGUUCGUAACGUAGAUCGAAUUCUGACAGUGCAAAAAUCCACUUACCGAUUCUACCACUCAUGAUCGGCAUACAUAGCAUAUAUCGGACCACAUCAUCUUUGCAUAUAACAGUGCAUUCGACCGAUAGCAAAUAGUGCCUCAACUUAAUGCAAGAAAAGUAUAAGCAUAAGCACAAUUUUUCAAUGGCCAAAUACCUGAUCUCAGCAUCAAUCAGUCUUCUACUUAAAUAGUAAAUCACACGCUCCUUUCCUUCAAAUUCUUGAAUCAAAGCUGAACCGAUGACCAUCCCAUCGGCAGAUAAAUAUAAUCGGAAAGGUUUUCCUUGCUGAGGUGGAAUCAAAACUGGAGGAUUUGUUAAAUAAUUCUUAAUUUCAUCCAAUGCUAACUAUUGCUCUUCUCCCCACACAAUCUCCUCAUCGGCUUUCAACUUAAGCAAAGGACUAAAAGCACGAAUUUUACUAGACAAGUUAGAUAUAAACCUCCUAAUGAAAUUUAUUUUGCCGAUCAGGGACUGGAGCUCAGUCUUAUUGGUAGGAGCAACUAUUUUGUUGAUGGCAUCAAUAGAUCUUCUACUAGUUUCAAUUCCUCUCUCAUGCACCAUGAAACCAAGAAAUUGCCUUGCCGAUACACCAAAUGCACACUUGUUAGGAUUCAUCUUUCAACCAUGUUUCCUUGUGCAUUCCAACAACUUUUGCAGAUCGGCAAGAUGCUUUGUGAAAUCCCCAGACUUAACCAACACAUCAUCAAUAUAAAUCUCUACCAGCUUGCCGAUGAACUCAUGAAAAAUAAAAUUCAUAGCUCUCUGAUAAGUAGCACCAGAAUUUUUCAAGCCAAAGUUCAUGACUAUCCAUUCGAACAACCCAACAUGACCAGGACAUCUAAACGCGGUCUUUGGAACAGCUUCCUCAGCCAUGAAUAUCUGAUUAUAUCCUACAUUGUCGUCCAUAAAGCUUAUGAUCCGAUGUCCAGCCGUAGCAUCGACCAGCAAAUCAGCAACUGGCAUUGGGUAACCAUACAUCGGUGUAGCCUUGUUAAGAUUCCUAAAAUCAAUGCAAACUCGAAGCUUUCCAUUUUUCUUGUAGACUGGAACAACAUUGGAAAUCCAUUCGGCAUACUGACACUGCCGAAUAAAUUUAGCUUCGAUAAGUUUGGUUAUUUCCUGACUUGAUAGGUAACCGAUGUUCGACAAUCGAUCGGUCUAAACCAGGCAUCUCAGUAUAAUCCCAAGCAAAGCAAUCUUUAUAUUCCUUUAACAAAUCGGUCAAUUGUUGCCUACACUCGGAAUCUAACUUAGCACUAAUAAAAGUAGGUCUAGGCUUAUCACCAUUACCUAUAUCUAGAUCUACUAAAUCAUCGGCCGACGUAAACCCCUGGCCUAAUUUUCCAUCAUCGGCGAACCUAUCCAUUAAAAUUUCUCAUCAGAACCGACUGCUUGGAUCGGUGGAAUUUCAUAAUCGGCAACCUUGAGGAAAUCCUUCUCUCAAAUUUCUCCUGAAAUGCACCUGGUCCUUUCAUAGGUAUCUGCUUCUGCUGAUGCAAUGACGUAUGAAGAAUCCCCAGGGACAAUCUCAAUCUUGUCUCCUACCCACUGAACCAAACAUUGGUGCAUUGUAGACGGGAUGCAACAAUUGGCAUGGAUCCAAUCUCUUCCCAAUAGAAGAUUAUAAGCACCCUUUCCACUAAUGACAAAGAAAGUCGUCGGCAAGGUUUUGCUGUCGAUGGUCAACUCAACACAUAUUGCUCCCUUAACCAAAGACACAUUUCCUUCAAAGUCCUUUAGCAUCAUAUCGGUCUUGGUCAAAUCUUGAUCCCCUUUCCCAAGCUUCCGAUAGACUGCAUACGGCAUAAUAUUGAUAGCAGCCCCACCAUCGACGAGUAUCUUGGUCAUUGGCUGCCCAUCAACUCUUCCUUUGACAAACAAAGCUUUAAGAUGCUGUCUUUCAUUGUCGGCAGGCUUCUCAAAGAUAGCCGUCAUCGGAUCUAGAGCCAGUUGAGCUAUCUGGUCAGAAAAAUCUAGCUCCUCAUCAUCACUGGUCGGCGUAAGGAACUCCAUCGGCAACAUAAAUACCAUAUUAACACUUGCCGAUGGCCCUUUCUCUUUAGGAUCCCGCUGUUGCUGAUCUCCAGACUUAGCAGAAUUUUCUCUGAACUCUUCUCGUCUUUCACGCUGCAGCCUUCUUUUCUAUGUCCGGGUCAGCCCUUCUGGAUACCAUGGAGGAAGUUGUGGCUGCCUUACCGAUGGACGAUGACUUUCCCUUGACUCCACUCGAUAAGUAUUAGCAUCCCUGCAAAAUAUGAACUCAUCAGGAACUCGUGCAUUCGCCAUCUCCUCAAGCUCCUCUUGGUUUCUGGGAAAAUACCCGACACGGUCAUCAAGCCUGUCAUGCACACUGAGCCUGCCCCCCAGCCGAUCAUGAACGGAGGUUCUUCCCCUGAUCGGCCCGUUAAAUCUCCGAUCAUCAUUUUGAUAUUGCCGAUUAGGUCUAUCAUAUCGAUCAUAGCCACACUUAGGGCAGUCUCUAACAGUGGGCAAUUUGAUGUUUUGUUCCCAACAGUGGAUAAAGAAUGGGCAAUUCCAAUGAUCUUUAUGUCGAUUCCACUCUUGUCGGCGUCUUUCUUCUUCUCGAUAAUUAUCCUCCGGUUGGCACCGAUAUCGAUCUUCACGUUGCUGCCAGGUCUCUCGAGGCCUUCUAUGAGUUAUCACGAUGCCAGAUCGGAAAGGCCUUCCUGAGCCUGUUCCUUCCUGGAUCAAACCCUUGCCUUUAGCGUCAUCAGCAGUAAUCUGACGUUGAGGAUCUACCGAUGCGCUUCUUUCAGCUGCUUCCGACGUUAAAACUUUAGUUUUUCCUUUAGCAUCCAACAUAUUUGUAGGGAAAGGAUGCUGAUCGAUCUUCAUAGGCUUCUGAGCUUUGGAGCUGUCAAAUUUAAUUCUCCCAGAUUCUAUAGCCGAUUGCAGCUGUUGCCUGAAAACUUUGCACUCAUUUGUGCUGUGAGAUGUUGCAUUAUGCCACUUGCAGUAUUUCAUCUUCUUUAAUUCUUCAGCCGAUGGGAUGAUAUGAUUGGGUGACAACUUGAUUUGGCCUUCCUGAAGUAGAAAGUCAAAUAUCCUAUCGGCUUUGGUGAUGUCAAAUGCAAACUUCUCUGGUUCCUUAUGCCAAAAAGGGCAAGACAUCGGCUUCUUGUUUUUCACCCACUCUGCUAAGCCAAUGACUGGCUCUUCAUCAGAAUCAGAGCUUGCCGCUUCAUCAACGAAUGAUACCUUUUUGUUCCAUGCUCUCUUGGGUUCAAAAGGUUUAAUAUCUUGGUAAGAAAUCCUCUGUACCAAAUGACUCAGACUCUCAAACUCUUGAGAAGCAUACUUGUCUCUGAUAUGUGGCAACAAUCCCUAGAAAGCGAAAUCGGCUAGCUGCCGAUCAUCCAGAACCAAACUAUAGCACUUAUUCUUAACCUCUCGCAACCUUUGCACAAAACUCUCAACCGAUUCAUCAUUACGUUGCUUUAGCCUGACUAAAUCGGUAAUCUUCUUUUCAUGAACUCUAGAAAAGAAAUAUUUAUGGAACUAUUUCUCUAGAUUGGCCCAAGUAAUAACUGAAUUAGGAGGUAAUGAAAUAAACCAAGUAAAGGCCGAUCCAGACAGAGAUGAUGAAAACAAGCGGACUCUUAAUUCAUCUCUGUUAGCAGCUUCUCCACACUGGAUGAUGAACCUGUUAACAUGUUCCAUAGUCGAUGUAUCUUCCUACCCAGAGAACUUGGAAAAAUCUGGUACCUUGUACCGAUUUGGAAGUGGAAUUAAAUCAUAUGCAGGAGGAUACGGUGUCCGAUAAGAGUAAGUAUUGACUUUGGGUUUUAUCCCAAACUGGUCUCUCAUUACUUCAGCUAUCUUAUCGGCCCAAUAAGCAUCGGCAUCUUGCCGAUGAGGCGGUUGUGGAUCCAGUACCUGUUGAUAUGCUUCCACGUGUUUCUGUGGUGCACGAUCUCCAUGGAACAUUAGAUUAACCAUCUGACCACCAAUUUGCUGACCAAGAUUCAUCGGCUGAUUGACCAACCCUUGAUUCUGAAACCCAGGUUGGAUUUGUCCUUGUUGAAACCCUAUAGCCUGAUGAUUCUGCUAUGGCAUCUGUGGAAAGACUAACUGCCCUGUCCAUCCACUGUUAGCAAUCAUCAGCAUAGGCCCUGCCGAUGACUGGUAAUUGGGUAUCAUCAUUGAAUUGACAUACCCUGGCUGUGUCAUAAACCUCCGCUGCGUUGGCAUUGGAUCUACCGAUGCAUUAGGCAUCUGGAAUGUCGGAGCUUGAGAAUUCCCAGUGUAAGGCCUUGCAAUAGUAGUUGUAGAGUACUGGGGAUUCUGAUUCAUCGGCAGAUUUGGAGGUGCCGAUGCCAUAGGAGCCUUGCCUAUCACGUCAGCCACUUGGGAUGUCCCAGGACUCUUUGCCAUAAGUUCUGGGGGCAUACCAUAACCCCACUAGUUGGGAGGAAUAGUCCCUGACAUCGCCGAUGCCAAUAGAUCAUUGGAAAGUUUGAUUUGCCCGUCUGACAUAGAUGGAUUAGUGGUCAUCGGUGUAGAUUGUGCAUUAGUCAUCCCUAAUGUACUUGGAGAAGAAGUAGCUUCUGCGCCCGCAACGGCCGUACUAGCCGACGGAGCUAUAACCACCGGUGACUCUGGCUGAUGAUGGGCAGGACCCACAUAAGAUGGUGGUACUUGUCCUUCCUUGAAAGUUCUAGCCACAGCAUUGAAAACCAUGUUGGACAGCACACCAGCUUGAUUGAUCAAGGCACGGUUAACAGCACUGUCAACCAUGUCUUGAAGUUUACUAGGAUUGGCUUCAAAAGUAAUUUGUCGAGGCAUCGGUAAUGCUUCCUUCUGGAUCACCUCGCCACUCCUGUUGAUACUAAAGAAUAUCAAGCAUAGUUGCUUGUAAUCCUCCAUGGCUUUCGCCAUAGCUUGCUUCUGCUCAUCUCUGAGAUUGGCUUCCGUCACUGGGAUGACGUUCUCCAAGUCGAAAUCGGUGUUCGACAUGUUGAUCUUGAUCUUGAAUCUCUAUCCCACCAGGCGUGCCAAAAGAUGUGUUAGUGCAAAAGCUAAUCUGCAAACACAAAGGGCUAAUACCCGAUCCAAACGUUAAGGCGUGCCAGUCGAUUUGACCUUACAAUCGACAAAGGUGGUAACUCGAACACUUUGGUCCCGACAACAGCGAUGCUCCCGGAUGUCACGGCCAAGAGGUGCUCACGCGGAACCUGAGAAUACACCGAGUUUGACUCGACAAAUUCCUAAGAACUCGUAGUAAAAGGAAAAUAUGACGAAGUCGUCGAAAAAGUAGAUGCUGGAAUAUGUGUAAAAACUUGUGUUUGAUUGAUUGAUAGAUAUCCCAUUACAUUGACACGGGGUCUACAUUUAUACCCUGACCAAAAGAGUUACAACCAGACACGACUAGGACUCAAAUUCCAAAUUGAACAGAAUCCAUAUACAAAACGAACUCUAAUAACUAAGGAAAACAUUAAACUAUCCUCCACAACCGAUCGGUACAUGGCUAUGAGACAAUCGGCAACCCCCGCAUCUUCCUCUAUGACCAUCGGCAGAACACCUUUCAUCGCCAUCGGCAACCAUCAGCACUGGCCAUCGGCAACCAUCAGCACUGGCCAUCGGCAUGAACGCAUCACCACUCCUGGACUUAGUCAUAUUCGGCUGCUCUUCCAUCGGCAUCGACCUUCAUCGGCAACUCCCUUGUAGACUAGUCACCAUGCUCCAUCUGCCGAUCUACAUUUCAUUAACUCCAGGUGCGCCUCCAAAGAUACGUGUCCAAAAACGGUGUCAACACAAAUUUAGAUGCGACGAACCGUCCUAGUUCCACUACAAAAAGAGAGGCACUCCCCCGUUUUCAACACACACAUCAUUUGGAGUCAAUUAAGCUCACACCUCUCACUUGAAUCUUUAGUCUAUAUUAGUCGUAGAGCAAGGCAAGAGCUAGCAAGGAGAGGUUGUCUCUUUGGAAGAAAGGAUCUUCUUGGUAUGAAUAAUAUUCAAUCUUCUUCCAUGAGCAAGUUAUAUUUAUCUUUAUAUGAUUAUGCAUAUGAACUAGAGUAUGGUUGUGUUCUUAUCAUGUUCAUAGUAUAUGAACUAGUUCUUAGUUCUUGUGCUAUGUUCUUGAUAUGUUCAUCAUUGUUCAUCAUUGUUCAUCAGAUUAGUAUGAUUAGGAUUAGAAUUAGGAAUGAGAUGAUGGUUCACUGUGCUGUGAUGGCUGCUCUUAGCCUAGCCUGUCACUCCGAAGGGGUGGGGCCCGCAGGGGUUAGGAGUUGUUUCCAAUUACGUGAACAUGGUGUUCAGGUAUGCAAGAAUCAAUGGAUGUACGAGUAUCUUUCGGGUAGAGGGGUAGGUGGUAGGUUAGUUAUAGCUCUGUCAUCCUUUGCAUUCCCUCACGAUCAGGUAUUCUGAUAGGAGUUCUGUAAAGUCUCUAUCGGCUGGGUAUCCAGCUGCGGGGAUCUCCCCUCAUCUCAUGCUUGGUUCUAACUCUAUUUAUUGCUAAUUAGAUGAUCCGCUAACAGUUCUAUGCAUAGUUAUAUGUGACCCAUGCCUGCUCAAGUAGAUUUAUUUCUUUAUUAUUUAUUUAUUAUUUCUCUUCUAUUUUUAUUCUUUAGUUAUAUGUGACCCAUGCCUGCUCAAGUAGAUUUAUUUGUUUAUUCUUUAUUCUUUAUUUAUUAUUCCUCUUUAUUUAUCAUUUCUCUUCUAUUUUCAAUAAGUAAUCAUUUUUACACCAUGUUUGAUCCCUUUGCCUUCCUACGGGAAUUACAAAUUCGACACCCUUGAAUACUCAUGGGUUGAAAUGUUACAAUGAUAGUUUUGUCCGCUUGCAGUUAUAUUACUUCUUCAUUCAUGAACUAUCUAUUGGCGUACCUAAGUACCAUUACUUAAGAUUGUAAUCAUUGUGCACUUUCAAGCGUAGUGCCACAGCUUUGCAUAUCGCAAGUAAGGAUGGUUAGGAAGGCCAAUCCAGCAUUCCUAAUUAUUGUUACCAGACUGCACUGCUAAGGUCGGCGCCCUUGAGUUGCCUUGGGUUAUCUCUCUGAUGUAGCGAUAGUUACGGUAUGCCAACACCCAACAUUUCUGGUGUCAUUUAUAAGGAUGGAUCUAUGGUCUAUUUUUAGUAAUGAUGCUAAGAAAUGCCAACACUUCCCAUGGCAAUAGAGAUGGUUGCUACAAUAGCAAGCCGUGUUGAUGGCUUCACUCCAAAAUUAAUGACUAACAUUGUAUUCACGAAGCAUUGAUCUAGCCAUAUCAAUAUUCUAUUCUUUCUUUCAACUACAUCAUUGGAUUGAGGAGUGUAUGUUGGAGAGAAUUGAUGUCCAAUGCCAAGAUCAUCACAUAAUUCCUCAAUUCUUGUGUUCUUGAAUUCACUACCAUUGUCACUUCUAAUCUUCUUUAUAGUGGUUUCAAACUCAUUUUGCAUCAUCUUGACAAAAGAAUUGAAUAGAUCACAAACAUCACUCAUGUCAAAGAGGAAGAACACCCAAGUGUAUCUAGUGUAGUCAUCUACUAUCACAAAUCUAUAUUUGUUGCCACCAAUGCUAGUGUAUGUUGUUGGCCCAAAUAAAUCCAUGUGCAACAGCUCAAAUGCCUUUGAUGUGCUAAUUUCACUUUUCUUAGGAUGUGCAUUUCUAACUUGCUUUCUGGCUUGACAAGCACUACAUGGUUUAUCCUUCUCAAAGGUGACAUCCUUCAAGCCUCUAACUAAGUCAUGCCUCAAUAGUUUGUUCAAUUGUUUCAUUCCAACAUGACCAAGCCUUCUAUGCCACAACCAACCCAAACAUGAUUUGCUAAUUAGGCAAGAUGUCAAUUGAGUGUCACUAUCAUUGAAAUCAACCAAGUAUAAGCUACCAUGCCUAAAACCUUUGAAUAUCAAGUUUGAUCCAUCAACACUAACCACCUCAACAUCAUCACUACCAAAGAUGCACUUGAAACCAAGGUCACAAAGUUGUGCAAUUGACAAGAGAUUGAAAUCAAGGCUCUCAACUAGCAACACAUUUGAUAUGCUCAUGUCAUUUGAGAUAGAAAUUUUACCAAGCCCCUUGACCUUGCCUUUCUUGUUGUUGCCGAAGGUGAUAGAAUGAAAGCCACCAUUUUGUUUGUAUCAAUUGAUUUGAACAUACAAGACUCUUCGGUCAUAUGUUGAGUGCAUCCACUAUCAAGCACCAAAUGCCUUCCUCUGGCUUUGUAAUUCACCUACAAGACAAGAUUAAUUCUUUUUAGGUACCCAAACUUGAUUGGGUCCUCCAAGGUUAGCAACUAAGCUCUUUGGUACCCAAAUGGCUUUCUUCUUUGAGCCCAUCCAUGGUGCACCAAUGAACUUAGCGUGAACACCUUUUGUAUCCUUGGUAAGCACAUAGAAAGAAUUAAGCUUAAUUGAUGAUACAUGAGCUUUGAGAUUCUUGUUCAUGCAUUGUUGCUCUAAGUGACCAACUUGCUUGCAAGUUUUGCAAUAUCGGGCAUUGUUCUUCACAAAGCUAGCCUUGUGAGGAGCAAAGGCGGCCUUGCCUUUCUUGGGGUUAUAGCCUAAUCCCUCUUUAUAUAGAGAAGCUCUUUGGUUACCCAAGCACAUAAGCAAGCCGUCCUCACCACCAUAAGCCUUGGCUAAGGUGUGAUUGAGCUCUUUCACCUCCUUCUUGAGAAUUUCAUUCUCAACUUUUAGUGUGAUCUCACAUGUGAAACCACCACUACUAGAUGAGGAUGAUGUAGAUGUGCUACAUGAAGGGUUAGUGGAAGCAACAAUAAUAGGCUUACUCAAGAUAUCACAUGUUAUGCCUAUGUUGCAAGUUUUAGCUUUCUCCAUUUUAGUUGGCUCAUUUUCACACUUGUUAACUAGAGAGGAAUGAGCUUCUUCAAGCUUAGUGUGAGCCUUUUGAAGCUUCUUAUGGUCUUCCUUUAGACUCUCAUAAGAUGCUCUAAGCUCAUCAAGUUCUUGCUCAAGGGUUUUCUAUUCUUAAGCAAGGCCUUGCACUCCUUCCUAGUUUCUUUAUAGUGAUGAGUACAAUCUUCUAGCAUAGUGAUUAGUUCAUCUUUAGUUGGUUCAUCAUUAUCACUAUCACUAUCACUAUCACUAGCAUGGUCACUCUCAUCAUCGGAUGAUACCUUAGUGGCUUUAGCCAUGAAGCAUGAUGGAGUGUCGAAGAUGGAGCUUUUCUCUUGAAUAGCAAUGCUAGCAUGCCCCUUCAUCUUGAUGCUCUCAUCAUCACUUGAGGAGUCAUCACUAUCCCAAGUUCCAACAAGAUCAUCACCCUUCUUCUUGUUUGAGCCUUCCUUCUUUUCUUUCUUCUUCUUUUGCUUCUUUCUUUCCUUCUUGAUAGCAUCUUCAUCAUCACUAUCAAAGGGACACUUGGCGAUGAGAUGAUCCUUGCUAUGGCAUCUAAAGCAUCUCAUGGAAUGGUCAUUCUUCUUGGAGAAGCUCUUCUUCCUUCUUGCCCGAUAACCCUUCUUCUUCAUAAACUUGCCAAAUCUUUUGACAAGAAGAGCCAUCUCCUCAUCUUCAUCACUAUCACAAGAGCUUGCUUCUUCUUUACUUGAUGAUUCUAUCUUUGCUUUGCCCUUGGAUGAGGAGGCCGCCACACUUUUCUUCUUCUCAUCAUCCUUCUUCUCAGCAUCCUUCUUCUUCUUCUUGAUCAACUCAUCCUUCUCAUCAUCUCUAUAAGCAUCAUCGGUCAUCACUUCUUGGAACACUUGUUGAGGAGUUGAUUCACUAAGUGUGGUCUUGACUAGCAUGGUGAUCAAUGUGUCAAAUAUCUUGGACAAGCUUCUCAAGAACUCCAUAGAGAAUUGACUAUCUUUUACUUCUUCCUCAAGUGCCUUGAGUUCAUUCACUAUGACUUGCAACCGGUGAAACAUCUCCGGCACACUUUCAUCUUCUUGCAUCUUGAAGCUUGAGAACUUUUCUUGAAGAAUGUAUGCCUUGGCAGUCUUGGUUCCCUUGGUGCCUUCAAAUGUUUCUUCUAGCUUUGCCCAUGCAUCAUGAGCAACCUCGAUGUUCUUGAUUUGCUCAAAGGUGUUGUCAUCAGGAGCUUCAUGAAGAGCACUUAUUGCAAUGUCAUUACAUUGAAGCUUCUUUUCUUCAACCGGUGUUGGUGCAUUCUCAUUUGCAACCUCAAACUUUGUUUCGGUCACCUUCCAAACCUCUCUAUUGAUUGACUUAAGAUGAGCGGUCAUCUUGACCUUCCAAUAUGCAUAAUUUGUGCCAUCAAAGAAAGGUGCCUUCUUGGUGUUGUUGAUAUGCAAACUUAGAGCCAUUUCUUCACCGUAGGUUGUUAAGCCUCAAAUAAACGGUGCCUCGGCUCCGAUACCACUUGAAAGGUCCGAAGGGCUAGAUGGGGGUGAAUAGCCUAUUUAAAAUUUCUACAAACUUUACUAAAUAAGUGAGUUAGUAAAAUAAGUGGUGAAGCUAUUCUAGCACUAGCACAGCUAAGCUAUGCAAGCCACCUACACAAGUCUAUCAAGAAAGCUAAACACUAAACCACAACAACUAGAGAAGGCUACACAACAAUUAAGCUAAACAAGCUAAACUAAAAAGGUAUGGCAAGUAUGUAAAGAGAAGAGAGUGAUUUUUAUACCGACGUUGUAGAGAUAAGAUAUAUCCAAUCAAUCGCGUGCACAAUUUCAGGAGAGACCACAAGAUUUUUUACCGAGGUUCACUUGCUUCCCGGCAAGCUACUCCUUGUUGUGGUGAUACACCCACUUGAUGGAUCACAAGCUAAUUAGCAAUCCAAAGCCAAACCCUCAGCGGGUGCCGCACAUCCACUCACAAGAUGGGGAUCCUCCAAGCCACGAGCAAUCCACUAGAGUAGCCAAUUGCGAUCUCCUACGGGGAAGGCUCAAGAACCCCUCACAAAUCACUUGGUGAGGCUCGAAACAAUCUCCAACCACGAGCUCAACACCACCGCUACUCCAAGCCGUCUAGGGCAUCGGGAAACACCCAGGAGUAACAAGAAAUCCGCAGCAAUCUCAAGAAUCAAGUGCCACUAAAUGCAACUCUCAAAGCAAUGCACUUGAAUCUCACUCAAUCUCACUAGAAUUAGCAAUCAAGCAAGGAGAUGAGUGGAAGGAGUGUUCUCUAGCUCAAUGUAUAUCUCAAGUAAUCAAAUAUGCAAGAGAGUACCUCCCAAAGCCGGCCACCUUCUAUUUAUAAGCUCCCUCAAAGAACUAGCCGUUGGCCACUUUCACUGGGCUCAAAUCGGGGGCACCGGACGCUAACAAGUGAGCACCGGACGCUCGACCCCCUACAUCCAGUGCUCUGGGGUUGGCCAUGUGUCCUUAUUUGAAUCUCACACGUCAGUCUCUAAUGGCUACCUGCGAACCACCGGACAUGGUCAAGUGAGCACUGGAUGCGUCCGGUACUCACCGGACCAAUGCGCAGAGAGUUCUGCAAACCGUGACCUCACCAGACUCAGAGCAACGGACGCAUCCGGUGCUCACCGGAUGCAUCUAGUGCUCAUCGGACUGAAGCGCAGAGAGGGUUGCAAAACGCCCUCACACCAGACGCACACCACCAGACGCAACCAGAGCGUCCGGUGCUCUCAAACAGAUACCCUCUGUUAAGAAAGGCCUCACCAGACGCAAGAACAGGGAACGCCCUGCGUCCGGUGUAGUGCGUCCGGUGCUCAACCCUUGCAGGGUCAAGCACUGAUAGCACACUGGACACUGGGGCAGCGUCCGGUGCCUCUGCACCCUGCGUCCGGUGACACUCCCACGACUUUUCCAAAUUUCCCACCGGCUCAAUGAAAAAUAUACACUUAAUUUUCUCAAAAGCUCCGAAUCAGAGGGAGAGAGGAACCGACACCCCUCUCAACCCUAGGAACACCACCUCCUUUGUAAAAGUGCUAACACCAACAAGUGUCCACCACCAAAGUGCAUGUGUGUUAGCUUUUCUCAAACAUUUUCACCAAAGGAGUUAAGUUAGCACUUUACUAGAUCCUAAUGCAUAUGCUCAAGAUAUGGACCUAGUAGCACUUGAUUCGAGAGAUGACCGUGAUUUCCCCUCUUAAUAGUCGGCUAUCUAUCCUAAAUCCGGUCAAUCACUUCUCUACUCAUCUUAGACCAGCAAAAGUAAAACCCUAUGUUUAUACCUUUGCCUUGUUCACUUUCUCCCUUGUCUAUCUUCAUGACCUGCACAUCAUGCUUCAUCUCUUUGUAAUCACGUGGCCACCUAUCCAUGCCACCUUGCUCCUUUAUCACAUGUGUUGCAAUGCCUAACUCAAAUCACUUAAACACAAGACAUUAGCAACAUGGUGUCAUUAAUUACCAAAACCAAACUUAGGCUUUCAAGAACCAAGCCUGUGGUGGUGGAACUUGACGAAGGAGACGACGUAGCCCUCCGGCGGGCUUUGCUCCCGAUGCUCCGCCGGCAGCGCAACCCACUCGUGCUGCGUCGAGGAAGUGAGGGGGCGCAGGAGCCCCUCCUUCUCCAAAUCCCACAGUCGGCGCUCCAUCACGGUUGAUGGGCGCCACUCGUCGGCGGCGAUAAGUCUCACCGGCAUCUUCUUGGGCACUAAAUAGUGCGACGGAACAAUAAUGGUUUCUCCUCUCUGAGCUCCUCUCGUCUUAGUGUGCAGGGUGAUGCAGGGAGAGAAGGAGCAAAAGUGAUUGCGGAAUGCGGAAGGGGAAACAGCCAAGCGAGGCCUAGAUAUAUAUAGGCGUGUCGCAACGGACAGACCCAGUAAUCACGGUAACUCCCUCCGUAAAUGCGCCGCCUAACAGUCCCAUUCCGCUCUCUCUGAUAGGACGUUACAGAUUCCGCCCAAUGGAACAGUGCUGCAAUGGCUACCUCCUAAAAAGGUGCACCCAACGGGCAAGAAAAUGAAUCGUCGCGGCCCUUCCUUCCGUCGCAAGGUAAGUUCGGCGUGCGCCGCCGUAGGAACCUCCAGGGAGAGAAGACUGGCCCACCGGCUAGGUUCGACGGUCGCCCUCGAGUACCCGAGUCAGGGACAUCUAGUGGGAGGUCGAAACGAGGCUUGUCUCGAGGACCCGCUAGGAGUAUCCAAGGCAAUGGCAAGAAGGUUGAGAGGAAUCCCCACGGAGGGUGGCGUCGAGCCGCUGCACUCUGCCGAACGAGACCAGUAUCCUCGACCACGCUAGCCUAGCUUUAACAAGAACGCCUCCGGGCUGCAGCCAACCCCAUCGAAUAGGGUGAAGGGUCGAGAUGGCAGACUAGAGGGGGGUGAAUAGUCUUUUCUAAAAUUUAUCACACCGGCUAACCAAAACAAAAGCAAAAUUAAAACUAUCGGUCUAGCCAAGACUACAGCCCUCUAUCUAAGUUUUCUAGCACCUUGUAAAAGAUCCUAAACAAGCAAACAAGGUGCUACCUUAGCAAGAGCUCACCUAACCAAUUCUAGGAGCAAGGUCACACAAGCCUAUGCCACUAGUACUUUGCAAACCGGGGAGCUCCUACACAACUAAGCAAAAGCACAAAGCUCCUAAGCUCACUAACAAUGCUCAAUAACAAGGCAACCAAUGCCAAAUUAGAGAGCGCAAAUUAAUUAGCUACACAAACUAAGCAAUGUGAAUAACAAGGUUACACAAACCAAAUUAGUCACGCAAGGAAACUACUUUUAGCUACACAAGCAAGAAGGUAACUAGCAAGCUACAGAAGCUAACUAAUUACAAGAGCAACUACACAAGCACAAGUAUAUGAAUGUAAGAACAAGCUUGUGUUAGGAACUUGCAAACCAACAAGAAGAACAAUGUUGACACGAUGAUUUUCUCCCGAGGUUCACUUGGUUGCCACCAAGCUACGUCCCCGUUGAGACAAGCUCCAAGGUUGCCGCCGGUCCUCUUGCUAGCGGUGACCCGCAAGUCACACUCUCCCACAUGGAGUACUUACCACAAGCUCUAGCACUUGACCCAGCCAGACCACUUGUCGCUCUUCACGUCUCGCUCAACUAGAGUUGCUCUUUGCAUCCCUGCGGGGUGAGCACCGUACCUCUCACAAUCUCUUCUGUGGAGCACCGCACAAUAUCCUUGCGUGCUUCAACGGAGUCACAAGCCACCAAGCCGUCUAGGAGGUAGCAACCUCCAAGAGUAACAAGUACCACCGGCUUGCAACACGAACACCUAGUGCCACUCGAUGCAAUCUCUCAAUGCAACGCUAGAAUCACUCACUCGCUAUUGAUUCGCACUCUUGCAAGCACAAGUGAGUUAGAGGCUUCCCUAGCACUCCCCAAGCAUGGACACUAAGUCCCAAGGAUGCUCAGCACUAGCCAAGGCCGGCCACCACUUCUAUUUAUAGCCCCAAGGGCUAAACUAGCCGUUGCCCCUUCACUAGCCAAAACACGUGGGCACCGGACUCACUGCAUGGAGCCAUCGGACGCUGGAACAGUGCGUCUGGUGCUCCAGAAACAGUGACGUGUCACUAGCUGUUUGAACUCGAUCAUUGCCGCCAACGGCUAGCACGCGCUCGCACCUGACACAGCACCAACGGCUACUCUGCUGGUUUACACCGGACGCGUUCGGUGCUCACCAGACUCGUGCGCAGAGAGCUCCGCAAACCUCCAGGGUCACCAGACGCUAAGCAUCGGACGCUACCGGUGCUUAGCGGACCCAUGCGCAGAGAGGGUCGUAAAACGCCCGCACACCGGACGCUGAGCACCGGACUCACUACGGUGUGCCAGUGCACUCUGCUUCCUCUGGUCAGACCCGAUAGUACAUCGAAUGCUAAAGGCCAGCAUACGGUGCCUCCACGUAGUGCGUCCGGUGCACUCUCGUGACUUCUCCAAAUUUCCCACCGACGCAAUAGAAAGUAUACACUUAAUUUUCUCAAAAGCGCCGACCAAAUGUCACCACCAAGUGCAUGUGUGUUAGCAUUUUCACAAAUAUUUUUCCAAAGAAGUUAGCCUCUCAACUUGCCACGCCACUCGAUCCUAACACGUAUGCAAAGUUUGAUCGCUCAAGUGGCACUAGAUGACCCAUAUGUAAACAAGUUUGCCCCUCUUGAUAGUAUGACCAUCUAUCCUAAAUCCGGUCAUAAACUUCUCUACACACCUAUGACCGGUGAAAUGGAAGUGCCCUAGGUUAUACCUUUGCCUUACCAUUUCAAUUCCAUCUCCUCCAUUAUUGAUGCAACACAUGCACCAACCAAUCACCAAAUGAUAUGAUCCACUUCAUAUCAUCACAUGACCGUAUUGGUUCAUCGAUCUUGACCUCACUUGCUCUUCACCAUUGUCUCAUUCCAUCAGCGCUAAGUGUUGCUCAAGCUUCACCGUCACACGCAGUCUCUCGCUUCAAAGCCUCUGACUUGCCCUUCACUCUUGCAACCGGUCCAUCAAGCCAAGCAUCAUCUUGAUCUUCUCCACCUUGGUCACAUGACUCCAUGUCAUGUCUCAUAUGCAAUGAGCUCCUUAAUCAUCACAUAAUCAUCUGUGGACUAAUCUCCUGUGUAUCUCACAUAAACACCAUUAGUCCACCUAAGUUGUCACUCAAUUACCAAAACCAAAUAAGGACCUUUCAAUCUCCCCCUUUUUGGUAAUUGACGACAACUCUACAAAGAUAUGGAAAUUAAGCUUUUUCAAGCUAGCACUUCACACAAGUGUAAAUUGCUAACUUGAUUAGGAUUGCAUGCUACUUAUCGAACAUUCAAGCUCUAUGUCAAGAUUUGGAUAAGCACCACAAAACCCUACUGAAUGCUAAGGUGUAUAGAAUAAACCUUUGUAGCUCGAUACCAACUUCAAUAUCAUUUGAAGCAUUCAAUUGUACACCAUCCUUAGCACCAUGUGUAGCUAGACAACAAAAACACUAGAAACCCCGUGAGAUAAACAUUAAAAGCAAGGGUCUAGUCUUUACUUGAAGAACACAAGUCUAGCUACCAACCUAUACAUGCUAGUUAUCAUAUCAUCAAACAAAUUGUAUAACUAGCAUACACUACACAAGCAUGCAUAUUUGAAUUUAAAAUUUAUGCAAUGCAAACAAGCACAUGAAUAUGCACAUAACAAAUGCAAACAAACAAGGUUCAUGAGCUUGCUCCCCCUACUUGUGUGCUUUUCUUUUGUCCAAGAAUUUUGAUCCAUCAUCUUUUCUUUUAAUGUUGCUCCCUUGUCCAUGUCCAUCUGUGAUCCCUCCCCCUUGAAACAUAUCUUUUGUUGUCCAACUUAUCCCAUGAUCAUAUCUUUGUUCCAACUUCUCCUCCUUUGUCAUCAAUUUCCAUAAAAGGUAUGUGAUACCAAUCAAAUCACUUGAUAUCAACUGAAAAGGUGUGAAUCUCAUUGUGACAAAGGAUUGCAUUGGGAUAGAUGGUUGAGGCUUGAAUCUUGUAUUUUUUAUGGACAUCGCCAUAUGUGUUGGAAUGACAUUACUUGAAUUGCUCUUGAGAUACCACAUAGGAUUUUUGACCUUGAUACCAUUUGGUGGGGCACUCCCCCUAUGUCAUAGCAUGGGUCAUUCACUUGUCAUUAUUGUUGGUGAGGGAACAUUCUUUGCUUGAUGAUCACUUAAAGUUGAGGAUCACUUGUGGAACCACCUUCUUGUAUGAUAGAUACCAUAUGUAUAAAUGUGAUAUCACUUGAAAUAUCUUGUGCGAUACCAUAUGGGAUUCUUCUACCAAUUAAGAUCUUCUAGUAUGGAACCACUUGUUUGCUAUCUUGAACAUUUGCUAUCAUCAUCAUGAGUACCAUUUGUUGGAUAAAAAUUGAAGAAACAUUUGAAUUUAGAUAUCCAUUUGCAUUGUUGUCUUAUUCUUGUACUCUAAUGAUCAUGAGCUUCUAAUUAUAGACUUGAACUAUGUUGAUUUGCCUAAGCUUCGAAGUUCGGUUUGAACCAAUGACAAGCUUUUUCACACCUCACAUUAAGGGUUAUCUUGCCAAUGUUGUACUUGUCACUUGUUAACAAUCCAAAAUAGGUCAAGUAUUUGGGUUCACUAGCUCAUGAACAAACUCAUAUACAUACCACUAGAUCAACUAAUCAUUCAAGCAAUAGUGGUAGGCUAUGAAUUGAAAACUUUUCAUUUGUCAUGCAUGAUCCUAUUAAGCAUGUACUAUAUGUACUAACCGCAUACUAGUAAGGUUUGAAAUGAUCAUGCACACUACAAUGAUACCUUUGCUAUCUUGGAGUAGAGGAUAGUCAAUAAAAUUCCAAUUUAGCUCCCAAUAGCAAUGUGAAGUCCAACUAUAAGCUUGGUGAAGACCAAUUAUAAAUACCAAUUGAUAGAUCAAAUCUUCACCAAUAUGAAAUGAAAACCACUUUAUGACCAAGUGCACUAUCUUGUUGUGGUUGACUUGCUUCUUCUUUUGACCAAUUGCUGGCAUGAGAGAACUACUAAGAAUAUCACUUGAAAUAGCAUGACUAGCUCUCUUUUGGGUUGUUGCUUGCUUUCUUGAUCAAUCCUUUUGAUUUCUUCAACUAAGCAUCUCAAAUGUCCUUUAGAUCACCACUUCUAUGUUAGCCUUCCAAGCACCACACUUGGUUUACCCACUCCUCGGGGGGCACGCCCCUCACAUAGGGAGAAGUGAUCUCUCUCCAAAGAACUAUUUUUGAUACUCACUUGAAUUGCUUUGACUGAUUGAUUCAAGUGACGGACUUAAUGUGAUGAGUAACCAUGAAUCCUCUUGUUUUGAGUCCUUCUAUUUCUACUUGUUUAAGUCCUUUUCUUUGUACCAAAUGAUUUCCAAUAGUUACUAGAACUUAAACUUUAUCUUUAUCUUGAGUUUGAUCUUGAUCUUCAAUUUGAGUACUAAAUGUGUACACCAAGUAUAUAACACAAUCAAAUGACCUUGUACUCAUUACUUGUCAUGCUUUUAGAUCAAUUCAAAACCAAACUUAGGUGCCUCAAACACUUAUAAUCAUAUUUCCAACUUGAGGACCUUUCGAUUUAAGUGACUCUAGAUCAAUUCAAUAUUUGUCACUUUUCUGACAGAUUUUGUACUCUUUAAAGAAAUAUCCAUAUCUCACAGUACAGAUCCAAAUACGACGCAAUUUGGUGGAGAUGUGCUUCACUAAGUUAUCUAGCCGCUGCAAAAAGUUGAGCUUCAUUUGACUUCUAGAUUGGUACCAGUUUUCAAUUCUUCGACCACUGCUACAUGCUGAAAACUGCUGCACUAUAGCUGACAAGAUCCACUCAAACACUAGAGUAUUUAUUAUCCAGUUUCCAUGAAAUUUCUACAGCACUUUCUUUCAUAGGUGUACAUCAUUCAAACCAAAUUUCAAGCAAUUCCAAAUAGAUUUGACCACUCAAACUCAGACUUGAUCUCAGCUAGCUCAGAUUUUCAAUAUAGGACAGAUUUCAAGCAAUUGAGCUAUACUUCUUCAAAUUGAAUCAAACUUGAAAUCAACUUGAUUGAAUACUUUCACAAGACAUAAAUACAUUCAAUCCACUUACUAAAAGUCAUCUCAUAAACUUGUCCAACUCAAAUCAAUCCAAACUUCAUUAUUACUAACCAUUCAAUCCAUUCAAACAUCUUAUAACAAGCAACAUUGCAUAUAUAUCCAAUUCAAUCAACUCAUAUGCACCCAAACGAAUGUGAUCAAUAAAGAUAUACCUUGGUUAGCUCACGAUCAUCCAGUUUGCAAGCUUCAACAUAUGUAUUUGCAAGCCAUCAAAUAAUCCAAUAAAUCACCACAACUUGAAUAUUUGCUCUUGUAUGUAGCACUUGGACUUCACUAUCUUGUCAUGGCAUUGGGUUUGGAUGUGCACUAAGCUUCAAUACUUGACUCAAUCAUAUGAUGAACAAUAUAGACUCAAUUGAAUCAAGUCUCCAAUGCCGAUGGUACCUAUAAACAAUCAUCCACUUUUUGAUGGUACCCAAACUAGUUUGGGUCCUCUCAAGUUAGGAGCAACAUACUUAGGCGAUGCCUUAGUAUGAAUAGUGGGAUGUUUUGCAAUAGCAACCAUAGAGGUACCAUUACCAUCCUUUCUAAGCAUAGUCAAAUCAUCAAUUGAAAUAGGCUUAGAAUUAUUACCUAGGGGACAUGAAUGAGCCAUGUGUCCCCUUUCCCGGCAUAAGUAGCAACUUCUUUUGGAUUGAGCCUUUUCUUCCUUGCUCAUGUGUUGCUUCUCAUUGCCUUGCCUCUUGAGAGUUACUUGAGCCUUCUUCUCAAGCUUGGUAGGACACCUGGAGGCAAAGUGUCCAUCAUCCUUGCACUCAAAGAAUUUGAUGUGGGAGAGGUCUUUUGAUGAUCUUGAUUGUCUACCUCCCCUUCUUGUCUUCUUCUUCAUCAUCCCCAUGUCACCACCAUCUUCCUGGUAGAUCUUGAAUUGAGCUUGGGGCUUCUUUUCUUGAUCAACUUGUGGCUUAGGUUGAGGCUCUUCUUGUUGCUUCACCAAUUGCUUGGUUGGGCACUGUUGACGGUCCUUAAGUAUCAAAUUUAAUUAUCAAAUAAACAAAGAAAAGGAUCCAAAUGAAAUCAACAUCUAGACUUAGGGUAUUAUCUGACAGAAUUCCACGAGUUUUGGUGUUUGUCUAUUUCUGCAGGGAGUUAUCAGGAAAUAAGGAAGAAAGGCCCACAUGUCGGGAUUACAUAGAGAUAUCAAACCACCGCGCAAUUUUCUACCAUCUAGAAGACUCCAGAAGCCACGGGAAGGAAGCGGAGCCCGAAAGGGGCCAGGCCCAGGGCGCCCGCCCUGAGGACCUGGGCGCCCGCCCCCCUCUGGACUCCGUUCCGGACUCUCUUCGCACACGACGUUCCACCGACCUAUUGGAUCCAGAAUAACAUAGUACCACCUCGCCUAUCGACCCAAAAACGCAUAGAAGGGGAGGACUAUAUAAGGAGACCCCCUCUGGCCCCUGGAGGAGACAAGAAAUUAUCAUAGAGAUUGAGGGGUGCCCUCGAAGGAAAACCUCUUCUCUAAAUAAUAUUUCUUUUUAGGCUUAGCAACCAAUGUAAAGUAGAAAUAGAUCUUCUAGUUUCUACUAGAUUGAGAGAGAUAGAGUGGAGGUGUGGAUCGGAGGAAGGCCGGCCUGUCGGUGUCUACUCCGAGUUGUACCUGCGGGAUCAAGUCUCCUAACCCGAGGCUUGCUUCUAAGAUUCUUCAGUAAUUCGACUUCUAAUACUAGUAAGUUCUUGUUUUAUUGUUCUUUGGUUUAUGAGUUUACUUUAAUCCUCUUCCGGUUGAGUAUUAGAGUGAUCACUUGUUAGCGUAAACGUGGUGUUUAGGCUAGGGUACUCAUAGAUAUCCCCUGACUAGCUGGACCGUGGUAGUAGCGAGGAACGUGACAUUUCCGAGUUACCUUUGUAGAUCACAUCUCGUUAGCAGGACGGGUAGGGUUAUAGGUGCGGGUCGAACAUCUUUUGUGUUGUCUAGAUUCCGUGAGCCUCCCCAAUAGAACAGUAGAUCAUCCUUACCAAGGUUAGAACGAGACUACGAUUGCAGUCUUCUCUAUACAUCACUCACAUCGAGAGACAUUCUUUGUAGCCUAAAGGGAUAGUAGCAAUAGAUUUGGUUAGUCAGAUGCACCCUUUCUCCCAGUGGUAAAAAUAUAAAUACGAUAACUCUGGAUAACCUCCCGGGUAAAAUGCUCACCGAUAUCCGUGCGCUUGCGGACCAUUUUCUAAUUGCGUUACCAAAUAUCAACAAGCAUUUCUGGCGCCGUUGCCGGGGAGAAAGACGGUUUGCUGAGAUAACUUUGAGUCUUGCUAUUAUCUUGUAUUAUACUUUUAUACUUUUAUUAUUUUAUCUUUUUAUUUUUAUCUUUAUGGAUAACUCAAAUUCCAUACCUAUAAUUAAAUUCUUUGCACCUUCGGAGACCAGCCAUAGACCAUGGGAGUCAACACGUCCUGGCCCUAAUUAUGAUCUGUGUCCGGAGUUGAUUGCAAUAGGUCAAAACCAACCCUUUUCUAUAUCUGAGGUCCUAUCUUUUAAUCAAGAAGAUAAUGCACUUUUAGCUACACCUAGGGAAUCUUUUAAUCUUUCUAUAAAUUCUGGUUUAGACCUAGACCUACAAGACCAUGUUUUUUCUAGAUAUUUUCACAUUGGUCUUAAUCAUAUAACAUUUGGUAGAGUCUUUCUUUCUUUAUCUAUUAGUAAAGGAAGGUAUGUCUUCAUUUGUGGACAUCCUUCUUGUACUAGUCUUCAUAGAAAAAUCCUAGAGAUAGAGAAGGAAUCAUCUCCCAGACGAGGAAAGGAAGUUUCAAUAGCCGAUUUCCAAACAUUCCAAUCCCAUGAUUCGGCUAUCCAUCCCAUCCUUGAGCUUAAUAAUUUCUACUCUCUUGAACCUCCCGAUAAUCCUAUGAAUCUAUCUAGACAUCCCAUGCAUAAGAAGGAGGAUCGAGAAGAGCAACAUCAAUGGCUAGAGGGCAUUAAAAAUCCAUGUGCUAUCACCAUUGAAUGGAUAGAUAAAACAAACUUGAGAGACAAUCCUAGAGGAAUUUUAAACAUUCAUGAAAAAUCAUCCUUGGAGUUUGAGAAUGAGAGAAACAACAGUGAGCAUGGAUGUUAUUUCAUAAAUACCUCACCAAGUCCUUGCUCAUAUAAGACAUCUCCUCAAUCAAUUGGUCUCUCCAACCUUACUACAUUUGAGAUCUCCAACCCCCUCUUCCUUUCUAUUUAUAAAAACUUUAAAAGGGCGGUUGUCGAUGCAUAUGUCUAUAAUAAAUAUUGCAGAUCUCGUUGAGUUGAUCUUGAUAUAGGAUGGUGUUGGAGGGGAAACCACUUCACCAACAUAACUUGAUGGUUUCCCAAGGAUAAGCUUAGUGUCCUAAAACAAGCACUUCUAAUUAUUUGCAACAUUGCCUUGUGUAUUGAGCAUAUAAAGAUAAUUGUAGAAAUAUUCCUUCGGGUAUUCUUGCCACUAACCUUUCUAGGAUUGGAGCAAGAAGAUCGGAUGAAUGACAAGCGCAAGGUAUGCCCAACCAAUCAUCAUGCAACAUUAAAUUAAAUUCAUUCAAUCUUGAAUUUUGCAAAAUUCAAGCUUGGGGGAGUACUUUACAUAAAACAUCCUUUGCCAUGUUGCUAUGUUGGUUGUCCUUACCUUUGAGACAUGCUCAAUUUGUUAAAUACUAAUCACACUACUUCAUCUCCACUUGAGUAGAUCUCUAUAAAAGCCAUCAUGCUACCUUUGUUUAUCCUAGUAAGUGUUAGUUUGGAAGUACUGGUCACACUUCCAAUGGCAUUUAAAUUAAGCGUGGUGCUUAGGUUAAAUAGCCUUCCUUAAUCUGAUUAGACAUGGAGUCUAGUUUGGUUACUGAACUAAAAACUGCUUGAGUAGAUAUUGGUAUAUUUUGUUGGACUAACCCCUGUAGGAAAACUUUCAAUAUCAACCUGGGACGUCCUGAGAUGCAAACUCAUUAGAGAUGAAGAAAGUGACACAUGAAGUUUAACAAUUUGCACAAGAAAGACGUAGCUCAUAAGAGAUGAUUCAUGGAGGGUGCCACAAACACGAUGCACAACCGCUAAGAAAGGAAAGCUUCCACAAGGUGAUACUGUACCAUCACUCUUCAAGUAAGGUAACAUCUUAAGGUACUUGACUAACACUUUUAUAAGCUCCUCCUUGGUUCUGGCAUUCACAUAAAUAAAGAGACAAACAUGUAUGAUUUAUAACUCCAAAUUAACCAACUCAAUUAAUUCAACAUGUUUAGUCCUUUAAUCUUUGUUCUUAGUACUACCUUCGUGACCCCACACUCCUAAUCAUAUAAGCUAAAGUAUGGCACAUGCAAUCUUUGGAAGAUAUAAACAAAACAUAAAUAUAGAUAGAUUAUCUUUCCAUUAGGUUAAGCCAUCUGAUCUGACAAAUGCUACACUCAUGAUCCAUCAACUUUGUCUUGCUCACUAUGCUUAAGGUUAGAGAAGAACAAAUACACUUUUGGUUCUGUUGGUGUUUUCCACCAACAGGACCCAUGCACUUGAUCUCUACCUUGUCUCUAUGAGCAGGAACACUUCGAGCAUAAUAUGAAGGAGUUUUACAACUCCCAGAUUCCACCAAGUGAAGAACUAGGAUCUACGAGCACAAACACACUGGAGAUACUGGACGCUCAGGCAAUCACUGCCCUGAGAUGCUUGAGGAUGUGAACUACAUCAACAACAAUAACAACUAUUACUACAACCGUCCUCAACAACAUCAAGGUUGGAAUCAGCAGAGGCUUAAUUACUUAGAGAGGUGAUCUAGGACGCCCCGUCAUCCCGAUCUCCAUCGGCAUGGUGGACUUCCCAGAAGCACUCUGCGACUUUGGCUCCAGCGUCAACAUUAUGCCCAGGGUUGCAGAUCGGACACUCAGUUUCCCAAAGGAAAUAUUGAAGAACCUCUGCGUCCGAGUUGGUACCUUGUAUGCUCUAGCAGACUUCAUGGUGAUAGAGACUGGUACUGAGGAGAGGGCACCCAUCAUCUUAGGGAGGCCAUUCCUAAACACUAGAGCUGUCAUCUACGCUAAUGCUGCCAAGAUCAGUCUCUACAUCAAGGGGAAGAAGGAGACUUUCCUUCAAGAACAAGACUACACAAACUUCAGAGCAACCCCGACAUGAACCAAGGAAGAGGACCAACAGGAGGAACAGGAACAAGCAAAUGUGGACCGAGUCAGCUAAGAUGGUCACUGCAGUUCAAGGAGGUCAAGAUCGUCGACUCAAGUCACCUUUCUUGAUCAAGAAGGACGACCCUGGUGUUCUAAGCAUUGAGUGCACAAUCAACAGAUACUCUUUUCAGAAGACACUCUAUGACACCGGAUCUGACGUCAAUGGCCGUAGUCACUUAUCAGCUCCUGCAUGAAACCAUGCCCCUACAACCAAUAUACAUUCAGCUAUAGAUGACUUUCAAGUUAUUGACAUGGGAGAAGAUGAAUAUGAUCCACCCACCAUCCUUGGAAGACAGUUCCUCAGCACUAUCAAAGCCAUCAUCUAUAUUGGAACCGGAGAAGUCCACAUACACUUCUCCUCUGAGAAGGUAUGCCGCUGUUUUACUAACCCUAACUAUAUAGUUGAAGACUCUAAGAAGGUCAGGACAAGAAGAAGACAUCGCAACCGCAACCAAAGGAGGCAAAUCAUCAAGGACGGAUAAGUAGACUACGAAGGAGAAGUGAUAAGGACUGAAGACAUACCACUUGAACAUAACUGUCCUGAGGAGACCAUAGCACCGAGUCAGGUGUGGAGAGAGAAGAUAGUUAUACACGAAGAAGAGGCGCCGCCGGAAUCACCGACUACGCCACCUAGCGAAUCCCAGGACGAAUGAAAACACAAGGAGUCCCGUUCGGAGGACUUAAAAACACCGAACGCCUUGCCAAGAGGUAAACUUGGUAGUUAUCCUUUUCCAUUCAAUAGUUUGCUUAGUUAAUCAGGUUCAUGCUAUCUUGAAAAAAAAAUAAAAAUAAAAAUGUUAAAACAAUAGUAAGCCCCAUGUGAGUAUGCUCAUGGCAUAAAACCCAUAAGUACAUUCACUGUGGUGGCAUAAAAAUAAAAUAAAUAAGUUUUCAUCUUACAAUAAAAAAAUAUAAAAAUAAUAAAUGCAUAAUCCUGCUAAAUAAGUAAUAUUUAUUGAGGAGGCUCAAUAUGAUAAAGGCUAGAUAUUUAUGCUAACACUUAACCAGUUCCACAAAGCUUUGUUGUCUAUUUGAGCUCUACAGAAUUUAAGAAUCAAGAAGACUAGCAGACGGAGGACAUUCUAAUCGCUGUCAGAAUGCUGCUGACUUUCAAAUACACCUCUGCCACCUGGUAGCUACAUCAGAAGAAAUUACGUCAAAAUCUAGCUUGGGGGAGAGCACCCCCAUUUAUCCAGCUAAGUGUUUCUACUCGCGUUUAUACUUUACUCAAAUAAUAAAAGAUGCAUAAUCAUGAAAACCCAAAUAAAGAUUUUGUACUUUUAUAUAUAUAUAUCUUUUCUUAGUUUGCUAAAUAAAUAAAUAAAUAAAGUUUGCUAUGAACCCUCAUGAUAAGCUCUCACAUGGAAAUGAUGAAUAGUUGCUCUGCCAUGACUAGUUCUUAAAAUUGAAAUCUCUCUCAAGUUUAGGCAUAACUGUUAUGAAGUAAGAUUUGCUCUAAACCUGAACUUGUGGGAAGAGUACGUGAUCUAAAGUCUAAGUUGUUAACGGAUAUGAUAUGAGAAGGUUGAGCUGCUGUUUAUCUGUUCCUAGAGAUGCUAGAAUUCUGGAGAAUUUUAUCUUUGAAAAAAUCUUUAAAAUAACACAUGAUGAGUUCCUGUAUGAUGAGAGUUUAAAUUCCUACCACAGCCAUAUAUACAUGCUUGCUAGACCUUGAGCCACACAUUUAUUAUUUACUGCUUAUGAGCAUUGAGUGUGGUCAAGCUGUGUAGACCCUUAGGAGCUUGUCAUGUGGUUAAAUCAAGAUUUCACUUGCACGUCCACUCAUAUAUGCUACUUCUACUCCGGAAGUACCAUCCACAUAUAUCCACUCAUUUCCAUCUCCAGAAUCACCUAAAAAUAUUCUACUCCUAAUCCGGGAGAGAAUAACCAAAAAUAUUUCUGUUUCCCCUUGUGAAAUAAAUGCUCAAGUUAUCUUGUUACUACCACUUGCUAUAUUAUCUCAAGAGAUGAAUGCUCUAAAAAAAAGAGAGAAAAAGAAAAUAAAAGAUACGAGGAAAUAAAAAGGAGCAAGUGCUCGGAACCUCGAAGAAAAGAAAAAGUGAGACGAGAGGUAAAAAUGGACAAGUGUCCGACAGUAGAAUUAGGGGUACAAGAUACCCACGUGAGAGGUAAGAAAAAGAAAAAAUAGAGCUUCUCAUUCUCCCAAAAAAAGCUUCUAAGUGCAAGAAAGGUAUGUAUCCCCUUAAAAGAGCAAAAGUAGAAUUAGACUAUCACCAUUGUUAUCUCCAUCAUCACCAUACACCAUUCACUCGCCACACAUGCACAUCUUGAUUUGACUUAUUGACUUGUUUCUCUGGAUCCAUGGUUUGACUAUGCAAUAAAUGUCUUAUAAGUAUGUAUUAGCUGUCUCCCACCUAUGAUCUCCAGAUAUUAAAGCCUUAUUAGAGCAGGGUGAGAGAGAAGACAAUGUCACUAUGCUUCAUACCACAAAAACUACAUAUCUUGAGAGAAGGCAUAUACCAUCACUGCCUUGGUAAGGAUCCAAAAAUACCACAAAAGAGAGACCUGAGAGAAUCAUACAAGGAAUUUCUGAGUUUUAUUUGAAAAUCUGCAAAAACUCCAGAGCUAUAGUUGCUCAAAGAACAAGAUACAUGGUGCUUGACUUGACCGUUCUAUCUUUUAACUGCUCAAGACACAAGUGACGUUACAAGCCCCAUGGUGAAAGGUAAAAUGAGUAAGUUUUAAGUCUUAACAGUUUAUUCUAACUCAGAGAUGAGAUCUUGCUUAAAUGCGUGUGUACUUCUAAGAAAUGAAACCACUGCAGAAACUCUUGAGUUCAUCCUUGCUCAGGGACGAGCAAGAGGUAAGCUUGGGGGAGUUUGUUGACGGUCCUUAAGUAUCAAAUUUAAUUAUCAAAUAAACAAAGAAAAGGAUCCAAAUGAAAUCAACAUCUAGACUUAGGGUAUUAUCUGACAGAAUUCCACGACUUUUGGUGUUUGUCUAUUUCUACAGGGAGUUAUCAGGAAAUAAGGAAGAAAGGCCCACAUGUCGGGAUUACAUAGAGAUAUCAAACAACCGCGCAAUUUUCUACCAUCUAGAAGACUCCAGAAGCCACGGGAAGGAAGCGGAGCCCGAAAGGGGCCAGGCCCAGGGCGCCCGCCCUGAGGACCUGGGCGCCCGCCCCCCUCUGGACUCCGUUCCGGACUCUCUUCACACACGACGUUCCACCGACCUAUUGGAUCCAGAAUAACAUAGUACCACCUCGCCUAUCGACCCAAAAACGCAUAGAAGGGGAGGACUAUAUAAGGAGACCCCCUCUGGCCCCUGGAGGAGACAAGAAAUUAUCAUAGAGAUUGAGGGGUGCCCUCGAAGGAAAACCUCUUCUCUAAAUAAUAUUUCUUUUUAGGCUUAGCAACCAAUGUAAAGUAGAAAUAGAUCUUCUAGUUUCUACUAGAUUGAGAGAGAUAGAGUGGAGGUGUGGAUCGGAGGAAGGCCGGCCUGUGGGUGUCUACUCCGAGUUGUACCUGCGGGAUCAAGUCUCCUAACCCGAGGCUUGCUUCUAAGAUUCUUCAGUAAUUCGACUUCUAAUACUAGUAAGUUCUUGUUUUAUUGUUCUUUGGUUUAUGAGUUUACUUUAAUCCUCUUCCGGUUGAGUAUUAGAGUAAUCACUUGUUAGCGUAAACGUGGUGUUUAGGCUAGGGUACUCAUAGAUAUCCCUUGACUAGCUGGACCGUGGUAGUAACGAGGAACGUGACAUUUCCGAGUUACCUUUGUAGAUCACAUCUCGUUAGCAGGACGGGUAGGGUUAUAGGUGCGGGUCGAACAUCCUUUGUGUUGUCUAGAUUCCGUGAGCCUCCCCAAUAGAACAGUAGAUCAUCCUUACCAAGGUUAGAACGAGACUACGGUUGCAGUCUUCUCUAUACAUCACUCACAUCGAGAGACAUUCUUUGUAGCCUAAAGGGAUAGUAGCAAUAGAUUUGGUUAGUCAGAUGCACCCUUUCUCCCAGUGGUAAAAAUAUAAAUACGAUAACUCUGGAUAACCUCCCGGGUAAAAUGCUCACCGAUAUCCGUGCGCUUGCGGACCAUUUUCUAAUUGCGUUACCAAAUAUCAACAGGCACAUUGAGGUGAGAUGACCCCAAGUGCGGCACUUGAAGCACUUGACAUGCUUGAGCCUCUCUUCUUCUUUCAUCUUCUUGAGCUUCUCUUUGUUUGGGCAACCAUUAGCAGGAUGUCCCACUUCAUGGCACCAAUAGGACAAGAAAUGAGAAAGCUUUCUCUUUUCUUGCUUUCUUUUUCCCUUUGUCAUCUUCUCCUUGAAGCCAAGGCCACACUUGUCACCAUAGAUUCUUUGAGUCUUCAAUAUAUGCUCAAAGGUCACUUUUGAAUUAUAGCACCUUUCUAGCUUGUUGCUCAAAUUCUUCACUUGUUCAUUGAGCUUAUUGUUCUCCUUCAAAAGGUUAGUCUCACAAGACAUAGAAGUAGAACAAGCAUCUAUAUUUGAAGAACAUGACAUAGAUAGUAAAUCAUGGCAAGAGGUGGAUACAUGCUUCUUGCCUACAUCACAAGGGUUAGUAACAAUAUGUGAUUGAUCAUUUGACCCGAGUGAUGAGCUCUCACUAGUUUCAAUUUCUUCAUUAGAAAUCUUCUUAGUGAGAAAAGCAUGAUCUUUUACCAAGUUAUCAUGAGUAACACAAAGUUCCUCAUGAACCAAUUUUAGCUCCUCAUGUGAACAAGUAGUAACAUAAAGUAGAUGCUUUUGUUGUUCACAUGUGGUCUUUAGAAAUGAGUUUUCAUUUUUCAAUUUACUUGUUUUAGCCAUCUCAUUUCUUAAAGCUUUGGUGAGUCUACAUACAAGCUCAAAAUUUGGAUCAUCACAAUCAAUAAUCACACCUCCAAUAGAUACCUUGCCGUCACCGUGAGACAUGGAGGAAUGUGAUGAAGUGGGUGAGCUUGUAGAAGCAUCACUCUCAUAGCCAUCAUCUUCAUCCUCACUUGACCAUGAGGUGGAGCAAUCCUCCACAACCACCAUGUUGUGGUCAUGCUCAACAUCCUCACGUGCAUCCACCUUUGGCACAUCAUCUUCUUUGGUGAUUGCCCCAUAUUUCUCAUUGAGAUAACUCCAAAUCUCAUGAGCGGACUUCAUAUCCAAGAUCUCACCAAAUAUGUUAUCUUUCAUGGAUGAAUAGAAGAUGUUUGUAGCUUGGUAGUCGAGAUGUAGACAUUUAUCUUGUGCUUGAGUUAGAUUCUCUUCAUCCAACACAUGAGAAAAGCCUACAUCUACCAUCAACCACAUCUGAGGAGAAAUAAACUUAAAAUUGCAUGUCAUCCAAUUUCUCCACUACUAGCAAAGCUUAUAGUGUUUGGAAUUUGGCUAGUGGUACUCUUGAGGAGGCGCCAAGCUUGCGAGGCGGGAUUCGGCGCUUUUGAGAAAAUUAAGUGUAUAUUUUCUAUUGCGCCGGUGGGAAAUUUGGAGAAGUCGCGAGAGUGCACCAGACGCACUGCGUGGAGGCACCAUACGCUGGCCUUUAGCGUCCGGUGUACUGUCGGGUCUGACUAGAGGAAGCAGAGUGCACUGAACGCACCGGAGUGAGUCCGGUGCCCUCCCUCCGGGCCGCGCCCCUCUAGCCACCCUCACAUCCCAUGGUACAUCGCACCACCGGCACAACCUGACCCAUAUGCAAACAAGUUUGCCCCUCUUGAUAGUACGGCCAUCUAUCCUAAAUCCUAUACCUUUGCCUUGCGCUUUCCAUUCCAUCUCCUCCAUUAUUGAUGCAACACAUGCACCAACCAAUCACCAAAUGAUAUGAUCCACUUCAUAUCAUCACGUGACCGUAUUGGUUCAUCGAUCUUGACCUCACUUGCUCUUCACCGUUGCCUCAAUCCAUCGGCGCCAAGUCUUGCUCAAGCUUCACCAUCACAUACGGUCCCUCGCUUCAAAGCCUCUGACUUGCCCUUCACUCUUGCAACCGGUCCAUCAAGCCAAGCCUCAUCUUGAUCUUCUCCACCUUGGUCACAUGACUCCAUGUCAUGUCUCAUAUGCAACGAGCUCCUUCACAUCACAUAAUCACCUGUAGACUAAUCUCAAGUGUAUCUCACAUAAACACCAUUAGUCCACCUAAGUUGUCACUCAAUUACCAAAACCAAACAAGGACCUUUCACAGGGCAUGGGUUCUCGCUUGGAUUACCCAUUAAAAGCUCAUCAAGGAUGACGAUGCUCGCUCCAUCGGCGGUACAUCACUCUCCUCGCCCCGAAAGGGGACACUAGCAAAUGAAGCUCGGAGGCUCCCCCCCCCCCCCGAAAUUAACGCACCACAGCCAGAAGAGAAGUUGAAAACACUCAGACCCUAAAAAGCAAUAACAGCCCUCGAAGGAGUCCAUGACUCCUCCAAGGCCUCAGGGGCUACCCCCGCGGGGGUCGCCCGCGUAACCCCCAUGGAAAUACGACCAUCAGUAAAACCCCUGCUCGAGCACAAGUGCUGAAACAAGGGCUCGGGGGAUACUGUCGAGGGUGUAAAUAAGGGGUACCCCAACAAACAGUCAUAACAGAAAGAUAAAAAGACAAGUCGAGGAUCAGACUCGAACAAUCUAGUACAAACACAGGUUCACCAAAGCCACGGCUCGACCCACAACAGGAUAUCGACCCUAGCCUCGAAUACGGAAAUACGGUCGAGCGAAUGAUCUAGGGCUCGAUAGUCAGCGACUGUCGAUUACGGAAAGGGCGUCAAGCGAAUCGGCGAGUACGGAAAGCGUUCCCCCACCGCCUGUCGCGGGUACGGAAGCCAGGGCAUUUAAUGCGGCUGACAUGCACCCACCUAACCUGACAGUCGCGGGAAGCGUGAUAGGGGAACGUGCAUCCAUCAAAUACCCACUUUUUCUAGCUUUAUCCUCAAGAUUGGAGAAAAGUUCCAACUGGUACAGUACAGCAGGCGUAAUAUCCCAUCAAGACACCCCUCGAGACGUUAAGGUCAGCGCUCCUGUAUAACAAAGCCGCCUGUGCCGCCGGACCCUCGAGCAUGCACGCCCCUUCACAGGGAAAGAUUAAGCGACAGAAGUCAACGCUCCAACCACUCUAGACAUGGCGACAGUCGCGACGUACAAGCGUGCUCAUGUAACACCCCAAAAUUUGCAAGUUUCCAAAAUAGCAGAAAUUAUUUUUAAUUGUGUAUUUUUGUGCCAUGAAAUAUAGGAAAAAUAAUAUUUUCUUUAAAUUAAAAUUUACUAUAGGAGUUAACAACUUGUUUGAGCAUGCAUGCAUCUGCAUUGGGUUUAUUGUGAUGAGUGGUUUUGGCUAAAGGUUAAAAAGAAUUCAAAUUUGGUUAUGAAAAUGUUUUGAAAUAGGUUUGUUUUUAAAAGAAAAGGGAAGCAUAAAAUAAAAAGAGAAGAACCCUUCCCUCUUGUUUUGGCCCAAGGGCCCAUCUCCUUCCCUCCCCCUGUUUUUCCCUCAGCCCAGAAGCCGCGGCCUAGUCACCCCCUUCCUCCCCCGCACCAGCAUCCCUUCCCCCCUCUCUUCUUCCACUGACGAGCGGGUCCUGUGCCCUUGAGUCACUGCCAAGUGGGGCCCACCUGUCGGAUCCGUCUCCCACCUCGUAACCGAAUUGGACUCGGUGGAGUUUCCGCAUCGGCCACGCGCGAUCUCCGCGGCUGGCUUGUUUCGCACGCCGAGGAGGCUUUAAAUAGCGGCCUCCGCUCCGCCGUAGUCCCCCUACCCAAUCCCAGCGCCAGCCGCCAUGUAGUUCUCGCCGAAAAGCGCUGCCACGAUCUCCGCCGAAAGCAUCCCGCUGCUGCGACGCAUCUUCACCUCCGUAAGCUCCCUACCGAGCUUCCUAUCGUCCUUGCGAGUUCACCAAGCCUUCUUUCUCGCGUUUUCAUGCUCUCUGCGCUCUGUUUGACCUCGCCGAACUUCUCGCAGAGACCGUCGUCCGCUAUCCUUCAUCGCGAGCGCGCCCCAAUCUCUCCCCAACAUCGGUUUUGCCCUAGGUGAGUUCGCCUCGAGCUUCGUGACAUCCUGGUGCUAUCGGUUCUUUCUCUGGUGCUCUAAAUCGCCAGAUUGGCCAGCUCCGGCCAUGGCGCCGCCGUGAUUCCCACCAACUCCGGCCGGCCAGCUCCCUUCCCCUACCCCGAUCUAAUCUGAGCCGUCCAGAUGAAAUCUGAAGGCUUAAAUCGAAGGAUACCCCUUCGGCCGCGUCUUUUGCUAAAGAAACCCUGCGCUUUUUAAUAUAUAACCCGCAGUCCAAAACACAGUUUUGAAAAUAUGCUUUCCGAUUUUGAAGACGUAAACUCAGUACACAGAUUCAAAAUACGUUUUCAGAAAAUUACAAGAUUGCCACUGGUUUUGUAUUGCUCAUAAAAUAUUCGUUUUAACUCCAUUUUGCUCCGUUCAAAUUGCGUUAGAUUCAUAAUCACAAGAUCUACAUGUUAGUCUUACUGUUUUACAAGUUUACAACUUUUUAUUUUCGUGACCCUAUUUAAUUAAUUACUUUUCUAAAGAAAAUCUUAGGAAAAUCAUAACUUCUUCGUUAUAGCUCCGAUUUUCAUGAUCUUUAUGUUUGUGUGAUCGUAGUGCGAUGUAGAUUUGUUUUAUAAACUUUUUAUCUUUAUUUCUUACUGUUGGUGUAUUGUUCAAAUUAUAGGUUUGUUUGCUUUGUAUGUUUGCCUCUGGAUGAUUGUUGUUGAUGUGGUGACUGAGUUUAGUCGGUGAGCUUUUAUGUGGUGAUCAAGAAGCAGUUUGUGGAAGAUUUGGAACUAAAAGGAGGAUCUGAGUUUCAAGGCAAGUAUAGCAUGGGAUCAUCCUUGUUUCCUAACAACUUUAAUCACACAAUUCAUAUUUCAUGUGUCUCUUUGUUAAGGAUUUCCUAGUAUUGAUCUUAUACCUUGUCACCUAUGGUUAUGUAUUGGGUAGCUAAUGCUAGUGCUCCACUAAACCAAGAUCUUGUAAUUUGAUUAAUGGAAUACGCAAUAAACAUUAAAAGAGGACUUUUUAGUAACUUUGGUGAAGAGGGCUGGAGCAUUGGGCUAUCCUAUGGUGCUCUAGUUUCUCUCCAUAAGGACUUAUUUGUAUAUGACCAUCCGGGACAUACAGUACAACUGUGAGGGCUACAUGGCUCUGGCUUUAGCUCAGUAUGAGGACCUUUUCUAGCUUGUUAGUGGUUACCUUUGUGGCACAAAUGGAGAAUAGCAGACAGUGGAUUCCUGCGGGUGAAUCACAGGGACUGACUAAUGAAACCAAGCGGCCCUAACUUGUUAGACGAACCUUUCAAAGGCUUCGUAGUGAACCCUGCCGACCUCCCUAGGAAAGGGUAAAUCAUGACUCACAGUGAAAGUGUACAACCUCUGUAGAGUGUAAAACUGAUAUAUCAGCCGUGCUCACGGUCACGAGCGGCCUUGGACCAAUACAGAAUAAAUGAUCACUAAUGGCAAAUUAUUAAUGUUAUUAUUGUUACUAUGUUGUUUAUACUAUUCUUUAUUCACUUUACUUGAUCAUGAGUUUACUAUGGGACUUGACAACUUGAUGCUACUAAUAUGCUAAAAUUGUGACAACUAAAAGCUACGUGCAGUUAAACCAGUAUCUAGCCUUUGAGCCUCAUGAACCCUAUUUUGUUCUUGCUUGGUACGAGAUGUACUUACGCUUGCCUUUACAUUUUAUUAGGAUAAAAAUCUCGGAAGGGUACCAGAUUGCAAGCUUGGAAAAGAGUUUAGGCUUGUGCUCAACCAGUGAGUUGUCCCUGUGGAUUUGGAGCUUUCGCCUGAAGAACGGAGUGUCUUUCCGCUGUUUGCUAUCUAAGGUUAUAUCUUUUAUACUAAGUUCGUUAUAUAUAAGCAUUGAUUAUUGAUAUUACCCUUAUUUGUGGCUAUAUGUGAGAUUUGACUUCCUGGGCUCACAUAUAGUGUGUAUCUAGUUUUGUUCUUAAAACCGGGUGCUACAAAGUGGUAUCAGAGCAAUGCUGCCUGUAGGACGCAAGCCUAGAUAGUAAUGGUCGUUUUAGCCAUCUUUGCUUCACUACAUUCAUGCUUACUAUCUCACCCUUGCUAUUUGCUAAAAUUCUUAUGCUUCUAUCAUCUAAUUCUAUUAUAAAAGUAUUGCUUCUAUUCUAACUUCCUCUUGGUCUAAUUCCAUAGAUGGUUUGUAACGAAAAGAACGCUCGCAGCAACUCUGGAAGACCAUGCUUAACUCGGGGUAUCUAUGGCUUAACGGAACCAGAGUAUGAAGAAGCUCAUCCUGUCCCACCAAGACAUAUUUGUUGGCGAAAGGAGUACUUUACCACAUCCUUUAGUGGGGAAGAUUUCUUUCACCCUCAUCUUGUGCGUAUACUCCAAGACCAAUAUCCUGAACAGCAAGCCAAGGUGGAAUAUAAGUGCACUAAGUGGACUCAUCCCAAGUAUGAGAGCCACUGGAGCACAGAAGCGCACAUCACAAGGUGGAAUGAGUUUACUGGUUCACGCGUGGUGGAAUCCAUUCACUCAUCCCUCAGUGACCGCUUCAGUAAGUAUGCUAGCAUAUCUGAUGCUGCCCAUCAAGCUCUUCUGGCGCAUCAUGGAAAGCACUACGAAGAAAGGAAGAAUGGCAAACAAAAGUAUCUUCCUCGUCGCCCACCAGGCACUUUGCAAUGUGUGAUGGCUGACCCCUACUUGGAGUAGAAUGAACAACUAAAGGAGAUGGCUGUGACCAUCCAAGUCAUGCAUCAAAAGUUGGAAGAUAGUCAACUGGAAUUGACCGAAGUAAGACAACACUAUGAGGAAGCCCUUGAUGAGAUUGAUGAGUGGAGAAGUCGUGGUGGAUUACCUAAGAUCAAUGAGGUGGAGGACAUACCUUGCUUAAUUCCACGCAAGAGAUGCUACCCUGGAUGCCGCUGUAGUCACACCGUGUUUAAGAAGUAGGAAGUUCCCCUUUGUAAUAAACGUUAGUAGCAAAAGUUGAGUCUAGUCAAAUAUGUGUGCUUUGUGAAUCCUUAAUGUUUCGUUGGUUUGUCCUAGUGCUUAUGUUUGAGUUGGAUUUUUGUAAUGAGUGCAAUGAUUUUGUGGGUUUCUCCAUAAUUUCAUUUAGUUUAUAGGCCUAAGGUAUAAGUAUUAAUGAAAUAAAUAGUUGGGUUUUAGUUUCUCUUGUUUCUCUGUCCUUGUCUUUUGGGAGCAACUUAUAUUCUUCAGUUCAAAUCCCUAUUCUCAGAGGACCAUAAAAUCAUGUGAAAAUUCUGGGUGAUAGUAGACUUCAAUAUCCUUCUCUGACCGUAAGAAUCACCUCCAUAGCUGUUGUGGUUUGGGAAUUAUGAAAAUCACAAGAUGGUACAGUUGAGCUGUCAGGAAUCAGGACCAGUUUCAGUUGCCUACUGUUUCGAACAAAUGUAACUAUAGAAUUUGGAAAAAGGUUCUAUAAUAAAGUUGUAGGUCAUUAGAUAUGCUUUCCAACGAUGCAAGCUGCAACUUGAUCAGAUUAAUAGAACUUGAGCUAUGACAUCUACAAGUUAAUGCUUCCGCACCGUUUCAAAAUCUGGACAGUUAUAGUUAAUUCCUAUUUUCAGCCAAAUAACAUCAGAAUCUGGAAAAGUGGGAUAUACAGAAGUUGUGGAGGACUUCAUAAGCUUUUCAAUCAUGUAAGACUCGUCCCUGUAUGAUCUAAGUAGCAAGAGAUAUGACUUCUGUAAGUUGCUGCAUCGAUGGUGAGACAUUGUCGGGAUGGAUAUCAUGUUGGGCUGUUUUAUCUAGGUUUAAUGACAAAAACUAAGGAAGCCUUCUAUAUGAAAGUUGUAGGGAAUUUGAUAAAGUUUCUAGCGGUAUAAGCUAAGGCCCUAUUGGAUUGAUAGAAAAGGAGUUAUGUCUAUUUUACUGCGCUGGUGUUUUCAUAUCCUGAGGAAUUUUAGAUUUCUUGUACAUAUCAGUGCACAUGAGUUUAUCUUCGGUAUUAUAAGAUCUGAAACUCACUUGAAAGAUGGACCAAACUACCCAUUUAAGCCCCUAGUUUACCUUUUCUAAGGGGGUAGUCUUAUCAAAGGAGUUACAAGGAGAAGUGUUGGUUAAUGUUGAAUCAUCGGUAAGGACCUCAAGUGUUUGGUGAAUUUGGUUUUUGAUACAAGAAAUUGUUCCAUUGAAAUGUGCUAAUAUGGAUGGAGAUAUAGGUCAUUGCUGGUACUCAUAUCUUGGAAGUGGUGCUUAAGAGAAUCAGGUGACACCAAAGGCUACAAAGUUAUACAUGGGAUGUGAGAGCGAAGCAAGUCAACUAUGAUAGAGGUACCAAUAGUUGGGACUUAGUGAUGAAACCAACCCCAGAUCAUGAGGCUUGGUACAGUGAAUUUAAAAGACUAUAUGAUGUGAAUAUGAGAGCUAGUCCAUACUGUCCCCCAACCUAUCUCAUCUUAAGGGGGUAGUACCUUGACAUUAUCGGUUAAUGCACUUUCAAUUUAGAUAUCCCAUGAUUAUAAUCAUCUAUCCUGGCUCAAGAUAGUGAAAUUGGUCACUUGACAACUUAGGAAGUGGAUAUGCUACAUCUACUAUUGAUUCUACGGAGACUAAAAAGGCUUCAUUAUUAAAUGGAGCAUGACCAGUAUGUUCUAGUUGAUGGAAGUUCUCAUCUAGGAGACGUCAUCUUUAAGGAUGGACUCAAGGAAGUUAAAGACACAAGAGUUGGAAACCACCGAAGGAAAGUGAAUGAGACUUAGAGUUUUAUGGAUAUGGCAAGAGGCUAUCAUAGGUUUGUUGGAGCCAAUGUGAUCUUGACAUAAGAGUGACUAAGUGAUUGACUUGGAAUGAUAAGAUUCUAUUAGUAAUACACUGAAGGUGUUAUAAAGAUUGACAAAUAGAGAUCCUCUAUCCCAUCAAGACCUUAGAUGUGCUUUACACAAGAAAAGUAAUGGCUUGUGCAUGAGUCAACUAAGUAAGUUGGACCACCUGACACGUGAUGUGGAGGUAACCAUAGUGGAUCAUGGAGAUACUAUCCUCUUGAAUGUAGGAGUGAUAUCUGCGUAGAAUGUAAGUAUCUAAAGGGCAUCUUUAGGAAGUUGGAUUUGAGCUGGUCACAUCAUUGAUGGAUUUGAGUGAGUCAAGAGUUAUGACUAGGAAAAGUGAUAUCACUUGAAUGAGGAAAAGCCUUUGAGAAUGCUCAAAGCAUAAAAUUUGUGCUAGAGGAGUUCAAAUAACACCAAGGUUUGAGGAGUUGAGUGUUGAACUGGAGUGAUGUCACUAGUACUGUUAAAUGAGCUCUACUAAUUACUCACUUGGGAACCACAGGAACUGCAAAGAUUACUUAGAAGAUAUGUUGUGAGCUUGUGUAUUGCAGUAUGGUACAAAGAGGUUUACCAGUUGGAGAUGUAUGAAAGUUUAGGAGGAGUGUAUGAUGUCUUCCAUGUGGCUCAACUUAAAAAGUACUUGUGUAAGCCAUAAGAGCAGAUAUCGUUAGAAGAAUUGACUGUUAAAUCGGAUUUCACAUACAAAGAGUACCCGGAGAGAAUUUUGGAAACAGCAUAAAGGGUUACUGUUGACAUUCGUUAUGUGCAAUAAGAACAAGCAAAAUUCCGCAAGCGCACAGAACAUCAUCGUAGCAUUUUACCGGGAGUAUUCCAGGUAUCGUUAUUUAUAUUUUACCACUGGGAAGCUAAGGUCAAAGAAUCUGAUAACUUACUAUCAUGCAUCUACUAAUUUAAUAAACCAACUAGACUAAAGUAGGGGCAAAUGAUAUAUGAUAGGUAAUAAUAUAAAGGUGAGAAUUCUAUGAUAAAUGCGUAGAUAGCCAUAGCGGGAGGACAACGGGAGAGACCUAGGUUCCUGUAUACUUCUCUAUUACUUCAGUUCUAUGAUAACAAAGAAUGAAUAGAUAUAGCAAUCACAUAUUAGCACUUUGGGACAUCAGAACACCAACCACAGAAAGAGAACUGGAAGGGGGCUAGGAAGCUCUGACUACGGUCCUACAAACAUUGAUGUGAACGAGGUGGAAUACGACCGUUAGGGCUGUCACUACCCUAGGGGUACCACAACAAUCCGCAGGACUGGGUGCAACCUCAGGUAACCUCUAGUAUAGACACCAUGUCUACGAUUACUACUCUAAUUACCAUGAAUAACUAGAGCACUCGAUGCGAAUGGAGAUCCUAGGGCAAAAUAUAACAACUACACUACUCGAUAAUAAUAAAGGCAUAAAAGUAAAUAGAGAAGAUAAAUAUAUUAAAGCAUAAGUCUUACAAUAAAUAUAAAGACAUACCAAAACUCUGAAGACUUCUCCAGAACCGAAGGGCAGCUCCGCUCUCCCUAACUCCCGACUAGGACUAAUCUACUACAUUGGAAUGUCUAGCCCUAAUUCUCUAUAGAGGAAAGGUUAUCCAUCGAGGGCACUUCUCAACUCUAUAAUGAUAUGUUCUCCUCCAGGGGCUAGGUGAAAGGUCCAAAUGGCUAGAGGGGGGGUGAAUAGCCUAUUUAAAAUUUUCUACAAACUUCAACUUAGACAAGUUGAUUAGUAAAACAAAAGGCGAAGCUAUUCUAGCACUAGCACAACUAAGCUAUGCAAGCCACCUACAAAAGUGUAGCAAGAAAGCUAAACACUAGUUACAACAAGAAAGUAAAGGAGUAAAGAGUGAUUGUUAUACCAAUGUUGUAGAGUAGAGAUAUAUCCAACCAAUCACUCACAAUCACAAGAGAAUCCUCGGCAAGGGAUGACACAUGAUUUUUUAUCGAAGUUCACUUGCUUCCCGGCAAGCUAGUCCUCGGUGUGGCGAUACACCCACUUGAUGGAUCACGAGCUAAUUGGCAAUCCAAAGCCAAACCCUCAGCGGGUGCCGCACAUCCACUCACAAGAUGGGGAUCCUCCAAGCCACGAGCAAUCCACUAGAGUAGCCAAUUGCGAUCUCCCGCGGGGAAGGCUCAAGAACCCCUCACAAACCACUUGGUGACGCUCGAAACAAUCUCCAAUCACGAGCUCGACACCACCGCUGCUCCAAGCCGUCUAGGGCAUCAGGAAACACCCAAGAGUAACAAGAAAUCCGCAGCGAACUCAAGAAUCAAGUGCCACUAAAUGCAACUCUCAAAGCAAUGCACUUGAAUCUCACUCAAUCUCACUAGGAUUAGCAAUCAAGCAAGGAGAUGAGUGGAGGGAGUGUUCUCUAGCUCAAUGUAUGCCUCAAGUAUUCAAAUGUGCAAGAGAGAACCUCCUAAAGCCGGCCACCUCCUAUUUAUAAGCCCCUCAAAGAAACUAGCCGUUGGCCACUUUCACUGUGCUGAAAUCGGGGGCACCGGACGCUACCAAGUGAUCACCGGACGCUCGACCCCCAGCGUCCGGUGCUCAGGGGUUGGCCACGUGUCCUUUUUUGGAUCUCACGUGUUAGUUUCUAACGACUACCUGCAACACACCGGACGCUCUGCAAGUCCACACCGGACGCGUCCGGUGCACACCGGACUCAUGCGCAGAGAGUUCCGCAAACCGCAGGGUUACCAGACGCUAAGCACCGGUAGCGUCCGGUGUUCACCGGACCCAUGCAUAGAGAGGGUCACAAAACGUCCUCACACCGAACGCACACCACCGGACGCAUAGAGACCGUCCGGUGCUCUCAAAGAGACACCUUCUGCCUAAGUCAGGCCACACCGGACGCUUGAACAUGGAACACCCAGCGUCCGGUGCAGUGCGUCCAGUGCUCAACCCUAACCGGGCCAAGCACUAACAGCACACCGGACUGUGAGGCCAGCGUCCGGUGCCUCCGCACUUAGCGUCCGGUGAGUGUUUCUCAGUGAGAAAACACUCCCGCGACUUCUCCAAAUUUCCCACCGGCGCAAUAGAAAAUAUACACUUAAUUUUCUCAAAAGCCUAGGAACCCAAACCCCUCUCAACCCUAGGAACUCCACCUCCUUUGCAAAUGUGCUAACACCAACAAGUGUCCACCACCAAAGUGCAAGUGUGUUAGCAUUUCACAAACAUUUUUGCCAAAGGAGUUAAGUUAGCACUUUACUAGAUCCUAAUGCAUAUGCUCAAGAUGUAGACCUAGUAGCACUUGAUUCGAGAGAUGACCGUGAUUUCCCCUCUCGAUAGUCGGCUAUCUAUCCUAAACCCGGUCAAUCACUUCUCUACUCAUCUUAGACCGGCAAAAGUAAAACCCUAUGUUUAUACCUUUGCCUUGAUAACUUUGCUCCUCGUCUAUCACCAUGAUCUCCACUUCAUGCUUCAUCUCUUUGUAAUCAUGUGGCCACCUUUCCAUGCCACCAUGCACCUUCAUCACAUGUGUUGCUAUGCCUAACUCAAAUCACUUAAACACAAGGCAUUAGCAACUUGGUGUCAUUAAUUACCAAAACCAAACUUGGGCUUUUACUAGGAGCCUUGCUUAUAUAGCUUCCUCCUUUGUGCCUUUUUGGUUCAUCAGGCGAUGUGGUACUAAACUUUCCACAAUAUCUCAUUAAUAUGCACAUAGGCCUUAAUGGACCAAAAUCUGAUUUCGGCCCAAUUAAUCCAGCAGCUCUUUUAUGUGGAGUCCUUCUUUUAUUAAUAUCUCUUGAUUUCGAACUCCAAAUAUAGCAAAUAAUAUAUGCAUUUCGAUCAGCUUGAAAAGAUCUUUGUAAUGGUGUACUCCAUUCUGUGAUUGGUGCUUGUACCAGGGCGGGCGCCCAAGGAUCAAGGGCGGGCGCCCUGACCCCGAGCCCGUCUCGGCUCCGCUUUGGUCGAGUUGCUUCUAGAAUCUUCCUGAUUAUGGAAAAUUACCGCACACAUUAAUUCUCUAUGUAAACCCGAUGUGUGGGCCUUUCCUUCGAAUUUUCUGAUAACCCCCUGUAGAAAUAGACAAACACCAAAACUCGUGGAAAUCUGUCAGAUGAAACCCUAAGUCUACGUGUCGGUUGCAUUUGGAUCCUUUUUCAUGAUUAGUUGACGGUUAAAUUUGAGCAUUAAGGACCAUCAACAAGCUCCCCCAAGCUUAACCUUUGCUCGUCCCUGAGCAAAGAUGGACUCAAGAGUUUCUGUAGUGGUUUCAUGCCUUAAAGGUACACAUGCGUUCAAACAAGAUCUCAUCUCUGGCUUAGGGUAAACUGUUAAGAUUUAAACUUACUCGUUUUACCUUUCACCGUGGGCUUGCAACCAUCAUUUGUGUCUUGAGCAGUUAAAAGAUAGAACGGUCAAGUCAAGCGCCAUGUCUCUUAUUUUUGAUCAGCUAUAGCUCUGGAGUUUUUGCAGAUUUUCAAAUAAAACUCAGAGAUUCCUUGUAUGACUCUCUCUAGUCUUAAUUCUGGAUCCUUACCAAGGUAGUAAUGGUGUAUGCCUUCUCUCAAAGUAUGUUGUAUUUUUGGGAUGAGGCAUAGUGUUAUUGCCUUCUCUCUCACCCUACUCUAAUAAGGUUUUGAUAUCUGGAGCUCAUAGGUGGGAGACAGCUAAUACAUACUUACAAGACACUUAUUGCAUAGUCAAACUAUGGAUCCAGAAGAACAAGUCCAUAAGUCAAAUCAAGAUGUGCAUGUGUGGCGAAUGCAUGGUGAUAAUGGUGAAAAUAAUGGUGAAAGUCUAAUUCUACUUUUGCUCUUUUGAGGGGGUACAUACCUUUCUUGCACUUGAGGCUUUUGAGGGGAAUGAGACGCUCUAUAUUUUAUUUUUAUUUUCUCUUAGGUGGGUAUCUUGUACGCCUAAUUCUACUAUCGGAUACUUGUCCAUAUUUACCUCUCGUCUCACUUUUUCUUUCUUUUUUUUCUUUUUUUCGAGGUUUCGGACACUUGCCCCUUUUUAUUUCCUCGUAUUCACUUUUUUUAGAGCACUCACCCUCCUGGAAUAAUGUAGCAAGUGGUAGUAACCAAAAUAUCUCGAGCAUUUAUUUUACGGGAAAUAACAGGGAUAGGGUAAUGUUUUUGUCUAUUCUCUCCUAGAUAGGAGUAGAAUAAUUUUGGGUGAAUCUGGAUUUGAAAAUGAGUGGAUGUAUGUGGAUGCGUACUUCUGGAGUAGAAGCAACAUGUAUGAGUGAACGUGCAAGUGAAUCUUGAUUUUAACCGCAUGACAAGCUCCUAAGGUUCUACACAGCUUGACCACACUCAAUGCUCAUAAACAGUAAAAAGUAAAUGUAUGGUUCAUAGUCUAAUAAGCAUGUACAUAUGGCUGUGGUAGGAUUUUAAACUCUCAUCAUACAGGAACUCAUCAUGCAAUAUUUUAAAGAUUUUCAAAGAUAAAAUUCUCUAGAAUUCUAGCAUCUCUAGGAACAGAUAAACAUCAGCUCAACCUUCCCAUAUCGUAUCCGUUAACGACUUAGACUUUAGAUCAAGUACUGUUCCCACAAAUUCAGAUUUAGAGCAAGCUUUAAAUUAUAAUAGUUAUGCCUAAACUUGAAAGAGAGCUCAAAUUUGAAAACUAGGUACUUGGCAGAGCAACUAUUCAUCAUAUCCAUGUAAGAGUUUAUCAUUGAAGUUCAGUUUGGCAUAGACACUUUAUUUAUUUAUUUAGCAAACUAAGCAAAGAUAUAUAUAAGCACAAAAUGUUGAAUUGGGUUUUUAUGAUUAUGCAUUUUUUUUAUUAUUUGAGUAAGGUAUAAAUGUGAGUAGAAACACUUAGCUGGAUAAAUGGUGGUGCUCUCUCACAAGCUGGAUUUUAACGUAAUUUCUUCUCAUGUAGCUAGCAGGUGGUGUAGGUGUAUUUGAAUGUUGGGAGCACCCUGAGAGCGAUUAGGAUAUCCUCCGUCUGCUAGUCUUCCUUGAUCAUUGAAUUCUGUGGAGCUCAAAUAGACAACAAAGUUUUGUGGAACUGGUUAAGUGUUAUCAUAAAAUCUCUUAGCCUUUAUCAUGUUGAGCUUCCUCUAAAAAUAUUACUCUCUUUAUAGGAUCAUAAAUUUAUUUUUAUAUUUUCAUUUUUACAGGACAAGAAUAUAUUUAUUUUAUUUUUACGCCACCACAGUGAAUGGGUUUUAUUCCACGAGCAUACUCACAUGGGGCUUACUGUUUUUAACAUUUUUAUUUUCUUUUCAAGAUAGCAUGAUUAACUAACAAGCUAUUUAAGGAAAGUAAAUAAUUUAAGAAAAAAAAAGAAUGAAGAAAGGAUAAAUAUGGAUAACUACCGAUUUUACCUUUCGGUGAGGGUUCAAUGUUUUAAGUCUUCGGAACAAGACUUCUCACCGUGUUCAUUCUUUAGGUACGUCAUUUGAGUUAGGUGUGGACCUUGACAUCUGCACCUCUUGAUACGGUGUCACCCAUGUUUUUCGUUUGCCCAGCAGUUCAAAGUGCGGCGUUGGCAGCAUCCUCCUCACUGUGUUUGUGCUCAUAGAUCCAGGUCCUUCACCUGGUAGAGUCUGGGAGUUGGAAAACUCCACCAUGUUUUGCCCGAAGUGUAUCCUGCUCAUAGAGACAAGGUAGAGAUCAAGUGCAUGGGCCCUAUUGGUGGAAAACACCAACAGAACCAAAAGUGUAUUUGUUCUUCUAUAACCUUAAGCAUAGUGAGCAAGACAAAGUUGAUGGAUGAUAAGAUCAUGAGUGUAGCAUUUAAAAUAUUUGUCAGAUCAGAUCACUCAACCUUAUAGAAAGAUAAUCUAUCAAAGUAAAUGUUUUUUUCUUUACAUGACUAUCAUUUUCCAAAGAUCGGAUGUGCAACAUUUUAGCUCAUAUGGUUAAGAGUGUGGGAUCAAGAAGGUAGUACCAGGAAUAAAGAUUAAAGGACUAAACAUGUUGAAUCAAUUGGGUUGGUUAAUUUGAAGUUAUAAAUCAUACAUGUUUGUCUUUUUAUCCAUGUGCAUGCCAGAAUCAAGGAGAAGCUUAUAACAGUGACAGUUACAUACCUUAAGAUGUCACUCUAAUUGAAGAGUGAUGGUACAAUAUCACCUUGUGGAAGCUUUUCUUUCUCAACGGUUGUGCAUCUUGUUCGUGGCACUCUACGUCUGGUUCCAUAGAUUAUCUCUCUAUGAUGGACGAGCUAUGUCUUUCUUGUGCAAAUUGUUAAACUUCAUAUGUCUCCCUCUUUAUCUCCAUUCUUGUUGUUAUUCUUCACUCUUUUACUUCAAGCCUGAAUCGCGAAGAUAACGGGAUUGCUUUCCCCCAAGCUGAAUGUUGACAUAGUCUUUAAUCUUGAAUCCGCACAACACAGAUGUUCUUCAAUAUUCUUGAGCUUCAAAAUGUCAAUGAUGAUUGUAGCGCUUCCAAGUUGAUGAAAAUAUCUUGAUCAUUGGGGAUUCUCUCUUUAAAUCAUGUUAAACUCAAAUAGACAACAAAACUUGUGGCACCGAUUAAACAUUAGUAGUUGGCCACUUAAGCCUUAGUUGUCCAAACUUUUUAGAUUUUUCUUAAUUCUUUUUCUAAGCAGAGUUUCAACAAGAUCUCUUUCUUAAUAUAUAUAUAUAUAUUUUGGGUUUUAAUCUUUUUAUAAAGCAAAAGGAAAUGGAACAGGAUGAAUGCAUGUUUAUUUACUUUUAUUUAUUUAUUUAUUUAUUUAUUUUUUAUUCCACCACGGUAAAUAUUCGUGUGGGCUUUUACACACCACACAAUUUAUUCACAUGGGGUUUUAGUAUUUAAGAUGCAAUGAGUUAUGUAAAAUAUUUUUUAUUAUAUUUUCUAGUGCAAUGGAGAAAGAUAAAUAUGUUAUGGAGAAAUGAUGAUGAAAAAUAAAUAUGCUAAAAACAAAUGCAGAAAAGAUAAAUACAAUAAACCUACUAAAGCUAGUGAUACAUUAAAUUAGCAGACAUCAAGAUCAUUAUCAAAAUCUUCACACCAAUUGCUUCCCCGGCAACGGCGCCAAAAAUGCUUGUUGACAUUCGUUAAGUGCAAUAAGAAUAAGAAAAAUUCCGCAAGCGCACAGAACAUUAGCAUAGCAUUUUAACGGCAGUAUUCCAGGUAUCGUUAUUUAUAUUUUACCACUGGGAAGCUAAGGUCAAAGAAUCUGAUAACUUACUAUCAUGCAUCAACUAAUUUAAUAAACCAACUAGACUAAAGUAGGGGUAAAUGAUAUAUGAUAGGUAAUAAUAUAAAGGUGAGAAUUCUAUGAUAAAUGCGUAAAUAGCCAUAGCGGGAGGACAACAGGAGAGACCUAGGUUCCUGUAUACUUCUCUAUUACUUCAGUUCUAUGAUAACAAAGAAUGAAUAGAUAUAGCAAUCACAUAUUACCACUUUGGGACAUCAGAACACCAACCAUAGAAAGAGAACUGGAAGGGGGCUGGAAAGCUCUGACUACGGUUCUACAAACACCAAUGUGAACGAGGUGGAAUACCACCGUUAGGGCUGUCACUACCCUAGGGCUACCACAACCAUCCGCAGGACUGGUGCAACCUCAGGUAACCUCUAGUAUAGACACCACGUCUACACUAACGAUUACUACUCUAAUUACCAUGAAUAACUAUAGCACUCGAUGCGAACGGAGAUCCUAUGCCAAAAUAUAACAACUACACUACUCGAUAAUAAUAAAGGCAUAAAAGUAAAUAGAGAAGAUAAAUAUAUUAAAGCCUAAGUCUUAUAAUAAAUAUAAAGACAUACCAAAACUCUGAAGACUUCUCCAGAACUGAAGCGCAGCUCCGCUCUCCCUAACUCCAGACUAGGACUAAUCUACUACAUUAGAAUGUCUAGCCCUAAUUCUCUAUAGAGGAAAGGUUAUCCUUCGAGGGCACCUCUCAAAUCUAUAAUGAUGUGUUCUCCUCCAGGGGCUAGGGGCCUUGCUUAUAUAGCCUCCUCCUUUGUGCCUUUUUGGUUCAGCAGGCGAUGUGGUAUUAAACUUUCCACCAUAUCUCAUUAAUAUGCACAUAGGCCUUAAUGGACCAAAAUCAAAUUUGGGUCAAUUAAUCCCGCACCUCUUUUAUGUGGAGUACUUCUUUUAUUAAUAUCUCUUGAUUCCGAACUCUAAAUAUAGCAAAUAAUAUAUGCAUUUCGAUCAGCUUGACGAGAUCUUUGUAAUGGUGCACUCCAUUCUAUGAUUGGUGCUUGUACCAGGGCGGGCGCCCUAGGAUCAAGGGCGGGCGCCCUGACCCCGGGCCCGUCUCGGCUCCGCUUCGGUCGAGUUGCUUCUAAAGUCUUCCUGGUUAUGGAAAAUUACCGCACACAUUAAUUCUCUAUGUAAACCUGACGUGUGGGCCUUUUCUUCGUAUUUUCUGAUAACCCCCUGUAGAAAUAGACAAACACCAAAACUCGUGGAAAUUUGUCAGAUGAAACCCUAAGUCUAGGUGUCGGUUGCAUUUGGAUCCUUUUUCAUGAUUAGUUGACAGUUAAAUGUGAGCAUUAAGGACCGUCAACAGUUACUAGGAGUUGGAUUUUUAGGAUGUACAAAGUCCAGUGGAAUCAAUGCACCAAAGCGGAGGCUAGUUGUAAAAGAGAAGAGGAUCUAAGAGAAACAUACCCGUAGUUGUUGGAGUAAGCACCAACCAAAUCUCGAGGACGAGAUUCAUUUUCAGGGUCGUAGAAUUGUAACACCCCAAAAUUUGCAAGUUUCCAAAAUAGGAAAAAUUAUUUUUAAUUGUGUAUUUUUGUGCCAUGAAAUAUAGGAAAAUUAAUAUUUUCUUUAAAUUAAAAUUUACUAUAGGAGUUAACAACUUGUUUGAGCAUGCAUGCCUCUGCAUUGGGUUUAUUGUGAUGAGUGGUUUUGGCUAAAGGUUAAAAAGAAUUCAAAUUUGGUUUUGAAAAUGUUUUGAAAUAGGUUUGUUUUUCAAAGAAAAGGGAAGCAGAAAAUAAAAAGAAAAGAACCCUUCCCUCUGGUUUUGGCCCAAGGGCCCAACUCCUUCCCUCCCCCUAUUUUUCCGUCAGCCCAGAAGCCGCGGCCCAGUCACCCCCUUCCUCCCCCGCGCCAGCAUCCCUUCCCCCCUCUCUUCUUCCACUGACGAGCGGGUCCUGCGCCCUUGAGUCACUGCCAGGUGGGGCCCACCUGUCGGAUCCGUCUCCCACCUCGUAACCGAGCUGGACUCAGUGGAGUUUCCGCACCGGCCACUCGCGAUCCCCGCGGCUGGCUUGCUUCACAUGCCGAGGAGGCUUUAAAUAGCGGCCUCCGCUCCGCCGCAGUCCCCCUACCCAAUCCCAGCGCAAGCCGCCGCGUAGUUCUCGCCGAAAAGCGCCGCCAAGAUCUCCGCCGAAAGCAUCCCGCCGCUGCGACGCAUCUUCACCUCCGUAAGCUUCCUACCGAGCUUCCUAUCGUCCUUGCGAGUUCGCCAAGCCUUCUUUCUCGCGUUUUCAUGAUCUCUGCGCUCUGUUUGACCUCGCCGAACUUCUCACAGAGACCGUCGUCCGCCAUCCUUCAUCGCGAGUGCGCCCCAAUCUAGGUGAGUUCGCCUCGAGCUUCGUGACAUCCUGGUGCUAUCGGUUCUUUCUCUGGUCCUCUAAAUCGCCAGAUUGGCCAGCAUUGACCAGCUCCGGCCAUGGCACCGCCGUGAUUCCCUCCAACUCUGGCCGGCCAGCUCCCUUCCCCUACCUCGAUCUAAUCUCAGCCGUCCAAAUGAAAUCUGAUGGCUUAAAUCGAAGGAUACCCCUUCGGCCGUGUCUUUUGCUAAAGAAACCCUGCACUUUUUAAUAUCUAACCCGUAGUCCAAAACGCAGUUUCGAAAAUAUGCUUUCUGAUUUUGAAGACGUAAACUCAGUACACAGAUUCAAAAUAUGUUUUCAGAAAAUUACAAGAUUACCACUGGUUUUGUAUUGCUCAUAAAAUAUUCGUUUUAACUCCGUUUUGCUCCGUUCAAAUUGCGUUAGAUUCAUAAUCACAAGAUCUACAUGUCAGUCUCACUAUUUUACAAGUUUACAACUUUUUAUUUUCGUGACUCUAUUUAAUUAAUUACUUUUCUUAAGAAAAUCUUAGGAAAAUCAUAACUUCUUCGUUAUAGCUCUGAUUUUCGUGAUCUUUACGUCUGUGUGAUUGUAGUGCGAUGUAGAUUUGUUUUAUAAACUUUUUAUCUUUAUUUGCUACUGUUGGUGUAUUGUUCUAAUUAUAGGUUUGUUUGCUUUGUAUGUUUGCCUCUAGAUGAUUGUUGUUGAUGUGGUGACUGAGUUUAGUCGGUGAGCUUUUACGCGGUGAUCAGGAAGCAGUUUGUGGAAGAUUUGGAACUAAAAGGAGGAUAUGAGUUUCAAGGCAAGUAUAGCAUGGGAUCAUCCUUGUUUUCUAAUAACUUUAAUCACACAAUUCAUAUUGCAUGUGUCUCUUUGUUAAGGAUUUCCUAGUAUUCAUCUUAUACCUUGUCACCUAUGGUUAUGCAUUGGGUAGCUUAUGCUCGUGCUCCACUAAACCAUGAUCUUGUAAUUUGAUUAAUGGAAUACGCAAUAAACAUUAAAAGAGGACUUUUUAGCAACUUUGGUAAAGAGGGCUGGAGCAUUGGGCUAUCCUAUGGUGCUCUAGUUUCUCUCCAUAAGGACUUAUCUAUAUAUGACCAUCCGGGACAUACAGUACAACUGUGAGGGCUACAUGGCUCUGGCUUCAGCUCAGGAUGAGGACCUUUUCUAGCUUGUUAGUGGUUACCCUUGUGGCACAAAUGGGGAAUAGCAGACCGUAGAUUCCUGCGGGUGAAUCACAUUGGACUGACUAAUGAAACCAAGCGGCCCUAACUUGUUAGACGAACCUUUGAAAGGCUUCAUAGUGAACCCUAUCGACCUCCCUAGGAAGGGGGUUAAGAGAUUAGCUACCUCGAGCAAAAGGGUAAAUCAUGACUCACAGUGAAAGUGUACAACCUCUGCAGAGUGUAAAACUGAUAUAUCAGCCGUGCUCACGGUCACGGGCGGCCUUGGACCAAUACAGAAUAAAUGAUCACUAAUGGCAAAUAAUUAAUGUUAUUAUUGUUACUAUGUUGUUUAUACUAUUCUUUAUUCACUUUACUUGAUCAUGAGUUUACUAUGGGACUUGACAACUUGAUGCUACUAAUAUGCUAAAAUUGUGACAACUAAAAGCUACAUGCAGUUAAACCAGUGUCUAGCCUUUGAGCCUCAUGAAUCCUAUGUUAUUCUUGCUGGGUACGAGAUGUACUUACGCUUGCCUUUACAUUUUAUUUGGAUAAAAAUCCCGGAUGGGUACCAGAUUGCAAGCUUGGAAAAGAGUUUAGGCUUGUGCUCAACCAGUCAGUUGUCCCUGUGGAUUUGGAGCAUUCGCCUGAAGAACGGAGUGUCUUUCCGCUGUUUGCUAUCUAAGGUUAUAUCUUUUAAAUUAAGUUCGUUAUAUAUAAGCAUUGAUUAUUGAUAUUACCCUUAUUUGUGGCUAUAUGUGAGAUUUGACUUCCUGGGCUCACAUAUAGUGUGUAUCUGGUUUUGUUCUUAAAACCGGGUGCUACAGCUCAUGCCCAAGCCAAUACCAGACGAUAUACAUGAGGAAAUGCACGCGUCAUCAUCACCAAAGUACCCUGUAACAAGACAGCUCGAGGCCACGCCGGUACGGAAGCCUCGAGUAGGUCAGCGCUAUACCCCUAUCGAGACCUACUCGAAACACCUAUACCCUGUAACCUAAGCCUCCUCUUAGAAAUAUAAAAGGGGACGCUGGGGACAACACAAGCAAGCAGAACAAGAUACGUAGAACACAGUUCACCCAUCACUACAACCAGCUAGGACUUAGAACCCUCAACUACAUUCUCUUGUAUUCGCCCUUGUACAAGCACUUAGGUGCAAGAUAAUACACACUCUCCCCCAGUGGACGUAGGGCUUUCCUUUGCCUGAACCAGGAUAAACACUUGUGUCGUUCUUGCAUAACCAUCCGGAAAAGAGAGCACGCGCACAAAUUCACUCGUUGGUGUUACCCCAGGGUCAAAACACCGAAAACUGAAUUGCUAAAUGGUUUUACACAAUUUAAAUAUAAAUUUUUCUGGACAGCAUACCCUGAGCUAAAAUCUUAUAUCCGCCACUGCUCAGAAGGCAAGUCUCCUGAUCGGUUACGAUAUAAGAGUUCUAAUAGCAAUGUACCCGAAUACUAUGUCCCAUAAGCCCCCAAACACUGUAUGGUUGAUCUUUGGUGGCCUUCUUGUUCCUCUAGGUCUUGCGAGUAGAAACAAGCUUUGUCUAAGUGCUUCCAUCAGAGAAACUAUGUAGUGCUUUUGAAGUCAAUAUGCUUCACCUAGAGGAUAUGCUUAGCGUAUUGCUGGUUGAAAUAAAGAGUUAGGCGAUCUUGUCCGCAUUUCCUUGUCAAAAAAAAUUAUUUAAAUGCAUCCUAUGAGGAUAUGUAUUCUGCAGCCCUCGAGCCUACAAUACGACUAAGCAGAAUCGAUUAUAGGAUCUUGUAGACGUCCUCAAGGGUGCAGUUGAGUAAGGCCGUGUUUAGUUCAUAAAGAAAAAAAAUUCACGACACUGUAGCACUUUCGUUUAUUUGUGGUAAUUAUUGUCUAACCAUGGACUAACUAGGCUCAAAAGAUUCGUCUCGUAAAUUCCGACUAAACUGUGCAAUUAGUUUUUAUUUUUGUCUAUAUUUAAUACUACAUGUGGAGAAUCUUGAAAAAAAAAUUAGGUUUUUAGGUGGAAGUAAACAAGGCCUAACCUCCCAGGACAAUGAUUAGUGACUGUUUGUCGCCAAGUGAUUGAAUUCUUGUAAAGCCAACUAAGUUGAGGCAAUGGCCGAGCCCUCAAUCUUAGUGCCGACUAAGUCAUGGAGGCCAAGAAGCCUUGUCAAAGAGGCGAAAGUAGCCAGCGUGAUGACCGAGUAGUAAGGUAGUUCUCAGGAGCAUAGUACUCCACCUAGAGUCGCGGUGACCGAGCAAGGCAACCCAUCAUGGAGGCGCGUACCUCACAGAACAGCAUAGUCUAAGGCCUUGUUUAGUUGUGAAAAGAUUUUAGAUUUCGCUACUGUAGCACUUUUGUUUGUUUGUGGCAAAUAUUAUCCAAUCAUAGACUAAUUAGGCUCGAAAAAAUCGUCUCGCAAAUUACAGACAAACUGUGCAAUUAGUUUUUGUUUUCGUCUAUAUUUAAUGCUUCAUGCAUGUGCCACAAGAUUCGAUGUGAUUUAGAAUCUUGAAAAGAUUUUGAAUUUUGGGGUGAACUAAACAAGGCCCAAAUCUGGUUUCCUGCAAGAUAAACAUACAAAAUGUUGUAGUUAUUGAUAUUCAGGAUAUGAAGUCGGGAGCAGGUCUCAUGCAUGUAAAAUAAAAGGUCGGAAGGAGAUCCCAGUGUUAUGAAAUGCAUGUAAUAAUUUUUUUCGCGUCUUGCUCUUGCUAGGCUGUUUUAAUUCCCCGAUUAGUUGACCCCUUAUUAUACUAGUUAGGUGUAAUUCCGAUUAUCCAAAGUACGUGGAGCUGUGUGACUAGUCAGUCGCCAUGGGCCACUAGUCGGACGAGGUGUUUUGGCCUCGUGUAUGCAUGUAUGUUCUGCAUGCAAUUCUUUAAUAUACUAGUUAAGUGCCCGUGCGUUGCUACGGAAUCACUUACACGGGUCAUCACAUAUGCAUGCAUGAAUCAGUAUUUUAAUUAAAAAAAAUUUGCCGUGGUUCUGUUUUUUACAACAUCAUAUAUGUGAUAGACAUGUAUUCAUUUAGACGAAGGAUAAGAUAUUGCAUAUCAUAUACUUGCCAAUGUAAAUAUACCAAGGAACUCAAGAGCAACAUAUUUUUACCAUGAGAACAACUUCUACACUUCACCGUGCAAGUUCAGCCUACAAGUCUCACAAAAAAUGACAAAGCAAUAAAAUAAAAUUAAAAGGUGGAUCAUGUAGUUUACUCCCUCAUCAUUGAACCCGAGAAAAAAAGCAAAUACUAACUCAUUGGUUAACACUUAGUUCACCUGACGCUAAAUGACCAUUUUUUUUGUCCUCCACAAGAAAUCACUGAACUAUAUCCAAGGAUCUAAUUACUUCCCCCCUACUCCUGUCCAGCUAAGAGUUUCAACAUUACAUCCUUUAAUCAAAGACAGUAGGAUAAUCUUUCUACCAAAUCAAUCCCUACAAUGUGACUAAAUACUCUAAAUGUGCCCAACUUAGCACCUUUAACUAACAAAACUGAUACUAUUUAGAUGGAAAACAACUUGAUAACAUUGACCAAUAUGGUUAGCAAAUGUAUAUCUUGCAAAUCUGUAAAUCUUGAGCACUGUCGGCUGUACUCCAUGCACAUUAUUCAAUAGCAGUAGAUAGAGUAAAGUGUAAAUAGUUGUUUGUUUCAGUUUUACAGGUAGCAAUGUCCUAGCUAGUCUUUAGGAGGACAGGUGUGUGGUGUUAGUGGGUGAUUGGUCAUAGUUAUUAGUGGUCAGUUGCCUAAGUUGUGAAUAGUUUCUAGGAGCCACUAAGUGGUUCCUGGUGACUAAUCAUGGCUUUGCAUAUAUAUAUAUAUAUAUAUAUAUAUAUAUAUAUAUAUAUAUAUGCAACAAAAAUAGAAAUGUUGCAAGUACCAUAUCUCUGAGUUGAGCCUCUGAUCUUGAGUGAUCCAGUUUACAGUGAGGUUGAUUGACUUACACCAUCUCUAGCAGAGCCACUGUGCCAUGUCCCUGGCCAUCACCAACUGUGCCCUCUCCACCCGUGGCAAAGAGAUCUUCCUCCACAGAGCCAUCAAAGAAAUCAAGCAAACCUUCGAUUGAAACCUUCAAAAAUAUCAUCAAAUUUGCUGAAAGAAAUACAUCAGGUCAGAUGAUAAUAUCCAAAUCCUGAUUUGGGUGCAUAAUAAGAAGUGCUGAAGCAAUACCAGUUAUCAUCUCAAAUUAGAAUCCAAAAAUUUCCAGUCUAAUGUUUAAGAAGUGCUGAUAAGAUGUGCAGAAGCAAUACCAAUGAUCAUCUCAAAUUAGAAAGCUAAAAUUUAUAGUUUAAUGUUUAGAACUUAGGCAAACUGCUUCAGACUCUUAAACAAGUAGUUCCCAACAAAAAAAAAAGAAAAUCACAAAUGAAAAGGAUGUUUUAUUAUGGUAAGGAUAAAACAUAAUAAUGAGACGAAUAAUUAUCUAGGAUCAUACUAAUCGCUAUUCCGAUAAAAUAUAGGGAUCACAAGAGUUGCAUUAAGUCACACAUCUACAUUACAAAAGCUGAGUCAAUAAUUCCUCAACACAGUGAAUAUUCCAAGAACUUUAUAAAUGUAUAAUAUAGUGAAGAUCACCACACUGGUUUGGACUCUACUAAUUCCCACUAUGGAAUUUGCCAUGAAUAAUUCUAAGUUUCAUGGCAAGAACCAAGUAUCAUAAUUAGCAUAAUUAGCAUUAGCAUACCUGGGAUUGGAAAAAAUCUCUCGUUCAGUCUCAGCGG
This 91826-nucleotide long non-coding RNA is filed under the name Sorghum bicolor (sorghum). Its description in RNAcentral is "long non-coding RNA (SBIC_LNC010062)". The stretch from base 25931 to 26024 matches the Rfam family "MIR5387 microRNA precursor family". Lineage: Eukaryota; Viridiplantae; Streptophyta; Magnoliopsida; Poales; Poaceae. The record is from RNAcentral.